Molecule: long non-coding RNA, 133696 nt
Filed under: Hordeum vulgare
Lineage: Eukaryota; Viridiplantae; Streptophyta; Magnoliopsida; Poales; Poaceae
Description: long non-coding RNA (HVUL_LNC006260)
Source: RNAcentral
CCAGGCAGUCGCCGGUGGAGAGGUCCGGCGUGCACUGUGCCAGGGAGAAGAGCGUUGUCGUGGUGCCGGGGCCAAUGGAGUCCAUGAACCCCGUGGCGAACCUCCUGGCCGCGGCGGCCGCGUUCCGCGCCGUCUGUGACCUGUCUCUUAUACACAUCUGACGCUGCCGACGAUGGUUAUAUGUGUAGAUCUCGGNNCCUUGUAGUUUUUGCUUCAGUGUUAUUUGAGCUGAAUAUUUUUGCUAGUCCAAAAUCUGAAUUUUUUUGCAUUCAUUUCGCUACCCAAGAGAAUGUUGCUUGGCUUAAGAUCUCAAUGAGUAUCACAUGAAUUUGAAAGUGCACAUAUUUACCAAAGAUGAAGAAGUCCAAGCUUUUAUUUGGGAAGUAUUCGUAGACCAGUAUUUUUUUUUCCUCUCCUUGAGAGCAACAUCCCAUGAGCCUAACCAAAUUUCUGUGUUGAAGUUUCGCCAUGAGCUCAACUUCAUUUUUGAACUCUACGAAAUCUUCUCCUGAGUGUGAAUCAAGUCUCUUCACUGCUAUCUCAUUACCAUCAGGCAAGUAGCCCUAGGAAAAAAUAUAUUUUCACCAGUAUUCUGCAACAAUCCGGGCUGCUUUAGGUUUCACAAGUUGAUUCACAAUUCACUAGGACCGAGUAAAAGCACAUUUACACUACUUUGGGUCUAUAUUCUAAUCAUCAUUGUUCCUAUACUUUAACGAAGUUUCGGGUUGCAUUUUUCCCAUCAUUGUUCCUGUACUUUAGGUGUUGUAUAUUUAUACCUUAUAAACAGGGCCAAAUCCACCUUGGCCGAGUUUCAUUUCCUUGGAAAAGUUAACUGCCGGCGGCAGAGCGCAAGAGCACGCACCACGCUGGUGGUGGCGGUGGUGAAGAACUGCGGGGAGGAGGAGCUGUUGCCGGGGAGGGUGUCGUUGAGCACGGCGAUGCUGGACCGGUAGGUGCUUUUGGCCGUGUAGUUGCCGCUGCUGCCGCAGACGUGGCCGAUCGCCGCCGCCGACGCCGGCAUGAGGAGGAGGAGGAGCAGCACGCCCGCCAUGCUGACCGUACGUACGUACGUGUGACGCCUGGUGCUGCUUGUCUUGAUUGCCUCUGCUUCCCGUGGCUUUAACAUGGCAAAAUGUAGAGGAGGUCAAGGUCAUCUGGUCUUCGGAGAGUUCGCUGUCGUUGGUGGAAAAAGUUUCUACAGCGUUUGAAGUUCAUUUCUCGACUUCAGAUUGUUCACAUCACUGCCUCACUCACAGCGUCACACGCUCUCGGUCUACCAGCUCCGGGACGGCAGGAACAGAAUUAUAUUUUAUUUUUUAAAACAGUACUCCCUCUGUCUCAAAAUAACUUUCUUAACUUUGUACUAGCUCUAGUAUAAAUUUGUAUUAAGCUUAAGACACUUAUUUUGAGACGGAGGGAGUAGUAUUUUGCUCCUUUUUUAAAUAGAUAGGACGUCUCUAACGCCGACUCUUAGAACGUCCCCAAACGUUUAAACCGACAUGUUGGAACGUAGUUUGUCACCUAACAUGGACCCCUAUCUGUUCGUGGAUGCUUCCGCGUGUCCAUUUUGCCGUAAAUCAGACAGAAACCAGGAGAAGGUAUACUGGUGCCCGGUUCGCCUGUAUGCAUCUGAAACCCCAGUCCCAUCCCAAACCCUCCUCACCCAAAAAACGAUCUCCGUGUGCGGCGGUUAUCAUACGUUCAUCCUAAUGCUCCAGAAUGAACGUGACUGCAUGACAUUGAUGCCAGUCGGAGUGACGCGACCAGCCGAGAGGACGGCGCCACUUCAAUGCCGAUGCAACAACCCUUAGAGUACACCGGCUAGUGCGCUGCAUUGAAGCGGGUUGCCCCGUGGUUCGUUUGGCCACGACUAUUUAAGCACGGAUUCAGUGCGGCCCACACAACGUCUUACAUCCUCCCCUUUCUGCCAUGCCCCGACCCCGUCCUCACCAUCUUCGCUCACCGUCGUCCACGAUGUCGAUGUUGUGGUUCUUCGCGUGCUGCAGAUCUCCUUCCAGCUAUGCCAGCUCGUGGCGUCAUUGUCGUCACUCUCCGAGGCCAUCUUUCUCCACGGCGACCGGCUUCUCCGGGAAGCAGUUGAUUAUCCUCUCCUACAGUGAUGAGGUGGACCAGGAGCUGCACCGGAUGUGAUGACUUUACUUUGCAAUGGAUGUCUUGUUACGAAGACAUUUGCAACAGAGGUUAUGUUACUAUUUUUUUUUGCAACAUAGGUUGUAUUGCGGGAUUUCUUUUUGCAACAUGGGUCGUGUUGCAUAAUUAUUUUGCAACAUGAGUCGUGUCACGGGAUUUGUUUUGCAACAUAGGUCAUGUUGUCGGAUCUAGCCGCUACGGGAUGUAUCAUUGGUCGGUUGCAACAAGGGGCUAGUUCCACAACCUUUUUCUGUAACAAUGUGCUAGUUGUAGAACGUGGACACGAAGGGGUUAACUCCUCAUCAGCUGACGGAGUCCAUCCAACGGACAUGAGGGCGGUGGGCGCUCGCAUACGAUUAGCCGGUUGAAGGGUCCUUCCCACCAUUUACGCUCGCAUGCGAUCAGCCUUUGUCAUUAUUACAUAGAAAUUCGUCAUUCCUCGAAACAGGCUUUCGCGUCGUAUUAUAAAUAAAGCACCGAACCAAAGUUCACGGUCGAACGAUACAAUAUGGUGGGAAACACCCCUUACAAAGAAGAUCAAAAGAGAAGUAAGAACCUAGAACAAGUCUAACACCUCGCUGAGGACCGAACAGACACCCCUAAGCUUAAUGACAAUGCCCCAAAGAGUGUGACGGCGGGAAGCAUCGCUGCUGCCGAGUUUGAGAACAGAUAAUGGUUUUCACCAUCAUCCCUGGCGCAAAAACAAAAUCAAAGGACACUGUCUUCAAGAAGCAAGCGGCGCCCACGGGCGAUGCACGCGAGGCUUUGACUCAGACACUUGCUUGUACCACCAAGACGAGUCACGGCCACCACCCCAACAAGGGCCAACUUGUCGACCCCAGAUCUGGGCCCUGUCAAAGCAAGCCCGGGCUUCCCAACACUACAUCCCUAGUCACCCACAUGACAAAAAGAUGAAGCCACCAACCCCAUCAUGAUGCCUGCCGGAAAGCUAACCAUGGAGACCGCUGUCCCGGCAUACAUGCCCAUGGGCAUCGCCGACCAUCCACGUCACGACCACCGAACAAUAGUAUUAAGAGUGAAAGGGACCACCUUUCACUCCCAGCCCGACAUCAGCCAUCUGGUUUGGGUCAGAACCACCACAACAGGAAGCGUCGACACAUAUGUUCCCAGCCGGUCUCUGUGGACCGGAGGAGGCACAACUCAAUGACUACCGACGGCAACCACUGAGCACUCUCGUAUGCCACCAUGUCCAUGGUCAUUGCUGCUGAUUCUACGAUGACACAACAAUGCAUGGAGGGCUACCCUCACACCGAUGCCACAAUAAACACCAAGAAAGAAGGGCAGAAAGCGAAGGCAUCCAACGCGGACCAAAUCAACCCCUCGUAGUUGAGCACCAUCGAGAAACGUCCACCAGCACUGCUGCGAUGACAUACCGAAGCCACUCCUCGGGCCGCAGGCAACCGGAUCUUAUAUCUGCCACUAGACCGGGCCCACGGUCGACAUUCAACGCCGCCUAGAAGACCGACCGAUCCACCAAAGACACCCGUGCCCCCACACCAGCCCCCGCGAGAACAAGCAUCCAGGAGGCACGCCACCGCAAUAGACCACCAGAUCCGCGCCGNNNNNNNNNNNNNNNNNNNNNNNNNNNNNNNNNNNNNNNNNNNNNNNNNNNNNNNNNNNNNNNNNNNNNNNNNNNNNNNNNNNNNNNNNNNNNNNNNNNNAGUACCUGAAAAGGACUAAGGAGAUGUUUCUCGUGUAUGGAGGUGACGAAGAGCUCGCCGUAAAAGGUUACGUCGAUGCAAGCUUUGACACAGAUCCGGACGACUCUAAGUCGCAAACCGGAUACGUAUUUAUUCUUAAUGGGGGUGCAGUAAGCUGGUGCAGUUCCAAGCAAAGCGUCGUAGCAGAUUCUACAUGUGAAGCGGAGUACAUGGCUGCCUCGGAGGCGGCUAAGGAGGGUGUCUGGAUGAAGCAGUUCAUGACAGAUCUUGGAGUGGUGCCAAGCGCACUGAAUCCAAUAACCUUGUUCUGUGACAACACGGGUGCCAUUGCCUUAGCAAAGGAACCACGGCUUCACAAGAAGACCAGACACAUCAAACGACGCUUCAACCUCAUCCGCGACUACGUCGAGGGAGAGGACGUAAGUAUAUGCAAAGUGCACACGGAUCUGAAUGUAGCAGACCCGCUGACUAAACCUCUUCCACGGCCAAAGCAUGAUCAACACCAGAACUGUAUGGGUGUUAGAUUUAUUACAAUGUAAUUCACAUGGUGAUGUGAGGGCUAGAUUAUUGACUCUAGUGCAAGUGGGAGANNNNNNNNNNNNNNNNNNNNNNNNNNNNNNNNNNNNNNNNNNNNNNNNNNNNNNNNNNNNNNNNNNNNNNNNNNNNNNNNNNNNNNNNNNNNNNNNNNNNUGUACGAUCUACAAGGGUACGUAGAUCACUCAUCCCCUCUCGUAGAUGGACAUCACCAUGAUAGGUCUUCGUGUGCGUAGGAAAUUUUUUGUUUCCCAUGCGACGUUCCCCAACAGUGGCAUCAUGAGCUAGGUUCAUGCGUAGAUGUCUUCUCGAGUAGAACACAAAAGUUCUUGUGGGUGGUGAUGUGCGUUUUGCUGCCCUCCUUAGUCUUUUCUUGAUUCCGCGGUAUUGUUGGAUUGAAGCGGCUUGGACCGACAUUACUCGUACGCUUACGAGAGACUGGUUUCAUCGCUACGAGUAACCCCGUUGCUCAAAGAUGACUGGCAAGUGUCGGUUUCUCCAACUUUAGUUGAAUCAGAUUUGACCGAGGAGGUCCUUGGAUGAGGUUAAAUAGCAACUCAUAUAUCUCCGUUGUGGUGUUUGUGUAAGUNNNNNNNNNNUGCGGGGCGGAUCGAGGGACGUGAGGACGUUCUACUACAUCAACCGCGUUCACUAACUCUUCUGUUGUACGAUCUACAAGGGUACGUAGAUCACUCAUCCCCUCUCGUAGAUGNNNNNNNNNNNNNNNNNNNNNNNNNNNNNNNNNNNNNNNNNNNNNNNNNNNNNNNNNNNNNNNNNNNNNNNNNNNNNNNNNNNNNNNNNNNNNNNNNNNNAUUAUUUAUUCAAUUUCAAACACUUUUCAUUAUCAUAGUUUUGUCAAAUUCUCAAAUAUGCAAACAGAAUUUUAAUAAACAUAGUUUUUAAUUGAAAAUAGCAAAAUAGUUAAUAGUUUGGAUAGUCAAAAUAAUUACUUUUGAAAAUAGAAAAUAGUUUUGNNNNNNNNNNUAAUAGUUUGGAUAGUCAAAAUUAUUACUUUUGAAAAUUGAAAAUAGUUUUGCAUUAUUUAUUCAAUUUCAAACACUUUUCAUUAUCAUAGUUUUGUCAAAUUCUCAAAUAUGCAAUUUUUUUUAAUAAACAUAGUUUUUAAUUGAAAAUAACAAAAUAGAUAAUAGUUUGGAUAGUCAAAAUUAUUAAUUUUGAAAAUAGAAAAAAAUUGAAACUAUAUGAGAAUUUAUAGAGAAAAUUCAACCUUAAUUCAAAGUGAACUCACUUUGAAUUCAGGUUGAAUUUUCUCCAUAAUUUCGACUAUAGUUUCAAUUUUCAGUGAGUUUAGGCCAGUAAGCCUGCUUUAGAGAGGAGCUCGAUGGAGAAGGUGCGACGGGGCUUAUAAACAAGUGUUAGUCCCCCUCGCUGGGCGAGGUGGGACUAAACUUAUCGUGCAGCCGAGGAGGGGNNNNNNNNNNNNNNNNNNNNNNNNNNNNNNNNNNNNNNNNNNNNNNNNNNNNNNNNNNNNNNNNNNNNNNNNNNNNNNNNNNNNNNNNNNNNNNNNNNNNAGAGGAGAAGUAGAAGAAGAGAAGAGGAGAAGUAGUAGAAGUAGAAGUAGAAGAAGAAGUAGAAGAAGAGGAGAAAUAGAAGAAGAGGAAAAAUUAGUUUAGGGUUACAAGAAGAAGAAAUAUUGUAUAGUGCAUAUGCUUAAGUGUUAAUAGUGUUUCUUAGAUUAUUGCUUAAUUUUGCUAUUGUAUAUGCUUAAGUGUUAAUAGUUUAAUUUUGCUAUUGUAUAUGCUUAAGUGUUAAUAGUUUAAUUUUGCUAUUGUAUAUGCUUAAGUGUUAAUAGUUUAUUUUUAGCAAGAAAAUUAAUAGAACUAGUUUAUUUUUUUAGUUCAUUUUACGAUGCCUAUCCCGCAUCCUCGUCGUCGACUCGGCGGAGGACACCUGCUUGAUCAGAGGGGCCCUGUCCGGGACUGGGCUCCGCCCGGCUGGUAUUGGGAGGUGCUACCUUCGGGGGGGCGUAGGUUGGUGAGCAGCCAGCCCGUCUUUGACCCGAUCCUUGUUUGGUGGCGGUCGCGUGGGCCAGUGAGGGUGCCGAGGCUUCCGGACACCGUGGAGGUGGUACGUCACCGUGUCAGCGAGGAGGAUGAGCACGUCCGUCGCUACAUGGUUGCGUUGGAGGGCAGGUUCGAGCAUACCUGGCAGGUUCUUCGGGGAUCUCACUAGAGCUAUGAUCCUGUGAUGGUUCCUUCUCUUUGGGGGUCCACCGCCCGCGCCGAUACCCGUCGGGCGCUACGGUUCUAGAUGUAUCAGUGAUGCUAUAUGUAUGAUAGUAUUCGAGGAGUAUUAGUGAUAAUAUUCGACGAUGUACGGACAAAAGAGAUGAUGUAUUUGCUUAUAAUUGAAUGCAUGCUAAUUUGAAUACUACGUUAUUUUACGAUUUGGUUUUGCUUAUUGAAUGCUCAAAUUGGAAAAGUACUCCUACUUUGAAUACUAUGCAGAAAUCUAGGAGUCCCAGGUGGAGCCACGACCCGGGACUAAAGUUGUUUUGGAACGGAGUUCCUGAUAGAAUAAUUCUUGUUUGGUACAAAGGUUAAGAGAAUCCGUUUUUUGCAGAACUAUGGAUCCACAUAUCAGGAACCUCAAAGAGGAAGAACUUCUCGAAGAUAUAAUCAAAGACGGCCCCGACGUUGAACCAGCUGAAUCUCCGUCGUCAUAUCUAAACCCCGACGUUGGAAUGGAGGCCGAGCGACACGAAGAUGAAGCCGAUGGGGCAGGAGAUAGGUCCAAUGACGGAGAAGGUGAUAGCUCCACUGAUGGAGAAGCCGGUGAUGAAAUAAUAAAGUCCGGCGAGGUAUACAUAUGAAGUUCGACAAUCACUUGUAAUAUGUGAAAAAUAUUGGAGAUAGCUCUAUAUUGUAUACAUAUACAUUCAUUUGACGAAUGUUUCUCCCUCUUAGGCCUCCACAUCGAGCAAAACUACGAAAUGAGGCCCGACUAGAAAGUUGGAUGCACGGACGCAUUACACCUUUGAGGUGAUAUUGCCUACGGGCGANNNNNNNNNNNNNNNNNNNNNNNNNNNNNNNNNNNNNNNNNNNNNNNNNNNNNNNNNNNNNNNNNNNNNNNNNNNNNNNNNNNNNNNNNNNNNNNNNNNNCGCCUCGCGCUGCCGCAGCUCGCGCCAGCACCCGCCCCCGCCCGCGCCUCGCCUGCCAGUCCCUCCGAACGCCGCAGCCGCCUGCUCGCCGAGCACCUCCGCCCCGUCGCGCCCUGGAUCGGAUCUAGAUCGGGCUCGCCCUCUACGGCCUCUUCUGGCUCCAGCCGCUCAUCGGCUUUNNNNNNNNNNNNNNNNNNNNNNNNNNNNNNNNNNNNNNNNNNNNNNNNNNNNNNNNNNNNNNNNNNNNNNNNNNNNNNNNNNNNNNNNNNNNNNNNNNNNNNNNNNNNNNNNNNNNNNNNNNNNNNNNNNNNNNCCCUCAAGGCGAGCGCGGCAAGGCCGUGGCUGCGGAGGUAGUUCGGCUCGACACGAGGCCGGAUGUGGAGGCGGAGCGAAGCGACGGCGGCUCAGCGGCGAGUGGAGAUGGAGGCGGACUGAAGCGACGGCGACUCAGCGGCGAGUGGAGGUGGAGCGAAGCGAUGGCUGGCAGAGAUGGCGAGGCGCCAGCGGCGGCUUAACCCGGCGGGGUUGCAGGGCAGCGCAUGGAGGUUACUUGAGGCAUACACACGCGCAAGGCGAGGUAAGACGCCGAGGUGGAGCUGGGAUGGAGCGAGGCCGGCUCAAGGCGUGGAGGUGCACGACAAAGAGGCGUUGGGCGAGGCGGGAGCGGCGGCCACAAUGGANNNNNNNNNNNNNNNNNNNNNNNNNNNNNNNNNNNNNNNNNNNNNNNNNNNNNNNNNNNNNNNNNNNNNNNNNNNNNNNNNNNNNNNNNNNNNNNNNNNNGGGGGGCUAGGCCAGCAGCCAACUCAUUCGCCAUUCCUUAAGACUCCAAAUUGACUAACCGGUGAUAAUUCUCUUAGUCGUUGCUUUCAGUUGAGCAAGUCUUGCUUUCAGAGAGUCAAGGGCAGAUUAUUCAAUAUGAUACGGAAUUACUCAGGUCAUGGAUGUCGAAGUUCACCUGCUCAUACGUGUCUGGCACGGCCGGCCAUCGCGUUCUUUCCACGUCGCUUGUGAGACAACUUGGAAGAAUGAAAGAAAUUUUAUACAUUGGCUGGCCAGUCUGCCAACUAUUGCUGUUGCUUUCCAACCAAUUUAAUCAAUCAAUCUCGUCGUCACCUCAGUUUUCACUUUCACUUGCGUAUACACUCGGUCUACUAUACUAGCUGCCGGCCGGUAGGAAUAUAAUAUAAGAUAUUUGUUUCAGCAAAUCAUUUCUACAUUGAAAGCAAGAACUACUGAAUCACAUGUCCAAAAUUAGAAGAGAGCGAAAAAAAUUGCGCAGCAAAUGGGAAAGCCUGCCACGGGAAACCUAAAUUCAAAGUCGUUCCUUUGGGCAAUCUAUUUCAUACAUCGCCCAAAUAUUGAGAACACGCCCCUUCCCCAUCUCAUAGCCGCCCAAAUAUUGAGAACACGCCCCUUCCCCAUCUCAUAGCCGCCCAAAUAUUGAGAACACGCCCCUUCCCCAUCUCAUAGCCCCCUCUGCUUUGGUCCCACUCCUUCAUUUCUCUUCCCCCAUGGCCACGACUAAUUCGACACAUCUUCAUCUCAACAAACGGAAGUACAGGAAAAUCGCACCUACUCGUACUAUAAUUAAGAAGUACGGAAACUACAGGAAAUUGGUGGAAAGUGUGCGGAGGCACGCACCCCGCCAAGCCUUGCCCGGCCGCUCGAUUUUCUCGCAAUUCGUAAAGUAGUUGUAUCCCACACAAGGGCACAAUAAGUUUUAAAUUUCAGUCAUUGAAAUUUACAAUUUUUCAUCUGAAACUGGUGAAUUUUCGUUCGCUUUUAUCAAGUUUCAUAGAUAACUUUUUAAAGAGUAAAAUACAUCGGAGGUCCUAAAAGUAUUUCAAGUGUAUCAAAUAGGUUCUAAAAGUUUAAAAACGUUCAGCCCAGGUCCUAUAUGUGUAUUUUACCUAUGACUUUCAGGAAAUAUUUGACACACUUGAAAUACUUUUAGGACCUGCGAUGAACGACUUACACACAUUUAUAACCCACAAUGAACGUUUUUAAACUUUUAGGACUUAUUUGACACACUUGAAAUACUUUUAGGACCUCCAGUAUAUUUUACUCUUUUUUAAAACAUUUUUUCUGUCGGUUGUAGGCACAAAAUGGUGAUUUUAUCGGUCACCUAUAGUAAGUUUCAAUAGUUGAAAUUUAACAUUUAUUUUUUAAAUUCAUCAAAAUGUAUUUAAAAUGAAUCUUUUUGAAAGCCUUUGUCACAAAAACACGAAUAUGAAGACAUAAUUUAAUUUGACUUUUUGUUCAAUAGAUAUAAAAGUUGAUGUGAGAUCUAUGUGCCACAAAUCCACUCCCCCAAAACUACCCAUAGAAUAGUUGAAAUCCCUCCAAGGCUCCAACCAAGAAAACCAACCAAUCGUAGGACAAGGAACGAAAAGAGUUCCGCUCGGUGAAGGAUUCAUGUACCCGCCAAGGCACUUGCCCCCUACUAUAUAUAUACAAGAAGCUGAAGGCUCCUUAUGGAGGAACAAAAGCCGAUUCAUAUUGCGCAAGCUUUUGAAUAGACGUGGUCUAUCAUAGAUAGGUUGAAGGCUUCAUCAAGCACCAAAACCAGCUCUACUCCGUUGGUAUCAACCAUUUAGACACUGCAGUUUGUAGUGUUGUUGUUAUAGACCAACAUAGCAGUUCUUGUUUUUUCGUAUAUACCAAUUCAUUAUGUAUGGACCAACUUAGCAUAAUCAAAAUAACAUUUCGCACGACCAACAAUUGUAUUCUGUUUUAGUUAUAUGUGACAAAAAAGGUAGAAAAAACACCACAUGCACAUAACUAAAGUUAAGUAAAAGUUGAAAAUUAAGAACAAAAGGAGAAUGGAAAAAGUUACUGCAAGUAGCUUCGAAGCCUUCUCUUAUACUUCUUAGGGUACAUAAACCACACAUUUGAAAUACCACUUAAACUUACACAUUAUACACCAUUUAUGUUGGUGUGAAUGUACUACAAAUAGACAGUUAAAGAACAUGACAUGGGGGGAGACUAUCUAGGACUAGUGAUAGAUAUGCUCACAUCAUUGAUACUAUAUGACUCCUGAGUAGUGGAUGUCUCUUCAUUUCCUACUCUUACAUUGAUAUAUGCUGGCUGCUUAGGCUCAGCCAAGAUCAUAGUUUCAUUGCUUAGCAGUGAAACAAUAUCACCCAUGGUUGGACGAUCAACUGCAUUCUCUUGUACACACAAUAAUGCUAUGUUAAUGCACCUCCUUAUCUUUGCCGAGUGACUAUCAGAAACCAACGAUGCAUCAACAAGGUCAAUCCACUUCCCCUCUUCCCAUAAUUGCCAUGCCUGUUUACAAUUCCAUUACAAACAUUAGGUUGUAUGAAAAAUGAAAAUAAGAGAUAAUUUCCGAAGCUUAAGUUUGUUUAUAAGCUCACGUAUCCAAGAAGAUUGAUGAAACCUCCACGUUGCUGGGUGCCAGAAUUCCGUUUUCCACUAAGGAUCUCAAAAAUGAUAACACCAAAGCUGAAGACAUCGGACUUAAUAGAGAAGAUGCCCUUCGAAGCAUACUCAGGGGCCAUGUAGCCACUGAAAUGGUAUUUGGUAAGUGUCAAGAUUGCAUUAUCUCGUUGAAAUGCAGUAUAUAUAAUUGCAAUUGAAGUUUUAUUAAGAAACUUACUAUGUGCCAACCACUCUUCUUGUAAUGUCUUCUUCGGUGUCAUUUGAGCUGAAUAUUUUUGCUAGCCCGAAAUCUGAAAUUUUGGGAUUCAUUUCGCUGUCCAGGAGAAUGUUGCUUGGUUUAAGAUCACGAUGUAUGACAAGUAACCGAGAGUGCUUAUGCAAGUAAAGAAGUCCAUGUGCCACUCCUUCAAUUAUUGCUAGAAGUUUUGUCCAAUCCAGCAAAACUCUUUUAUUCUCAUCUGCACACAUCAAUUAGAUAUUAGUAUAACAGUAGAAGAACACCUAGAAUAGUGAAAAUAAACAGCCGAGAGAAUGAAAUUAUACCCAUAGGACUGGUAGAAAUAAAAGUCUAGAGUAAUCAUAAUAAAAGUCUCAAGUUAAUUAAGAAAUGCAAAUUUAUACCAAAGAUGAAGAAAUCCAGGCUUUUGUUUGGCAAGUAUUCAUAGACCAGUAUUUUCUCCUCUUCUUGAGAGCAACAUCCCAAGAGCCUAACCAAAUUUGUGUGCUGGAGUUUGGCUAUGAGCUGCACUUCAUUUUUAAACUCCAUAAAACCUUGUCCUGAAUGUGAAGCAAGUCUCUUAACCGCUAUCUCCGACCCAUCUGGAAGAUGGCCCUGGAAAAAAAAAAACCGGAUGUUCAAAACUUAGGCUCAUUGUUUCUUAAAAAAACAAGGCUCAUUGCAAUUAAUCCUCCUCUACUAUUUACUCCAAGUUAAUUAUAAGCCAGGUUCAAUACUUGUUUCAUACAAAAGAUGAUGCAUAUUAUGCUUCUAUACUGAUUUACCUUGUAGACUGCGCCAAAGCCACCUUGUCCAAGUUUACUUUCUUCUGAGAAAUUACUUGUGGCCUCCAGUAGCUGUUCAAACUCAAACAAAGAGAAGUCCGAAUUUUUCCCUUGCCACUCCAAACUGUGAGCACCUCUUGAUGCUUGUACAAUCAAAUAUCAUAUACCAGAAUUAUUACCACAAAUUUUAAAGAUUAUAUGAAAGAAUAACAACGUUCCACUAGAUAAUUAUUAGCAUAGAUACCUCUUCUUUGCCUUUUUAGCCGGCGAAAAUAACAGAUGAAAAAGAGAAACGCUGCUGCCGCUAGAGGAACUACAGCUACGGGAAUCACCCAAAGCAUGCUCCUGCGUUUGGUCAGAGUCUGAGCCGGCCCCGGCGGCGACGACGGCAGGCUUAGCAUGGGCUGGGCGUCGUAGAAAUGAGAGGCCUCGUACCUGAAAUAGCACCGCGUGACACCCAUCCGCCCACCCAUGCGUAGGGACAUAGUGGAGUUGACCAUGCCGAGGAGGCGCAGCAGGCAAGCCGAGCAGUCGUCGCCGGACAGGUCCGGCGUGCACUGCGCCUGGGAGUACACGUUGGGGUAGGUUGUCACUCUUUCCAUGUCCAUGACGCCCGUGGCGUACAGCUUCGGCGUCGUGGUGGCCGCCAUCGCCGCGGUCCUCACCAGCAGCUCGCGGGUGAGGUUGACGAUGCGGGGGACGUCUCCGGUGGUGACGUUCCUUAUGUUCCAAUCCUGGAAGGGUGGCGUGUUGUCGCCGGAUCUCCCCGUGGUGUUGGAUGGCGCCGCUAGGAUGUCGGCGGUGGCGCCGUAGACGAUGGUGCAGUUGCCGCCGUAGCUGAAGCCCACCUUGUCGCACUGCGUCUGGUUCACGUUAGCGAACAAGUUGGUGAUGCAGGCACCACAGGAAGAGCCGUCGAGGAUGUUGCCGAGGCAGAGCGCGAGCGCAUAGACAACGUCGGGGGCCUGUCCGAAGCUGGUGGUGGCGAACUGUACCGGGGAAGAUGAGGCGUUCUGGGAGAGGGCGGCCCCGGCGGCCUUGACGUUGUCGCAGAAAUCGGCGGCGGCCAGAAACGGUGUGGAUGCGAGUAUGAGGAGCAGGAUGACGACGCCGAUGGUCGUCGCCAUGGGAAGCUAACAGCCUAACACGACCUGCAGCCAGGUACAAACCUAUCACUUCUUGUUUUUCUUCUGCCAGAUGCAGAUUGAUGCAUGAACGAAUCACUAUCGGUCCUAGUCACUUUGAAAAAAUUACUAUAUCGGUCAAUAGUGCAUUACUUUGAAACGAUCGACGCACCAAUCACUUGGUCUUGACUAAUGAACGCAGGUCAGGCCAGCUAGCGACAACUGAAAGCUCAGUGUUGUUUUCUUCCUAUUUUUUCCCGGACAAAACUGUACUACAUUGACAAACUAUUCCAUCUUGUGUGGAAAAAUCUGUUACUCACUAUAGCUAUGUUUCCACUUGGAAAAGAAAACACUGGAAGUACGUACAUUCCACUUGGACCAUUCUUCAGUUAAUUUCCCACCGCCAUCCAUGGGUGCCUCAUAUCAGUUGCUUUCAGUUCUCACCAGCGAAAAACAAGUAUAUUACCUUAAUUUCAUUACUUUGAAACGAUCGCGUUGAAUUUUGUGGAUUGGAGCUUCCACUGGUCGCCGACUUCCUAGAAUAUAUUUCCUAUCUUUUCUUUCCAAGACAAAACAUGCACUUAGUUUGGUAUUAGUUCUUCAUUUUAACCUUUUGCUAUUUGGCCUGCCCUAAUUCGUCCAUAAGUCUUUCUGGAACUACUUCUGUUUCUGCAUAAUCUAGCAAGAGCAUGCAUAUUUUGCCACUAUUUUAGCUUAAUAAUUUAUAUGGAGAAGGUAAUUGUGACAAAGUAUUGAACCGGCAUUUGUAUGGUUUUCGUUUGAUGAAAUGAUAUAAAAUUCUACAUACUGCAAGUGCAGUAUUCUCUGAAUUGGAUAAAGGCCUAGGCUGUAAGAUCGUGUAUCUUAUGAUCAUCCCUAGUACUACUGUAAAAUCAUGAAUUUUACUGGGUAGAAUCAUAGAACAUGUCCAAAAAAAAAUUACACUGGAAAGUCAUAGAAAGCGUAUGGUUGAAUUAUGAUUUUGUUGACCUUCAUAUCAAGGUGCAGAGGGGGCCCACAUGUCAACGAUCCAAAGUCAUGUGACUUAGGUUAAAGGUUGUGCACCUGAUUGCAUGUGAUGAGGCGCUCUACCUCUCUUUUUUACGGUACCCUAUACUGCCAGAGAAGAGGCAACAGUAUAUUUCUAAUUUCACCGUUGAUUUCAUAUGGGUAAUAUAGACCUUUUUUAGUUUUCACGGUAAAAAAUGUGUUCGUUCAUAGAUGGCUGAUGGGCUAAUACUUCGCCCCAUAUCCCGCAUCUUGCCGUUACGCUCGUCCCUCCCCAAGUCACUCCAGGAAAUAGGCAUUGCCGCCGUCGGGGGCAUCGGCCCUUGUUUGCCCCGUCCAUCUACCUCCAGCCGUGCUCCGUUGUUGCCCUUCCGGUAGCCGUGUCUCAUGGCCGGGAGCUUGCUGCCGCGUCACAUCGUCUGUGUCCCGACUGUGUGAUUGCAUUGUAGAAGGUAGAAACUGAACGAGCCACACACAUUUUUAAAAUUCACGAACUAAAGCACCAUUUCCAGAACGUUGUAUGGGGGUAGGCACGCAGAUCAAACUUCAUGUUUCUGAAUCUGAUAAGACAAAAAUCAAUGCUUUCAGCAUUAAAUCGCGAUCAGCCAAGGGGCCAAACUGCGGGAGUCGCUCUUCUUCGUGAGGAAGAGGAGGGGGCUCGCAGAGGGAGAUAAAUCGGGCGUGCGGCGGCAGCGGCCGGAAUCGUCGCAGCGUAGGCGUGGGUCAGGUCAGCGGGUGGGCGGGCUGAAAUAUUACGAUGUUCCCAAACUGCCCUCAAUCUCCGUAUACUGCUCCACUUUGCUCGGGUUGGAGUGCAUAUACCGCUGGCCCGUUGAAGCAGUACAAAUCAAUCUCUAGCGUUGGAUUUUCCCGAAUGGACGGACUAAUUUUAUUACGGGGUACCAUAAAAGAUCUCCUAAAUAUACAUAUGGAUUGCUUACGUAGUCUGUACGUAUCGUCAUGAGUUUAUUUUAGCUAGCUAGGAUUCUAAAUCUCAUUGUUGGGUGUCAUUCUCAGUCCCCAUCAAAUGUACCAGCAACUAAUAAUUUCCACGGAACGACUUGACUCGGGCGCUUGAAUCGUUAUGAGUAGUCACUUUGAAUUUUUUUUAUUAUCGAUCGACACUACAUUACUUUGAAACGAUCGACCCAGCAAUCGCUUGGUCUUCAAUCGUUCAUCUGGUCUUGACCCUUGAGCAGGUCAAGCCAGCUAGCAACAACUGAAAGCUCAGUGUUGUUUUCUUCCUAUUUUCUUCCAGGGAAAUUAUUACUCAAUACUUUGACAAAUUAUUCCAUCUUGUGUGGAAAAAUUUGUUACUUGGUAGUUCUGUUUCCCCUUGGAAAAAGGAACAGUGGAUGUACGUACAUUCCACCUGGACCAUUCUUCAGGGUUUUCUUUUUGCGGGAAGACAAUUCUUCAGUUAAUUUCCCCCCGCCACCGGCCAUAUCAGUUGGUUUCAGUUCUCACUAGCGAACACGUACCUUAAUUUAAUUAAUUUGAAAUGAUCAAGGCACCAAUCACACGCUGAAUUUCGUGAAUUGGAGGUUCCACUUGAUCGUCGGCUUGCUAGCUAGAAUAGAUUUCUUAUCUUCUCUUUCGAAGACAAAACAUGCACUUAAUUUGGUAUAGUUCUUCAAUUUAACCUUUUGCUGUCUGGCCUGCACAAAUUCGCGUUGGCAGAACUCUAGCUUAAUUAAUUAUAUGGAGAGGCUAAUUGAGACUCCCUCAUUUAUAUGUUUUGCGUUAACGAAGUGAUAGUAAAAUACUACUCCCUCCGACACGGUUUAGAAGGCACGGUUAAAUUUACGUGUGUUUCCAAAAUAGACAAGGUUUAGAACGCGUUACAUUUAUUCCUAUUAGCUAAUUAGUACUUGGUUGUAUUACUCCUAUCUGCAUGCAUAGUGUGAAUGCUAUUUUUGAGCCCAUCUCACAGCCAAUGAAUAACCACCUAGGUUUCAGAGAAAUUUCAAAACGCGCCUUCUAAACCGUGACGGAGGGAGUAUGUUCUGCAAGAGGUGGUCGGAAUCGUGAUUGGACCGAAACCUAUGUGGUAAGAUGGUUUAUCUUAUUGGCUAGAUAUGUAGAUCGUGUCCAAACAAUUUAGAUGGGAAGUCAUAGAACCAUAUGAUAUAAUCACAAUUUCGAUGUCCUUGAUUGCAAAUGCCAGGCGCUCCACCCCACUAAAUAUACAUAUAGACUGCUUACGUAGUGUAUUGUUCUGAAACUAUUUUAGCUAGCAAGGUAAGUGUCAUUGUUGGGUGUCCUUCUCAGUCACCACCAAAAGUACCAGUGACUAAUAUUUUCCAUGGAAAUGCCUUUGACUCGGGCGCUUAUCAGUUGUAGAAAAAACUAUCUGAUGUAUCCGGUCACCAAGUAAUUAUGAGAUUAUCUGUCGCACCAGCGUAACAUGAUUGAUUAGGACAAGAAAACAGUCACCUUUUCAUGAGAAACAAAUUAGUCACUUCAACCAUGAUUGACUUAGUAUUGCUGGCGUACGUCGUAUUUUGGAAAGUCGUGCUGAUGAAGUUGGUUUUUUUUCUUUUUGCGAAUUUGCUAUGCUAUGUCUUUUUUGAAAUGUGAAAUGGUGUGCAACCUGAAGGUGACAAGCAGUUGUUCUUGACAUCGCGUUCUUUUAAGACAGAUGAUCUCAGUUUGUUACUUAAGCGAAGAGGUUACAUAAGAAUCAAAAUCAAAGAAACUAUAACAAAUAUGACAAACAAUAAACGUUGGUGCAUGAGGCCCGACGAGAAUUUUGGCCUUGCUAAGUCAGACCGGAUUGAGAUGAUUGUUGAUUUGAAAAUGAGAUAAAAAAAAUGCACAAAAAAAUUACUAUGAUUUAGAAGGGGGCGCCAAUGUUUUGAAUUUCGGCUGUAAAAUACAAAUUUCGGCCGUAAAAUAGAAAUUUCGGCCGAAUUUCGGCCAUCUCGACCUGGGGCGUUAAAUAUCUACCGUCCGAAAAGAAUGAUUUUUGGUCAAAUUUGACAUUUUUUUGUCAUAUUUCAGUCAAAUUUCAGCCGAAAUUUUUAAAAAUGACCGAAAUUCUGCCAUCUCGGCCUGAGGUGAGUAAAAUGUGAAACCGAAAACCAAAACACUGAGAAAAGGUUGGUCAGGUGUAUACAUGAUUGAUUCCUUAUGUAAAAUUUAAUAGUCCAAAAACAUAUAUUUAUUUUAUUAAAUUUAGGAAGCAGAAGUAACAAUCAUUCUUUGAAGAGUUCUAGGCUACUGUUUGUUGUCUCUAAGGGAUGUUAGAGCCUAAUUGGUUUUGAUGUCAACAUUUGAUAAAACCAAAAGUUUUCAAAAUUUGGAAACUUAUUAGAGAUUACAAAGGGCCAAAUGGAAAGCGACCAAUUGCUAGCCAACUUUUUAGCCUUGCCAACAAUUAACAUGCCAAAUAUUUGCAUAAAACCAAUUAAGCUCGUGAAAGAGGGCUUUUUAGUCUGCCCAGGACCGGAAUGCAGCAUGGAGCUUCGUGUGUAAACACAUGAAAGAGGGCUUUUGGACCCCGGGCUCCAUCUCCGCAGAUUGCCAUGAUGAAAAACGUUUUUUUUUUUUUUUUGCGGAGAUGAUGAAAAACGUUUUGAUAUGGAAUACAUUUUCAUAUGGUCCAGCCAGCUAGCGAGAACUGAAAGCUCAGUGUCGUUUUCAUCCAAUUUUUUUCCAGGACAAAACUGUACUACUUUGACAAAUUAUUCGUCUUGCGUGGAAAAAUCUGUUACUCACUAGUUCUGUUUCCACUUGGAAAAAGAAACACUGGAAGUACGUACAUUCCAUCUGGACCAUUCAACCAUUCUUCAGUUAAUUUCCCACCGCCACCGGUCAUAUCAGUUGCUUUCAGUUCUUGCUAGUGAAAAAUAGGAAUUACCAUAAUUUAAUUAGUUUGAAACAAUCAAGUCACCAAUUACGCUGAAUUUCAUGAAUUGGAGCUCCACUUGGUCGCCGGCUUGCUAGAAUAUAUUUCCCAUCUUUUCUUUCCAAGGCAAAACAUGCAUUUAGUUCGGUAUCAGUUCUUUGUUUUAACCUUUCGCAAUCUGGCCUGCACAAAUUCGUCGAUAAGUCUUUUCUGAAUUAGUUCUGUUUCCGCAUAAUCUAGCAAGCAUGCAUGUUGCCACUGUUUUACCUUAAUUAUUUGUAUGGAGAAGGUAAUAUUGAGAAAAAGUAUUGAACCUGCAUUUGUAUGGUUUUCAUUUGACGAAAUGAUAUAAAAUAGUACAUACUGCAAGUCGGGUAGUCUCUGAUUUGCAUCAAGCCCUAGGCGGUAAUAUCAGGUACUCCUGGGCAGACUAUUUGGAAUAAUAUUUGACAUGUCGACUAAUCAUAAAUAUAUAUUUAGUCGGGCAGACUAAUCACAAGAUACUCCUAGAGCCUGAUUUGGAAUAAUAUUUAGUCGAGCAGACUAAUCACAAGUACAAAUAACAAAUACAAAAAUGCGACUCCAAUUCAGUAUAAUGUUGUUGUUUUUGUUUUUCUUUCUUUCGCAGUCAAGUUAUUUUAGUUUUAUAUCACAUAAUAAGAGAGAGAACAGAUAGUAGUUCCAAAAUGAUGAUAGACUUUCUCCUCCUACCUGAUUCACGACCUUAAUAGACAAUUAGAGCCAGAUACUUCUUCAGUAACAACUGUCACUUUUUUUUUACGGUGUUACGGCGGGCUUACGCCGGCCUGAACCAUUUCAUUAAUUAAAUCAGUACAAUUACAAAGGAAAGGGGGGUUGGAGGUAGGGAGAGGGUACAAAGUAUUUAGGUUACAAUCUCUCCGAAAGGUGAAACAACAUGGUGCACCAAUCCUGAAGCAGGAGCAUGGGCUGCUCCUUUGAGCAUCUAUUAGACCAGAGCAUUGAUAUCAUCUGUCGCAGAGCGGGCAAUGAGGUGGAUAGGUUGCAGUUUCCCCUGAAUACCUUUGCAUUUCUUCUUUUUCAUAUAUUCCAUAAGACAUCAAUGAUUAUUGUGGAGUGAGUCUUGCUAGCAUGGUGAGGCCCCCAAAGCUGUCUAAAGUCCGUUGGUGAAGAGGCACACAGUGCUGAGAGCUCUUGCCACAGAGGUCUAAGAUGGCUGCAAAGAAGGAAAAGGUGUUCCUCUGAUUCCGAAGCUGAACAGAACGGGCAGGUGCAAGAGUCCAUUAACCCCCGCGUUGAAGCAUCUUUCGUUGGUGAAGAGUCGAUUUUUGCAUGAAAGCCAAAGGAAAAUUCUGCAUUUAUUGGGUGCAUAGUUCUUCCAGAUGACCGACGCAAAAGGAUCGACGGGUGUGUUGGCCCAAACAGCCUUAUAUGCGGAGUUGCAAGUUAGAGGCUUGUCGUCGAUAUGUCCCAUUCGUUUGUCCUGAACCUGCACAUUCAAGGAGACAGAUGCCAGUAAGGUACACAGAUUAUCCAGUUCAAUGUCUGCAGCAUUAGAUAGUCUCGGAGCCAAAUCAAGCUGCAAUUGAGGAUUACUAAGAACGCGUGCAACGAAGGCCGAAGGUUGAAGAGAGUGGGAAAAAUGUCGGGGUAAAUUGUUGCAAGAUUUUGAGUGUGGUUUGGGACCCACAGGUCAAGCCAGAAGGCAGUAUUCAUACCAUUUCCAAUAUGCACCAUAGUUAUCGACCGAAAUUAGAAAUCAAUCCCCUUGGCGAUGUCUCGCCAAACAUAAGAUUGAAAGGGUGAGUAGUGUCUAUGCCACGAGAAUCCGACCAACCAUGUUUGGCCGCAAGGUGAGAGCUGCUUGAAUAUUGGAUGCUUGAGUGAAGUUUAUUCAAGUGAGAGAGGAGUAAGAAAGAGUUUAAGUGAUGCAAAGAAGAAAAACCUAGACCCCCUCGAGAGAAUGGAGCACGCACAAAUUCCCAAGCCACUUUAUACUGACCACCCGACACUUUGUCCUGUCCUGUCCAGAAAAAUGCACGACAACGUUUAUCGAUUUCCUGAACAAUGCCCAUAGGCAGCAAAAUAGCAGUCAUGGCAUAGAUAGGUAGGCCUCUCAGAACAUCCCGAACCAAGAUUGCGCGACCGGCAAUGGUAAGAAGCACACCUCGGCAAUCUGCCAGACGUCGGUCAAUCUUGUCGAUGAUGAAGAAGAAGUCAUUAAUGUUUAGUUUGUGGGUGGAUAAAGGCAGACCUAGGUAGGAUUGGGGGAAGGAAGAAACCGCGCACCCCAGAAUAGAUGCAAGAGAAGAUGCGAGGCCCGGCUCCACAUGAAUAGGAGCGAAAGUGCUCUUGUGGAAGUUAAUCACCAAACCCGUUGCAUUUGAGAACUGAAGCAGGAUUAAUUUAAGUGUUUGAAGCUGCCCUAGGUCUGCUUGCAGAAUAAUCAGAGUGUCGUCGGCGUAUUGAAGCACUGGGCAGGUGAUAGUAGAGUCAAUGGGGUGGGACAGGAGGCCAUUUGAGGAAGCCUGCUAAAUAAGACGCUGAAGAACAUCGACGACAAUAAUGAAGAGGUAGAGAGAUGUCGGGUCUCCUUGUCGGAGCCCCUUUUUGUAAGUAAUCCAGGGUCCCGGCUUACCGUUAAGAAGAACGGCCGAGUUCUGAAUCCAAUCACACCAUUUCAAAGGAAAACUUUAGCUUUUAAAAUUGUCGCCAGAGCCUCCCAAGAAACAGAAUCAGAGGCUUUUUGGAAGUCUAAUUUUAGGACAUUUGCUCAUUUUUUACGCUUGAAACAAGUUUGAACCAUAUCAGCAGUGUAAAUAAAAUUAUCAGUGAUACCACUGCCUUUAAUGAAGCCAGAUUGAUCAUGAUGAAUAAUCAAAGGAAUAAGGGGCUGCGCUCGGAACGCCAGACAUUUGGAGCUGAUUUUAAUAACACAGUUUUGAAGAGAAACAGGUGUGAAGUUAUCGGGAGAUGAGGUUUCAACGCGCUUUAGGAGUAACACAAUGAAGGCUUUAUUAAUCCUAUUAAGGUCUGCAGUGCCGUUGUGAAAAUCAUUCAGGAGUGCUAACAAAUCAUGCUUAAGAAGAUCCCAAUUAACCUGGAAGAAGGCAGGUCCGAACCCAUCUGGUCCCGAGCUCGCAUUCACGUUCAUGCUAAGAAUCACCAAUCUAAUCUCUUCCAUAGAGAAAGGUCUAAUGAGAGAGAGAGAGAGAGCUUGAAAGCUUUUGAGCUUUGAUCCGAUCAUGAGGCUAUCAAGAUCAAAAUUGAUGACAGAGCUAGAAUGAGUUCCGAGGAGUGUUUUGAAGUAGUCAUGAAGAAUGGCGGCCUUGCCGCUGUGCGAGGUGACAUCCGCACCGUUAACAUGCAAACAAGUAAUUUGAUUUUUGCAAAAGCGAACGAAAGCACAAACAUGCAUGUAACUUGAAUUUUCGUCAUCGAGAGUGCAUUCUCCGAUUUGUUUCUCAUUGUCGCCAAUACGCGGCCAAAAGCUUGUUAUGACGAUGCAAAGCUAGUUUAACUGCAAUGCGAAGGUUAAGCUCUAAGGGAGAAAGCGGGCGGCCUUCCUCAAGUUUGUCAAGCACCGAAAUAGUGGUAGAGCAGUUGGAGGCAAGACGCCUAGGAGUUUUAGCGUUAACCAACCAUUUUUUAGCCAUACUGUGAGUACGCUUAAGCAUAAGGCAGAUUCGGCCAGCAGAACCGAGAGACCGUUGAUGGGGACCUAUGCUUGCCCAAUUAUGGGUGAUUUGUUGAAUGAAGGCUGGGUUUGAUAACAUCAGGUUAUUCAGCCGAAAGAUGGUUGGUUUCAGAAUGUCCGUGGAGGCAGAGAGAACAAUGGGAACGUGGUCCGAGGUGGUGCACGUGAGGAAUGUCAGGGUGGAGUCGGGAAACAUAGUAGUCCAAUCAAUGUUAACAAAUGCUCUAUUCAGUCGAACUAGCGUCGGAUUAUCUUGUUGGUUUGACCAGGUGAAAAGCCUAUCUAGAAGAGGGAUCUCCUGGAGUUGAAGAGAAUUUACCGUCGAGGCAAACAGGCUUGCUUCGAUAGAAUUAAAGAUAGCUGAAGAUUUAUCGGAUGGUCUUAAAAUGAGGUUAAAAUCCUCCAAAAUCAUCCAAGGCAGAUUAACCAACUUAGAUAAAGAAGCGAGGGAGUCGAGAAAAACAGGUUUCCUAAUGUGGUCACAAGGUCCAUAGACGUUGGUCAUGACAAACAAAGUCCCAUUGACACAGAGGGAAAACCAGCAUGAAAUAGCAAAGCAAUCUAGUAGGAUCUUAGUGCACUCUAGAUAUGCGACAUCCCAUGCCGUGAGGAUCCCGCCAGAGGCUGCUUUAGAAGGAAGAAAGUGAAAAGAGCGGAAGUCUGGGGGUAGAAAGGAGCUAGCCUUAAAGAUUUAUAUUUGUUCAAGCUUCGUUUCUUUGUUUAGAAAAGGAGGCUUAGCUCAAGCUUCGUUUCUUGUAAACAGAAGAUAAAAGCAGCAACAGAUUAAAGAUAUUUUUUGACAUCGAUACAUUUGUUGGAUCUCCCUAGUCCCCUAACAUUCCAAGAAGCAAUAUUUAAGUGUCUAUUCAUGAGAACCAUGGAGAAACGACAACAGCAAGUGGAUAGGAAGGAAAUUUAAAUUAGAGGCACUGUUACAUAGAUAGGCACUGUUACAUAGAACAAAACUAGCGAUAGGGGAUGGGAGGCUACAGUGACAGCAACCAUAGGAACAGUGCUAGAGGAACUAUGCCUCAGGGAUUUAAAAUACAUAUUCCCUCUGUUCCAAAAUAUAAGACCUUUUAAAGAUUUGACUAUAGACUACAUAUGGAAUAAAAUAAGUAAACCUACACUCUAAAAUAUGACUACAUACAUCCUUAUGUAGUACUAGCAAAAAAGUCCGUGCGUUGUAACGGAAGAGAAAAUAACACACGUUUUGAACGUAAUAUAUUAGCACAUUUGUGUUGUCGACGAUGGCCUCAGUGCUCACACAACGAAAACGCGUUUGAAUGUACAAUCACUCGGAAUAAGAUGAGAAAUAUGUUGUUUCUCCCCACGAGAUUUUCCAAAGAUGUGCAUGUGUGGUUAACGGUGUUUUCUUUUCUCUCAAUUUGGUUUUAAUUUAAUGGAUAUUUAUUGCAAUUCGUAUGGUCGUCGGAAAGAGAGAAAAAAAAGACAGUGCAUUACAAAUUAACUUUGCAUCAAAAAUAAUAUUUAAGAAGUAUUCAACAACUAAAAAUAACAUCCUAUUUAGAUUCUACACAUUUUUUCAAUCAAAUUUCAUAUAUAACAUGUUAAAAUCGGAGUUACGGUUUAAAAGAUAUGGAUAAUUUUGUUUUAGAUAAAAUAUGGAUUGAUUAACUGAAAAGUCAGGGUUUUUUUUAUUAAAACAAAAAACAUUUCGGCUGACUUAAAUAGGGACGGCGGGUUGAUUACCUGAAACAUCAAGGAGUUUUCUGUAAAGUGCAAAAAAAAACGGUUCGGCGCGGACUAAAAGAUGGACCGCGGGUUGAUUAUCUAAAACUGUGAGGAAUUUUCUGCAAAAGGACAGAAAACGGUUCGUUCUGACUUCAAGUUGGACUGCGGGUUAAUUAACUGAAACUGCAAGGGCUUUUCUACAAAAUGACCGACGACGGGCGACAAAAGCGCUGCGCGCUUUAUUGUUAAGGAAGAUAUAGUGUCUUAUAUUUAGGCACGGAGGGAGUAGAAUAGAACAAGCGAAGGAACUAGCCGGUAGGACCUGGCGAAAUGAGGCAAAAAAACCAAAGCAAACACAGCAGCAGCCGAAGGCGGAAGUGCAAGGAGGAGGGCUUCGCCGCCGGCGAUGGCGCAAAGGGCCGUUACACAUCGGAAAACUCCGGCACCACCUUGUUGAGAUCGAUCUCGGAGAUGCUGCAUGCGUCAGCGAACUGAAGCACUUCCUUGCGUGCGAGAGGAGGGGUGCCCGCCGCAGCGAGCUUGAGCAGCUCCAUCAGCCAUCUCGAGCACCUCCUUGCGUGCGAGAGGAGGAGUAACAAUUUCCACUGACAGCAGACCUGCAGUAAGAAUUCAACAUCUCACAACAUGAGCAACACAUCAACAAAAGGUCUGCGAACGAGGAAAUUCUAAUGUGAUAUCAUCUCGGUAAAAACCCAAAAAAGAAGCGGUAGGCAUAAGAAAGCAACUUAUCACGUGCGUACAUGGCGAUCGAUACCUACAACAAGAAAACCUGCAUAAGCACCUUGAACAACAGACGCAGACAUACGGAUCCUAAGAUCAUUUCAUCAUACAAAAGCUAGGUACUACCGUAGGCUGGCACUUGCAACUUUGCUGAAGAUACAUCCCUACGUAAUGAGUAAAUAGCAUAAAACUACUACAGUUCGGAUUAGGAUUCCAAAAAAAAUAUAAGAUUUUAUUUUUCACGGAUAACCACCAACUUUGGGGUUGGCUAUUUCAAAAAACCCUAAUAACCGAGUGUUUUAUGGUACAUUAUGAUUAUGACAGUUAGGCUCUGAUUGUUUGACCGUUAACUAACAUGCCGGUGUUUCUUUCUUGUAAUCUAAUAUAGUUUUUUAGAAAAGCAAUCAGGACCCUGGAGAUAUUUCUAAAAAAUAAUCAGGUCCCUGCACAUAAAUUUAAGAAAGCAAUCAGGUCCCUGUAAGUUUGUAAAAAGCAAUCAGGUCCCUGUAAGUUUGUAAAAAGCAAUCAGGUUCUUGUAUGUUUUCAAUCAGGUCCCUGCAUUUUUUUGGCAAAAAGCAAUCGAGUUCCUGCAUGCAUACAGAUCACGGCAGCCACUGGCGUGACUCUCCUCUCGCUCGCGAGCUCUCCUGCCUAGACUUCGCGACGCCGCCUCCACCGGCCGGCGAGCCGUGCCCAGCCGCAGUGAGCUCCCCGCCACGCGGCCUCUCUGUCUUCCCUCUUCCCCACGCCAGCUCUGUUAGGGAAAUCUCCCCUGGAUCACUCAAACACACACGCGAUCUUGUGGACUUGAAGAACACACACGAACGCAAGCACACAGGAGAAGGCAGUUUUGCGACGCGAACAGCUCGGGUCUUUUCAGUUUUUUUUUCUUUAUUCUCGUCGGCCUCACGCAUAAGAGAACGUGGCCCCGUACAACACAAAACCCUCCUCACGAUCCUAUUUUCCCGUGCCAUCCCACGAAGUAUCGUUCGGGAGCUGACCCAACUAGCUAAGACUCAAUCUAUCCCUGUACGUAUGCAUAAACGUGACAGGACCUAUUUAUUUUCAACAUGUAAACUGUAAACAGAAAAUCUAUGGCACAUGCAACACCCUGCAACGUGCACUCCUAUCGACUCCAUCAGUUUUAACUUGACAGGAAACAAGAAACAUCAAGGCAACAAGAUUAAUUUCAUAACAAUCUCUCCCUUAAGCUUGUUACCCUUCAUCCAGCACUUCCAUCCCAAUCUUCUCCUUCAUCUCAUGAAACUUCACUCUCCCAAGAGAUUUUGUGAGGAUGUCAGCAAGCUGAUUUUCAGUUCUCACAUGCUCAACACCGAUCUUGCCCGAUUCAACACAGUCCCUUAUGAAAUGAUAGCGAAGGUCUAUGUGUUUACUUCUAUCAUGGUGGACAGGAUUCUUACUCAACAAAAUUGCAGAUUGGUUGUCCACCUUGAGCACAACUUGAACUGAAUCGUCACCAAGUAAAUCAGCCAGCAAGCGCCCCAACCAUAUGCCCUGACAUGUUGCGGUCGCCGCUGCAAUAUACUCAGCUUCACAUGAGGAGACAGCCACAAUUUUUUGCUUGUGUGACACCCAGCUGAUUGGGUUUGGACCAAGGUAGAAGAUGGCACCCGAGGUACUUUUUUUGUCAUUGAUGUCACCUGCAUGAUCACUAUCACUGAACCCAAGAAUCUUCAGUUGGUUCCUCUCUUCUCUCCUAUAUAAACAUCCAUGAUUCAGAGUGCCUCACACAUACCUCAAAAUAUGUUCUACCACUAUCAUGUGUUCUUCAGACGGGUGCUCCAUGUACCAGCUGACAUACCCAACGGCAUAACAUAUAUCCGGACGAGUGUGCACUAGAUAUCUCAAGCUUCCCACUAUGCUUCGAUAGGAAGUUGAAUCAACUAGUGGAGAGUCACUUACUUUUCUCAAUUUCAGUCCGUGCUCCAUAGGAGUUUGGGUUACUUUGCAAUCUCCCAUGUCACACCUGUCCAGAAUUUUUGCUGCAUAAGCUGAUUGACACAACGAGAUACCUUGUCUGGUUUGCUUCACUUCAAUUCCAAGAUAGUAACUGAGUAGGCCCAAGUCACUCAUGCUGAACAUAUUCUUCAUCUGGUUCUUGAAGUUUGCUAUCUUCAUUGUGCUAUCCCCGAUGAUGAUCAAGUCAUCCACAUACACUCCCACGAGCAGACUUGCACCAUCUUUCUUCCUCUUGUACACAUCAUGCUCAUAUGGACAUUUUUCAAAUACCAAAUCUGCCAAGGUCUUGUCCAGUUUCACAUUCCAUGCUCGGGGUGCUUGAUGCAGACCAUAUAAUGCUUUGCUUAAUUUCAGAACUUUGCUUUCACUUCCUUUCUUAACAAAACCAAAAGGUUGCUCAACAUAUACGGUCUCUUCCAAAUCUCCAUUUAGAAAGGCUGACUUCACAUCCAUAUGAUGAACUUCCCACCCUCUCUGAGCUGCCAAGGCUAUAAGCAAUCUCACGGUUUCUAUACGAGCAACCUGCGUGAAUACCUCAUCAAAAUCAAUACCUUGUCAUUGCACGUAUCCUUUCGCCACGAGACGUGCUUUGUGCUUCACCACAGCGCCCGCAGAGUCCUUCUUUAUUUUGUAGACCCACUUCAGAGUGUGUUUUGAUUUUCGGCCGAAAAAAUUGAAUUUCGGCCGAAAUUCGGCCAUCUCGUCAUGGGCCGGCAGAUGGGCCUUUCGGACGAAUUAUUCAGCCCAAUUUGAACUUACUCGGCUUGGCCCAGGUUCUAGACUAUUCCUGUUAGCCUCUGGUUGAUAUAAAAGCAUGAAACCUAGCUCACAAACCCCAAAACUCUCGUUUCCUCUCCUCUCCUCCUGUGUGCGGCGCCGCCGCUGCACACAGAACUCCUCACGCAGCUCUCCGGCCAAGAAGGUCGACCUCCAGAUCCACUAGCAUCCUCCACCCCCAUCCUCCUCUCUGUUGCAUCUACAACGCUACGGCAUGGUGCUCGAAUGCUACGGCAACGAAGCUGACAUGUUCAACGGAGGCAGGAGCACGGGGCAGGGGCAGCAGCAUGGAGGGCGUCCACUUGAUUUUGAAGGUAAAUCCACUAUGCCGUGACUCAUCUGUUCCAUGGGCAUGUGAAGUAGGUUCUUAUUCCGAAAUUAACACUAAAGUGCUAAAUUUCAGUCAUAAUAUUGCAAAAAAAUCAGUAUACAGGAGCAGUUUUGUGUGGAUGCUAGUGUACAGGAUGUGUGGAUGCUAACUUUCAGUCAUAAUAUUGCAAAAAACACUUGGUCUCUAUCUCGCCAGAGAGCAGUCUUGAACACACGCACACACAUAUUGGUGCUCUAGAACUAGCUACCAAUAGUACUUGGAUGCAUGGAUCGCUACUGGCCUCAUUACAACCGCAUGGAACAUCUCCAAUAUUUUUAUUUUCACUGCUGCCUAUAUAUGUUGUGCCCCUGUAGACUGAGUUUCUACUUGCAGAAGUACUAGGAAAGGUAUUACUAUGCUUGCUACUUGCAGAAAUUCAUAGACUCAGUUUCAUUAGUUACAGUUUGAGAAUCUGGUUGUACUGUUUUUGCAGGUAACGUAAAUGCAAAUAGGAGUGGCAGUGGCGACCGCGAUGCAAAUGGAAGUGCUUCCCAUAGACCCUGGAAAGGUAUUACUAUGGUUUUUUUGGUCACAGUAAACUGCAGCAGGCCACUGCAAAUAGGAGUAUUACUUUUAUGAAUGCAAAUGGAUUGAUUGCCUGGCUGGGAUGCUUAAGAAUCAUUAUUCGAAUCGUUGUCUGGCCAUGGAAAUAUUUGAUCAUGUUAAGAGUAUUACUUUUAUGAAUGAUUUUAAAUCUUUGAUUUUGGUUUUCUUUUAGGCAAGCGUUAAUUAACGGCCGUGUAUUGUUGCUGUUUAAUGCCCUUCAGUUGCUCAACGGCACUCCCUCGGUAAAUAUAUAUAUAUAUAUAAGUGUCUACAGAUCAUUAAAAUAGUUAUCUAAACGUUUUUUUAUUUCUUUACCUAGGGGUAGCACGUAGGCCACAGCCACAUGCACUAUUUUUUUUAUAUGGACCUCGAUAAAUAGCGAACGUUCAGAUUUUAGGCAUGUCAUUUCUAAUGUUUUUCUAUUUCUUUACCUAGGGAUAGCACUGUUUUCUUGCUCACAUGAUGCAAUUGGAACCAUGAUCUUUAUUUGCUAGGUUCAAUUAAAGUGAUGUGUGUAACCUUGCAAUGCAGGACUUAAAGACAAUAACUUGUAUGAUCCUUGGAACCAUGCAUGGCCGUAUUAUGGGGGUUUUGAUUGCACGUACUGCAACCUAAAGCACAAAGGUGGAGGUGCAACCCGUGUCGCGGAGCACCUUGGUGGUAUUGUAGGUAAUGUGAGGAGCUGCCCCAAUGUGCCAAGAAAUGUGAGAGAUGCAAUGAGAAAGUGCCGGGAUGAAUCAAAGAGGAAGAAAAGAGACAAACAAAAUAGCAGGCUGAGAAUUGAAAGAAAUAUUAUGGAAGGGCUGUAUCAACAAGGUGGGGUGAUUAACGUAUUAGAUGAUGAAGAAGAAGAAAUUCAGAUGAAUAUUAGAGAAGCAUUGCGUGACCCGAAUGUCUCUUGCAGAGUUGGAAGGAGAAUUGGCAGGGAGGGUGUGGGUGAUGUGCGGGUUUCUGUUGUUAAAAGGAGUAUCACCGCCUAUUUUGACAAGCAAUUAUCCAGCAACAAAGUAUCUAUGCAGCCCAAGAUCAGUAGUGCUUUGAAUCCUAAUUCAAGCGAUGCACUUGGCCUAGCUUGGUCCAAGUUUUUUCAUGCCAAUGGUAUUGCUGGACUUAAAGCUGAUUGUCCAUACUUUCGAGCUGCUGUGAAGAUCACUCAACAAUUAGGGCCCAUUCCUAUACGAACCGGGAAGGAGAUUGAUGGGCAAUAUUUGGAGGCCAACUAUGAUGAAGCUAAUUUGUUUCUUCAAAAAUUCAAACAAGACUGGAAGAACUUUGGUGUGACUCUUAUGUGCGAUUCUUGGACUGGUCCUACAGGAAUGAGCAUCAUAAACUUCAUGGUGUAUUGUAAUACACGAAUGUUCUUCCUCAAUACCAUUGAUGCAUCCGGCCAGACUCAGAAUUCAGGUUACUUCUUCCUUCUCUUCUUAGCACUUUACUUGCUUCUUGAAUACUUGGAUCUGUCCUAUAAUUGUUUUAUGUUCCUAAUGCCUUGUUCUAAUUAGGUAUAUUUACAUUUUACGUAUGUUCUUACAAUAUUUGUUUCUUGAAUACUUGGAUCUGUCCUAUAAUUGUUUUAUAUUCUUAAUGCCUUGUUCUAAUUAGGUAUAUUUACAUUUUACGUAUGUUCUUACAAUAUUUGCUUCUUGAAUACUUGGGUCUGUCCUAUAAUUGCUUUAUGUUCUUAAUGCCUUGUUCUAAUUGGUAUAUUUACAUUUUACGUAUGUUCUUACAAUAUUUGCUUCUUGAAUACUUGGAUCUGUCCUAUAAUUGUUUUAUGUUCUUAAUGUCUUGUUCUAACUAGGUAUAUUUACAUUUUACAUAUGUUCUUACAAUUUUUUCUUCUUGAAUACUUGGAUCUAUCCUAUAAUUGCGUUAUGUUCUUAAUGCCUUGUUCUAAUUAUGUAUAUGCAUUUUACAUAAUUUUGCAGACUUUAUCUAUAAAGAGAUUGAAAAGGUUGUAGAAGAGAUAGGCCAUGAGCAUAUAGUUCAAAUAGUAACCGAUAAUGGAUCUAAUUAUAAGAAAGCUUGCAAAACCCUUAUAGAAGAACCAAAAUACUCUCAUAUUGUUUGGCAACCGUGUGCUGCCCAUACCGUCAAUCUUAUGCUAAAAGAUAUAGCUAAAUCUCCUGAGGUUGAUGUGAUAGUCAAGAGUGCCAAGACAAUCUGUAGGUUCAUGCAUAAGCACAAUAACCUCCAUGAUAACAUGAAGAAGAACAUAGGUGGUGAACUGAUUAGACCAAAUGCCACCCGUUUUGGGACUGUCUUCAUGUUCCUUGAUAGUUACCAUUCGAAGAAAGAUAAAUUUAGGGAGUGGAUGGUUUCAAAGGAUUGGAAGGAGUGUCAGUGGAGGUAUGAGCCUGGGUAUGUGUUUGCUGAAGAGUGUUUGUCUAGUAAUGUUUGGUGGAACGCACUAGAAUGGGUAUUGGGUUCAUUGAGGCCACUUUAUAUGGCCAUGAGGUAUGCAGAUACACAAAAACAAUGCACACUUUCUGGCUUCAAAAAAGUAUGAUGCUCGCUAUACAAAAGAUGGAAGCCCAUCUUGGCCCUACAUCAAGGUUGUACCUUACGUUCAUGCGCAAGGUGGGUAAGAGGAUAGAUGCGAUGGAAGAAGAUACAUUUAUGGUUGCAAGUAGUGAUAAAUAAUUCAACCUUCGCAAUUUAUGUUUCUCAUUUUUCUAUUUUUUAAUUCACGUGGCUCUAUUGUUUUGCAGCUGCUGUCCUUGAUCCAUAUACACAUUACAAGCUGAACCUUUGCAACCACACCGAUUAUGCCACUUCACUAACAGAUGCAAUAGCGAAGAUACUAGAUCCAGUGAGUGCUCUUUCAGCCAUUGAUGAAGUGAGGAAGUUUAGGGAGUGCCAAGGAAGGUUUGGGACCAGAUUGGCAGAAGAAGCUGCGGCAAGAAUGGAGCCAAGUAAGUCAUGGUGUUUUAGUUUAAGAAUUUCCAUUUUCUUUCGGUUUGCAUUUCUGAAAAUUAAUUGUUGUUAUCUUGCAGCCCAAUGGUGGUUUCAGUUUGGAGGGGAUGUUCCUGCAUUACAGAAGUGUGCAAUGAGAAUUUGCUCACAAUGUAUCUCCUCUAGUGGGUAUGAGAGAAAUUGGAGCGCUUUUGCUUUGGUGCACACAAAGCAAAGGAAUCGUCUUCUAUAUGACAAGCUUGACAAGCUAGUUUCUGUCCGUUACAACCUAAAGGUAUAAAUCAACACUUCUACUUUCUACCUUGUGUUUCCUUGCAUGUCUUAUAAUUUACUUGGUUUACUAUUCAACCCUUGAAGAUACGUGAUGAAGACGAUGAAGGGAAAGAGAGAGAUAUAGAUAAAGAAAUUGAUCCAAGUGCAUUGCUAAUGGAUACAACAAUGUUUGAUGAAACAAAUCCAAUAAUGGAGUGGUUGAAUGAGGAUGUAGAGGAUCCAGUUAUGGAUGGAGCUGAUGCAGCUAGUGCUGUUUUUGAGAAAAUAAGGCAUCUCAACUCAAGCAGGAAGGCUUCUUAUGUUGGUUCAAAGGGUAGUAACAAGAAAAGAAAGAGGAGUGAUGAUGAUGAGAAUGAGUUUGUUGAAACUGAGAGUGAGGAUGAUGAUGGAGAGAAUGAAUAUGUUGAUAAUUGUUGGGGAACGUCGCAUGGGAAACAAAAAAUUUCCUACGCGCACGAAGACCUAUCAUGGUGAUGUCCAUCUACGAGAGGGGAUGAGUGAUCUACGUACCCUUGUAGAUCGUACAACAGAAGAGUUAGUGAACGCGGUUGAUGUAGUAGAACGUCCUCACGUCCCUCGAUCCGCCCCGCAAACAAUCCCGCGAUCAGUCCCACGAUCUAGUACCGAACGGACGGCACCUCCGCGUUCAGCACACGUACAGCUCGACGAUGAUCUCGGCCUUCUUGAUCCAGCAAGAGAGACGGAGAGGUAGAAGAGUUCUCCGGCAGCGUGACGGCGCUCCAGAGGUUGGUGAUGACCUUGUCUCAGCAGGGCUCCGCCCGAGCUCCGCAGAAACGCGAUCUAGAGGAAAAACCGUGGAGGUAUGUGGUCGGGCUGCCGUGGAAAAGUCGUCUCAAAUCAGCCCUAAAACCUCCGUAUAUAUAGGUGGGAGGGAGGGGACCUUGCCUUGGGGCUCAAGGAGCCCCAAGGGGGUCGGCCGAGUACAAGGGGGAAGGCUCCCCCCCCCAAACCGAGUUGGACUUGGUUUGGUGGGUGGGAGUCCUUCCUUCCCUUCCCACCUCCCUUUUUUUUCCUUUUCUCUUUGAUUUUCUUUCCUAGGCGCAUAGGGCCCUUUUGGGCUGUCCCACCAGCCCACUAAGGGCUGGUGCGCCACCCUCAUGGCCUAUGGGCUUCCCCGGGGUGGGUUGCCCCCCCCCCCCCCCCCGUUGAACUCCCGGAACCCAUUCGUCAUUCCCGGCACAUUCCCGGUAACUCCGAAAACCUUCCGGUAAUCAAAUGAGGUCAUCCUAUAUAUCAAUCUUCGUUUCCGGACCAUUCCGGAAACCCUCGUGACGUCCGUGAUCUCAUCCGGGACUCCGAACAACAUUCGAUAACCAACCAUAUAACUCAAAUACGCAUAAAACAACGUCAAACCUUAAGUGUGCAGACCCUGCGGGUUCGAGAACUAUGUAGACAUGACCCGAGAGACUCCUCGGUCAAUAUCCAAUAGCGGACCUGGAUGCCCAUAUUGGAUCCUACAUAUUCUACGAAGAUCUUAUCGUUUGAACCUCAGUGCCAAGGAUUCAUAUAAUCCCGUAUGUCAUUCCCUUUGUCCUUCGGUAUGUUACUUGCCCGAGAUUCGAUCGUCAGUAUCCGUAUACCUAUUUCAAUCUCGUUUACCGGCAAGUCUCUUUACUCGUUCCGUAAUACAAGAUCCCGCAACUUACACUAAGUUACAUUGCUUGCAAGGCUUGUGUGUGAUGUUGUAUUACCGAGUGGGCCCCGAGAUACCUCUCCGUCACACGGAGUGACAAAUCCCAGUCUUGAUCCAUACUAACUCAACUAACACCUUCGGAGAUACCUGUAGAGCAUCUUUAUAGUCACCCAGUUACGUUGCGACGUUUGAUACACACAAAGCAUUCCUCCGGUGUCAGUGAGUUAUAUGAUCUCAUGGUCAUAGGAAUAAAUACUUGACACGCGGAAAACAAUAGCAACAAAAUGACACGAUCAACAUGCUACGUCUAUUAGUUUGGGUCUAGUCCAUCACGUGAUUCUCCUAAUGACGUGAUCCAGUUAUCAAGCAACAACACCUUGUUCAUAAUCAGAAGACACUGACUAUCUUUGAUCAACUGGCUAGCCAACUAGAGGCUUGCUAGGGACGGUGUUUUGUCUAUGUAUCCACACAUGUAAAUGAGUCUUCAUUCAAUACAAUUAUAGCAUGAAUAAUAAACGAUUAUCUUGAUACAGGAAUUAUAAUCAUAACUAUAUUUAUUAUUGCCUCUAGGGCAUAAUUCCAACAGUCUCCCACUUGCACUAGAGUCAAUAAUCUAGCCCUCACAUCAUCCUGCGAAUUACAUUGUAAUAAAUCUAACACCCAUACAGUUCUGGUGUUGAUCAUGCUUUGGCCGUGGAAGAGGUUUAGUCAGCGGGUCUGCUACAUUCAGAUCCGUGUGCACUUUGCAUAUACUUACGUCCUCUCCCUCGACGUAGUCGCGGAUGAGGUUGAAGCGUCGUUUGAUGUGUCUGGUCUUCUUGUGAAGCCGUGGUUCCUUUGCUAAGGCAAUGGCACCCGUGUUGUCACAGAACAAGGUUAUUGGAUUCAGUGCGCUUGGCACCACUCCAAGAUCUGUCAUGAACUGCUUCAUCCAGACACCCUCCUUAGCCGCCUCCGAGGCAGCCAUGUACUCCGCUUCACAUGUAGAAUCUGCUACGACGCUUUGCUUGGAACUGCACCAGCUUACUGCACCCCCAUUAAGAAUAAAUACGUAUCCGGUUUGCGACUUAGAGUCGUCCGGAUCUGUGUCAAAGCUUGCAUCGACAUAACCUUUUACGGCGAGCUCUUCGUCACCUCCAUACACGAGAAACAUCUCCUUAGUCCUUUUCAGGUACUUCAGGAUAUUCUUGACCGCUGUCCAGUGAUCCACUCCUGGAUUACUCUGGAACCUACCUGCCAUGCUUAUGGCCAGGCUAACAUCCAGUCUAGUGCACAGCAUUGCAUACAUGAUAGAACCUAUGGCUGAAGCAUAGGGGACAGAGCGCAUAUGCUCUCUAUCUUCAUCAGUUGCUGGGUACUGAGUCUUACUCAAUCUCGUACCUUGUAAAACUGGCAAGAACCCUUUCUUGGACUGUUCCAUUUUGAACCUCUUCAAAACUUUAUCAAGGUAUGUGCUUUGUGAAAGUCCUAUCAGGCGUUUUGAUCUAUCCCUAUAGAUCUUAAUACCUAGAAUGUAAGCAGCUUCUCCUAGGUCCUUCAUAGAGAAACUUUUAUUCAAGUAAUCCUUUAUGCUCUCUAGAAACUCCACGUUGUUUCCAAUCAGCAAUAUGUCAUCCACCUAUAAUAUUAGAAACGCCACAGAGCUCCCACUCACUUUCUUGUAAAUACAAGAUUCUCCAACCACUUGUAUAAACCCAAAUGCUUUGAUCACCUCAUCAAAGCGUUUGUUCCAACUCCGAGAUGCUUGCACCAGUCCAUAAAUGGAUCGUUGGAGCUUGCACACCUUGUUAGCAUUCUUAGGAUCGACAAAACCUUCGGGUUGCAUCAUAUACAAUUCUUCCUUAAGGAAACCGUUAAUGAACGCCGUUUUGACAUCCAUCUGCCAGAUUUCAUAAUUAAAAAAUGCAGCUAUUGCUAACAUGAUUCUGACGGACUUAAGCAUCGCUACGGGUGAGAAAGUCUCAUCAUAGUCAACUCCUUGAACUUGUGAAAAACCCUUUGCCACAAGUCGAGCUUUAUAAACGGUCACAUUGCCGUCAGCGUCCGUCUUCCUCUUAAAAAUCCAUUUGUUCUGAAUAGCCUUGCGGCCCUCAGGUAGUACCUCCAAAGUCCACACUUUGUUCUCAUACAUGGAUCCUAUCUCGGACUUCAUGGCUUCUAGCCAUUUGUUGGAAUCUGGGCCCACCAUUGCUUCUUCAUAAUUUGCAGGUUCAUUGUUGUCCAACAACAUGAUCGAUAAGACGGGAUUACCGUACCACUCUGGAGCAGCACGUGGUCUCGUCGACCUGCGUGGUUCGACAGAAAUUUGAACCGGAGUUUCAUGAUCAUCAUCAUUAACUUCCUCCUCAACCGGCGUUGCAACGACAGAGGUUUCCCCUUGCCCUGCGCCACCAUCUAGGGGGAUGAGAGGUUCGACAACCUCGUCAAGUUCUAUCUUCCUCCCACUCAAUUCUCUCGAGAGAAACUCCUUCUCGAGAAAAGCUCCGUUUUUAGCAACAAACACUUUGCCCUCGGAUUUGAGAUAGAAGGUGUACCCAACUGUCUCCUUUGGGUAACCUAUGAAGACGCACUUUUCCACUUUGGGUUCCAGCUUUUCAGGCUGAAGCUUUUUGACAUAAGCAUCACAUCCCCAAACUUUAAGAAACGACAACUUUGGCCUUUUGCCAUACCACAGUUCGUAAGGUGUCGUCUCAACGGAUUUUGAUGGUGCCCUAUUUAAAGUGAAUGCAGCUGUUUCUAAUGCAUAACCCCAAAAUGAUAACAGCAAAUCAGUAAGAGACAUCAUAGAUCGCACCAUCUCUAAUAAAGUACGAUUACGACGUUCGGACACACCAUUACACUGCGGUGUUCCAGGCGGUGUUAACUGUGAAACAAUUUCACAUUGUCUUAAGUGAGCACCAAACUCGAAACUCAGAUAUUCACCCCCACGUUCAGACCGUAGGAACUUGAUCUUCUUGUUACGAUGAUUUUCCACUUCACUCUAAAAUUGCUUGAACUUUUCAAAUGUUUCAGACUUGUGCUUCAUCAAGUAGACAUAACCAUAUCUACUCAAAUCGUCAGUGAAGGUGAGAAAAUAACGAUAUCCGUCGCGCGCCUCUACGCUCAUCGGACCACACACAUCGGUAUGUAUGAUUUCCAACAAGUCACUUGCACGCUCCAUAGUUCCGGAGAACGGAGUCUUAGUCAUCUUGCCCAUGAGGCAUGGUUCGCACGUGUCAAGUGAAUCAAAGUCAAGUGACUCCAAAAGUCCAUCAGCAUGGAGUUUCUUCAUGCGCUUUACACCAAUAUGACCUAAGCGGCAGUGGCACAAAAAUAUGGCGCUAUCAUUGUUAACUCUAACUAUUUUGGUCUCAAUGUUAUGUAUAUGCGUAUCGCUAUCAAGAUUCAAUAUGAACAAUCCUCUCACAUUAGGUGCAUGACCAUAAAAGAUGUUACUCAUAGAAAUAGAACAACCAUUAUUCUCUGACUUAAAAGAGUAACCGUCUCGCAAUAAACAAGAUCCAGAUAUAAUGUUCAUGCUCAACGCAGGCACUAAAUAACAAUGAUUUAAGUUCAUCACUAAUCCUGAUGGUAACUGAAGUGAAACUGUGCCGACGGCGAUUGCAUCAACCUUGGAACCAUUUCCUACGCGCAUCGUCACUUCAUCUUUCGCCAGCCUUCGUCUAUUCUGCAGUUCCUGUUUCGAGUUGCAAAUAUGAGCAACAGAACCGGUAUCGAAUACCCAGGCACUACUACGAGAGCCGGUUAAGUACACAUCAAUAACAUGUAUAUCAAAUGUACCUGAUUUUUCUUUGGCCGCCUUCUUAUCUGCCAGAUACUUGGGGCAAUUGCGCUUCCAGUGACCCAUACCCUUGCAAUAGUAACACUCCGUUUCAGGCUUAGGUCCAGCUUUGGGUUUCUUCGUCGGAUUGGCAACAGGCUUGCCGCUCUUCUUCGAAUUACCCUUCUUGCCUUUGCCGUUUCUCUUGAAACUAGUGGUCUUAUUCACCAUCAACACUUGAUGUUCUUUACGGAGUUCAGACUCUGCGACUUUCAGCAUCGCAAACAACUCGCCGGGUGACUUGUUCAUCCCUUGCAUGUUGUAGUUCAACACAAAGCCUUUAUAGCUUGGCGGCAGUGAUUGAAGGAUUCUGUCAGUGAUAGCCUCUUGCGGGAGUUCAAUCCCCAGCUCAGCUAGACGGUUUGAGUACCCAGACAUUUUGAGCACAUGUUCACUGACAGACGAGUUCUCCUCCAUCUUGCAAGCAUAGAAUUUAUCGGAGGUCUCAUACCUCUCGAUCCGGGCGUUCUUCUGAAAGAUAAACUUCAACUCCUGGAACAUCUCAAAUGCUCCAUGACGCUCAAAGCGACGUUGAACUCCCGGUUCUAAGCCAUACAAGACUGCACAUUGAACUACUGAGUAGUCCUCCUUACGUGCUAACCAAGCGUUCUUAACAUCCUGAUCAGCCAUAGCGGGUGGUUCAUCUCAUAGCGCAGCAUUAAGGACAUAAUCCUUCUUCCCAGCUUGUAAGAUUAGCUUAAGAUUAUGAGCCCAGUCUACAAAGUUGCUUCCAUCAUCUUUCAACUUAGCUUUCUCUAGGAACGUAUUAAAAUUCAGGGUGACUGUCGCGUGAGCCAUGAUCUACAACACAAAUAGAUUCAAAGUGGACUUAGACUAUGUUCAAGAUAAUUAGAGUUUAACCUAAUCAAAAUUAUUCGCUAAACUCCCACUCAAAAAGUACAUCUCUCUAGUCAUUUCAGUGGUUCAUGAUCCACAUACACUAGCUCAAGUCCGAUCAUCACGUGAGUUGAGUAUAGUUUCAGUGGUAAGCAUCCCUAUGCUAAUCAUAUAAUCUAUAUGAUUCAUGAUCGACCUUUCGGUCUCAUGUGUUCCGAGGCCAUGUCUGCACAUGCUAGGCUCGUCAAGCUUAACCCGAGUGUUCCGCGUGCGCAAUUGUUUUGCACCCGUUGUAUGUGAACGUUGAGUCUAUCACACCCGAUCAUCACGUGGUGUCUCGAAACGACGAACUGUAGCAACGGUGCACAGACGGGGAGAACACAAUUUCAUCUUGAAAUUUUAGUGAGAGAUCACCUCAUAAUGCUACCGUCGUUCUAAGCAAAAUAAGGUGCAUAAAAGGAUUAACAUCACAUGCAAUUCAUAAGUGACAUGAUAUGGCCAUCAUCACGUGCUUCUUGAUCUCCAUCACCAAAGCACCGGCACGAUCUUCUUGUCACCGGCGCCACACCAUGAUCUCCAUCAACGUGUUGCCAUCGGGGUUGUCGUGCUACUCAUGCUAUUACUACUAAAGCUACAUCCUAGCAAAAUAGUAAACGCAUCUGCAAGCACAAACGUUAGUAUAAAGACAACCCUAUGGCUCCUGCUGGUUGCCGUACCAUCGACGUGCAAGUCGAUAUUUUCUAUUACAACAUGAUCAUCUCAUACAUCCAAUAUAUCACAUCACAUUGUUGGCCAUAUCACAUCACAAGCAUACCCUGCAAAAACAAGUUAGACGUCCUCUAAUUUUGUUGUUGCAUGUUUUACGUGGUGACCAUGGGUAUCUAGUAGGAUCGCAUCUUACUUACACAAACACCACAACGGAGAUAUAUGAGUUGCUAUUUAACCUCAUCCAAGGACCUCCUCGGUCAAAUCUGAUUCAACUAAAGUUGGAGAAACCGACACUUGCCAGUCAUCUUUGAGCAACGGGGUUACUCGUAGCGAUGAAACCAGUCUCUCGUAAGCGUACGAGUAAUGUCGGUCCAAGCCGCUUCAAUCCAACAAUACCGCGGAAUCAAGAAAAGACUAAGGAGGGCAGCAAAACGCACAUCACCACCCACAAGAACUUUUGUGUUCUACUCGAGAAGACAUCUACGCAUGAACCUAGCUCAUGAUGCCACUGUUGGGGAACGUCGCAUGGGAAACAAAAAAUUUCCUACGCACACGAAGACCUAUCAUGGUGAUGUCCAUCUACGAGAGGGGAUGAGUGAUCUACGUACCCUUGUAGAUCGUACAGCAGAAGCAUUAGUGAACGCGGUUGAUGUAGUGGAACGUUCUCAUGUCCCUCGAUCCGCCCCGCGAACAAUCCCGCGAUCAGUCCCACGAUCUAGUACCGAACGGACGGCACCUCCGCGUUCAGCACACGUAUAGCUCGACGAUGAUCUCGGCCUUCUUGAUCCAGCAAGAGAGACGGAGAGGUAGAAGAGUUCUCCGGCAGCGUGACGGUGCUCCGGAGGUUGGUGAUGACCUUGUCUCAGCAGGGCUCCGCCCGAGCUCCGCAGAAACGCGAUCUAGAGGAAAAACCGUGGAGGUAUGUGGUCGGGCUGCCGUGGAAAAAUCGUCUCAAAUCAGCCCUAAUACCUCCGUAUAUAUAGGUGGGAGGGAGGGGACCUUGCCUUGGGGCUCAAGGAGCCCAAGGGGGUCGGCCAAGUCCAAGGGGGAAGGCUCCCCCCCCCGCAAACCGAGUUGGACUUGGUUUGGUGGGUGGGAGUCCUUCCUUCCCUUCCCACCUCCCUUUUUUUUUUCUUUUCUCUUUGAUUUUCUUUCCUAGGCGCAGAGGGCCCUUUUGGGCUGUCCCACCAGCCCACUAAGGGCUGGUGCGCCACCCUCAUGGCCUAUGGGCUUCCCCGGGGUGGGUUGCCCCCCCCCCCCCGGUGAACUCCCGGAACCCAUUCGUCAUUCCCGGCACAUUCCCGGUAACUCCAAAAACCUUCCGGUAAUCAAAUGAGGUCAUCCUAUAUAUCAAUCUUCGUUUCCGAACCAUUCCGGAAACCCUCGUGACGUCCGUGAUCUCAUCCGGGACUCCGAACAACACUCGGUAACCAACCAUAUAACUCAAAUACGCAUAAAACAACGUCGAACCUUAAGUGUGCAGACCCUGCGGGUUCGAGAACUAUGUAGACAUGACCCGAGAGACUCCUCGGUCAAUAUCCAAUAGCGGGACCUGGAUGCCCAUAUUGGAUCCUACAUAUUCUACGAAGAUCUUAUCGUUUGAACCUCAGUGCCAAGGAUUCAUAUAAUCCCGUAUGUCAUUCCCUUUGUCCUUCGGUAUGUUACUUGCCCGAGAUUCGAUCGUCAGUAUCCGUAUACCUAUUUCAAUCUCGUUUACCGGCAAGUCUCUUUACUCGUUCCGUAAUACAAGAUCCCGCAACUUACACUAAGUUACAUUGCUUGCAAGGCUUGUGUGUGAUGUUGUAUUACCGAGUGGGCCCCGAGAUACCUCUCCGUCACACGGAGUGACAAAUCCCAGUCUUGAUCCAUACUAACUCAACUAACACCUUCGGAGAUACCUGUAGAGCAUCUUUAUAGUCACCCAGUUACGUUGCGACGUUUGAUACACACAAAGCAUUCCUCCGGUGUCAGUGAGUUAUAUGAUCUCAUGGUCAUAGGAAUAAAUACUUGACAUGCAGAAAACAGUAGCAACAAAAUGACACGAUCAACAUGCUACGUCUAUUAGUUUGGGUCUAGUCCAUCACGUGAUUCUCCUAAUGACGUGAUCCAGUUAUCAAGCAACAACUCCUUGUUCAUAAUCAGAAGACACUGACUAUCUUUGAUCAACUGGCUAGCCAACUAGAGGCUUGCUAGGGACGGUGUUUUGUCUAUGUAUCCACACAUGUAAAUGAGUCUUUAUUCAAUACAAUUAUAGCAUGGAUAAUAAACGAUUAUCUUGAUACAGGAAUUAUAAUAAUAACUAUAUUUAUUAUUGCCUCUAGGGCAUAAUUUCAACAGAUAAUGACAUUGAGGAUGAUGAUGCGGUGAGUGAGGAUGACGAGGAUGGUCUACAAGAUCAGCUAGAGACACAAAUGCAACUUGAAGAAGAGACACAAGUACAAGUUGAAAAGGAUACAACAAGCAUUGGCAAUUUGGAGACUCGUAGAUCUGGACGACUUGCUAGGAAGAAGACCAAGCACGUCCACAACCUCUACUCGUAGAUUUGGUAAGUCUCUUCUUUUUGGUGUUUCUGAUUUAGGUUGAUCGUUUUGCAGCUUGAUCUACAUCGCUUUCUUUAAGUAGCUUGAUCUUUUUGCAGCAUGAUGUUGGUUGGAGGAUUUGAGCAUAGAAGCUGGAGCUUUGUCAUUGGAACAAGACCUACCUAUGCAUGCUUUCAUGGAUUUCUUUUGGACAUGCUGUUUGGUGUGAUGCUUUGAUGGAUGUCUUUUGGAUCAGUUUCUGUGUGAAAUCCUUUAAAUUCUAUUGCUGGUUGUAGUGAAGUAUUCAAACUUUGAACUAUGGUGUGAUGAUUGUGGACUGUCAAGUUCAGAACCAAUGUGCAUGAGGGUUAUGUUGGACUGAUGUUGUUAUUUUAAUUCCUAGAUAAUUUGCUGAACAUUAUAUGAUUACUCAUGAUGGUUGUUGGGUUGCUAUGCUUUUGCUCUGCUAGAUUUCAAAAUUCUGUGAUUUUUUGUUCAGUUUCGGCCGAAUUUUGGCCAAAAUUCGGUCAAAUUUUGUGCAAAAAUUCAAAAUUUUGUUUUACAUUUUCGUCCGAAAUUUUGCCGAAUUUUUUGAAAUGACCGAAAUUCGGCCAUUUCGUUCGGGGCCGAGAAAAAUGGCAAACCGAAAAUCGAAACACAGCUUCAGACCUAUAGUCCCUUCGGCAGGUCAGUCAACACCCAUGUGCCAUUUUCCUCAAUGGAGUUCAUCUCCUCUAGCAUAGCCCGCUGCCAACUGCUCUCUUUCUUCGCCUCAUGAAAAUUUGCAGGUUCCUCCAUCCCAAGCAAACACAAGUUUGAGUACUGCGUCUCUACCUCAUGGGUCUCGUCAUACAACUCCUCAAGCAAGCGUUUUCCUUGUGGUCCGACCGAGGCACUCCACGAUGAAGUGGACCCAGCCGUGGCAGGCGUUCUAGGAGUUGCAGCUGAGUGGGAUUCUGUUGUAGGAGUGGGUGCCAUGGCAAGCGUUUGGGGGGUCUGAGACGCUGCCAUGGUCGCAUUUUCUUCUGCCGUGGCAUCAGUUCUGGAGGGCAUAGGAGUUGCUGCACCCGUUGACUCUCCGCUGACCGCUGCUGCUCAUGCAACCUCAAACACGAAGUUGGGCAAGAUGUACUGUUCCUGGGAUUCAUCUAGGUCCCACUCACACUUCCUUUCUUCCUCAAACACGGCAUCACGAGUGAUGUGCAGCUUCUUUUCAACUGGAUCAAACAUCCUAACGCCUAAGCGAAUUACAGCAGCACAGUUAUCUUCCACACACAUACAAUACGUUGUCACAAGAAGCUAGUACAAUUUUACGAGAAAAAUCAGAAGAGUUGGUGAAGCGUAUAACCCUUGUCAGGCAGCGUGGCGUUUAUCAGUAUUCACACAAGAUAAGAUAAUGGUUACAAUAUUCAUCUCCAGGCUAAACAUAUAAAUGAUCACAUUUUAAACUUGAGAUAACAACAAACAGAUACAGGAGAGAGAGUACAAGAUGUCCAGCCAUGGAGCUAUCUAAUCUAACCCAAGCAGUAUUGUAUAGCAUAAACCACAGGAAAUAAAGUGUAGCAGCGGCUUAAUACAUGAAAGCCCAACACAAAAUAUACCAGAUAAAAGCCUACACUUACAAUACUUCAUAAGCAACGACUGCAGCACACGGAUAAGCUCUCCAGCAGGACAGCAAGCUUACACCUGGAAACAGACUUCAAAAUUGAGAUCAAGUCCUCAGAGCUCUUGCGAACUUAAUAAACCAUUUGCCGAUUUGACCCCAUGUCAUGAGAAUGGCAACUGCAAAUCCAACACCAAAGCCCAGCCCGACGAAGAGAAACGGGAUGACGUCCACAUCAGAUGAUUUCUCUGCACGUGCCAUGCUUGGAGGAGUAAAAUAAACGCUGCAGGGGUUGGAGAAUGGCGGUCCAUAAUCCACACAACCCCAAGUUCCCUUCGAAUGAAUUAUUUUCGAAUGUGAGGAACUAGCGUGACUGCGGUAUCUUCCCCACCAAUCGGUUGUCGGACAAGUUCAGGUUGGCCAGAAAGGUGAGAUUUGUGAGUUCCUGUGGAAUCUCCCCAGAAAGUUGGUUGCAAGACAGGUCUAGUAACUCCAGAUCAGUCACUCCGCCAAGCUGGGAUGGAAUUUUUCCCGUGAAUCCAUUGGGUGACAUGUUCAGUACACGUAAUGAAACAAGUCGUCCAACAUCAUUUUUGUUUUGAUUGUCCCCCCCCCCCCCCGGGAACUCAUGACAUGUUCUUCUUUCUCAGCUCUUGUGCACUAAACUUUUGUAAUUCCUUAUUUUUCCAAUACGAUAAGCCAAGUGGGUGCUUGGGCUGUGAUUUUGUUUCAAGAAAUGGUAACUCUUUUUUGUCCUUGUGCACUCCCCAAGUUCUUCUCUUCAUGUUUGCCACUUUGAUUCUUAGCAAUUUAUUGCUUCACUUCUUUGCCUUUUCUAACCAAUGCUAACUCUUUGAUUGGCUCUUUUACAUUUGUGACCAAAUCUGAAGUGGCGCUCUUACGGCCAUCUCUUUUGACGUGGUAGACAUGCUUCACCACCUCGUUUUUUUCCUUGAGCUCCGGACAGAUUCCUUAUGAUUGAGACGGUUUUUAAUGUGUGAUUGUUGAAGUGUUGAUCUUCUUAAAGCUGCAUAAUAUUGAUGAGAAGGUCGAAACUAAGAUGGAGAGUGUGCUCAUCUCUUUUCCUCUUAGUUUUUUUUGGGGGAAAGGCCAUCAUGGCUAGCUUUAUUAAACUCAAACAAUAGUUACAUCGUUCACCAAUUGGCUAACUAAGAACUCAGGAGGUUCGUUAGUCCAACUGUCACCACAUUUAUUACAAAAAACUAAAUUCUGCUAGCUCAUGAGCAACUGAAUUUGCUUCACGAAAACAAUGAGAAAAGAUGACCUUUCCUAUCGACGUAGACAAAUGUAUGCACUCGGCGAAGACCGCUGCAGCUGCAUCCCACCAUUGAUCUUGUCCUCAACAGCAACUGAUGACGCUCAACGAGUCUGAUUCCGCUUCUACUCUGUUGAAACCCAAGGAGUUCGUCAGAAAUAAUCCAUCUCGCAUUGCCAUUGCUUCAAUAGUCACAACAUCUGCUGCUAAUGGUAUAAAUUUACAAAACCCUGCAAUGAAAUUUUCUCUCUCAUCUCGUAGUACACCUGCAACAGAACCUGCCCCCUCAUCCGCAUGGAAUGAGGCAUCAACAUUAAGCUUUAUGAAUCUUGGCUCCGGUCUCUUCCACCUAUGCUCCACCGGUGCUCUUUUUUGCAUCACAUAAUUUGUAUAAUUUUUCACUAUUGCCAGAAUAGAUGUAUGCCACCUGAAGUUAGGAGGAACAGAGUCAUGAUGAGUGUGUCGACGACGCAGCCACCAGAGAUACGAGCAUCCAGUCGCAAUCACCUCCUUUUUCUUCAAGUUUGACAUCAUUAGCAAAGGUUGGUCCGAAUCCAGCAACAGAAAUUCCAGAAUUGCCGAUCCCGAUGUAUCCACUUGUACAGCGAAAUCAAUAAAAUCUGACAGACCCAGACCGUCCCAUAGGCUCUUUGUUAAAUCGCAUUGGAACAGCAUAUGACGCAAAUCUUCAGCCCCGCUGUGACACACUGGUCAUGCACCAUCGACAGGUAUAUGUUUAUUAGCGAGAAUGGAUUUCAACGGGAUGAUUCCUCUCAAUGCCCGCCAACAGAAGAUUUGAAUUUUCCUUGGCACUUGAAGCUCCCAUAACUCCUUCCAAAUCGCUGCUUGCAUGUUACUAGUUGAUGAUGAAUUUGGAUGAUAUUAACCUCUAUACUUAUGCGACCAUUGUUCAUCCCACUGCGCGGUAACUGGAUCAAUUAGCUCUAUAACCCUUGAGAUUAAGGUGUGUCCUCGAAGAGUUAUCACUCUCCUCUCCGGGCUGGAGGGAAUCCAAGGAUCAUUCCAUAUACUCACAUUCUCUCCCGAACCGAUUCGCCAAAUAUACCCUCUUUUGAAUGUAGUCAAGCCUGAUACCAAUCUCUGCCAUGUAAAAGAAGACCCAGCUUUUGGUCCAGCAUGCAAUAAAUCUGUAUUGGGGUAAUAUUCCGCCUUCAGAAUACGAGCACAGAGAGACUCCGAAUUUAUGAUCAAUCUCCAACACUAUUUUUCAAGGAGCGCCAAGUUGAAUAGUGUCGGUCACGAAAACCUAAACCACCAUCACACUUUGGUAUACAUAGUUGCCACCACGAGAACCAAUGCAUUCUUUUAUUUUCCUCAUCAUCUCCCCACCAAUAUUGAGCAAUUACAUGCAUAAUAUCCUUACACACUCCCUUGGGCAAGCAGAAAACUGACAUAGCAAACACAUGGAUGUAUUGAGCUACUGCUUUCAAUAAGAUUUCCUUUCCCCUUGUUGAGAGUUGCUUCUCCAUCCAUCCUUUCAAGAGUUUUUUUAAUUUUCGCACAAAAGUGUUCAAAGCAGUCACUCCUAUCUGCACCUACCAUUGCAGGUAAUCCAAGAUAUUUAUCUGAGAGAGCCUGGUUUGUAAUAUUUAGCUCCUGGCAUAUUUCAUCUCUAGUUUGCAACAGAGUAUUUGGACUAAAGAAAAUGCUUGAUUUCCCAACAUUUACCAUGUGUUCCGAAUUUGCACAAGAAGUCUCCAACACUUGCUGUAAGGAAGUUGCAUUUAACAUAUCUGCCCGCAUGAGAAUUAGAGAAUCGUCAGCAAAUAAAAGGUGUGAGACUGACAGUGCAUUCCUGCACACUCUUAUCCCAUGGAUGCCACCAACUUCUUCUUCAUACUGCAAAAUGCUAGAAAGACCCUCAGCGUAAAUCAAAAAGAGGUAAGAAGAUAAAGGGUCACCUUGCCGAAUUCCCCUGUCUCUUUUCCUCUUAGUUGACAGGCAACCUAGGCUUCACCAUUGCUAAUGACCUGGGUUGACCGCAUGUCAACCUUCCGUAUUCUAUGGUCCUGAUUUUCUGGACUACUUGUCCAUGCCGUGGGUUGACUGCACGUGUAACAAAUGCCCGUGCGUUACAAAUGCCCGUGCGUUACAACUAAGAAGCACAAAUGCCCGUGCGUUACAACGGGAAGAACAAUAUUUGUUUUUUAUGCGCAAAAUACAAUUAUUUUAUAGGCAAGACUCUUCGCAUUUUAGUAUGGAUUUUGAAUAAACAACUUCAAAUUUGAACAUUAAACUGUGCAACUAAAGCUCAUUUUUGUCUUUGUGUGGCCGAAACACCCACCUCUCACACGUGAUGAUCUUGGGUCAAGGUAUAAUAGUAUCUUGAUGGAUCCGCCCAUGCAUAACCUUUCUGCCAAACACCUAUGAAAAAUAGUAGGCACGAUAGAAAAAACAUAUUAAAAGAGAAGAUGAGAAAAAUUGAUGGUGCAAAAGCGAGAUCAAAAAAAGAAUGGAGAUGAGGAUCAUAAAAUCACAAGCUUAAUCACUUGUACUCAGAAAUCCAUCUCCACAUGACUAAUCAUGUGACAAACAAGCAGUAGGCCAGUAGCCACAAAUCCAUGAGACAUGCGUAAUCAUUAGGAGGCAUAAAAUCCACUUGUGCAUGCAAAAAUCUCAGCUCAAAAUGAACCAUAUAUUGUAUACGCAUCAGAAAGAAUAUAAUAGGAAAUCUAGAGCAUAUCACGCAGUCAAUUGUGCUACACACCGCACGCCCCUUCGUGGGACCCAUAUUUGUUUUGGUUUGAUGCUAAGAUGGAUAGGCUAUCGAUGGUUGGUUGUCUGCCGUUAUUCUCUUUCCAGCGAUUUUGUCCAUGCAUCGUCUCUCUAAGUCUUCAUCUCUCUCUUUCCACGCAAAGUCCCUUCCUACCUUAGAUUUGUGUCGCUUGGAGGCACUCAAGGUAACUGCGCAAGUGCGGCGGCCGACGACCGGCGACCGGCAACCAGCGCAGCCAAGGUAGCGAGGCAAGCUCCUGCCUCUCCAGGAGUUCGAUUUUGAUGAGACUCACAGGCGAGGGAACGGAGGAGAUAUCGAUUUUCUGCGGGCGAGCACGGUGGCGUGGAGUCGCACCAAUGAUCUUUUUUUUAAGAUUUCAGGACUUCCUGACCUAUAGCCGAUGGGGAGGAAGAUGAGCGUGGCUGAACACGCAGUUGCCUGGGGAGCGACAGGUGAUUUCGAUAGCGAGGAGUUUCGAGGCUUGCUAUAUUGACUGGUGUUAAUUUAUAUAGUCAUGGAUCGGGUCGUGAUGCUUCAGGGCUCCUGCAGAGUCCUUGUCCGAAACUGGUCAAGCGAGGCGAGAUCAUGCGGAGAACGACGUUCGUUUUUAAUUAUUAUUAGGUGCGCUUGGGUCGUUCAUGAACAAAACGGUUUUGACUUGCGGGUUGAAUAACAAAAAUUACAGGGGCUUCCAUGUACGGCAUUGAGAGGCAAGCCAGACUGCACCACUGAUAAGGACCUUGGUUGACUCCACGUCAACGUUCUGUAUCUAUGGUCCUGGUUUUCUUAACUACAUGUACGCCAUUGACAUGACAAGCCAGACUUCACCAAUGAUUUGGCUUGACUGCACAUCAACCUUCAGGUUACUUACCACGAUAUUGGUAUAGUAAGACUUUGUGAGGAACAAUUAAUAUUGGUGAUAUAUAUAUAUAUAAUCUGUCAUUGUGUUUUUUUUGUGUGUGUUCAGAAGACCAAAGGUGGGUAAAAAAGUACUACGUACACAAUGCACGCAUAAAAAUGUGGUUGCAUCUAGUCCCAUGAAACGUUUUCCUCUUCCACGAGAGACUCCUCACACGAUUAGGGUUUCUUCGUCUCUCGCAAGCGAUGUCAGCCAUUUGUCUUGUCUUCUAUGGUCUUAAGGCCAUGAAGCCGCGGUGGAUCCCGGUCAAUGCCAGUGAGAGGGCCGUUGCUCCAUUUUUUGAUGUAUUUUUUAAGGUUAGUAAUAGGCGUCGGUCAGGCAGUUGAAAUUUUGGCCCAUCAACUUCCCACCGUGCGAUGAAGGGCAUAAUGACGGCUGGUUUUUCGCCCUCACCGCCAUCUCGCACGUCAUUGCUUCGUCUUCGCAUGCGUGUCUAGUCCUGCCCUAGUGUGAGCAGGUAUCGUCCAGGUCACCACCACCUCUCAGGAAUAUCAUGCUCCUUGUUGCAUCAUGUGGUGUUGGGCCUCGCGGUUAGCCGUACAUGGCUUCCAAGGUCCCAACAGCCCAUGCACCAUCGGUCCCAGCUUCGUCAUUCGUCGCCUUGUAGCACGCCGCCCCCCUGCAACAGUUGAAUCUUGCCGCCGCAUCAUUGUAGCAUUGGGUGCAUCGCCCGUCACCUCACCGUCGGCACUCGCCACACAAUUGUGUCGUCCGUGACCCUUGCCAUCGUAUCCCCGGUCACCACAUUCAGCCAAUGCCCAUGUAGCAAAAAAGCUAACCGGUUGCAACCAUCAUGGCGCGUCCGUCGCCACCGCCGCAACCCUUUCGUCUUGUUGAAGCAAAAAAUCCACCAGUUCAGCUUUUACCAGCACCCACUAUCUGGGUAUUUUAUUUUGGAAACAAAAUAAUUUCGGACCUCACUGAAAUAUGUGAAAUUUUAGAAAUUUCGCAUAUUUCAGUAAUUAUUUCGAACUUUAAGAUUUCAACUUUCACUUAAUUUUAAAGAAUUCAAACAUAAUUUAUAUUUAUUCUGAAAUCAUUUCAAAUCUUUUUUGAAAUUUCGGUGCUAAAAAUAUUUUGGACCCCACUGAAAUAUGCAAAAUUUCGGAAAUUUCAUGGAAAUUUCGUUGAACGGUUGGGUGAAGCAAAAAUUUCUACUGGUUCUAGCACCAUGCCUUGCCGGUUCCAUCACAUGGUCACGUAAUAACAUCAUUGCCACCGGUCGAUUCCAACAUGCAGUGAUUGUGGUUGUAGCAUCGCCACCAGCUAGUUCCAGCACGUUGUGACCAUGGUUGUAGCUUUCUAGCCGGCUAGUUCCAGACUUCCAACACGCGGUGACCUGUAUUUGUAGCUUUGCAGCCGGUUCAUUCCGGCACGCGGUGACCAUAGUUGUAGCUUUUCCAUCCGCUAGUUUCAGCGUGCAGUGACCAUGGUCUUAGCAGCACGUGGCCGCCAUCGCUCGUCUCUGGUGCUCACCGCUGAAACAACGUCGCAUGUGGCUCAUAGCAUCUCCCCUCGCCAUAGACUUGCAGCAGUGGUGGUGCUUCUCACAGCAGCUGUGGCUGGCUUGCCGCACCGUGGCCCAGUUGCAGCAACCGCACCAUGUGCUCGCAGCCGGUAGCCAGAGCAGAGGGUGGGAGGAAGCCAAGGAGAAGCAAGCGACAAAUCGACAUGAGAAGGUGGCCGUCGAUGGUAGACAAAAUGAGGAACGGGGGUAGCUGCGUUUUAUGUCGCGAGGGGAAGAGAUAAGGACGAGGGGAAAAGAGACGUCAAGGCCCGCACAAACAUGACGUUCUACGUGUUGCACACGCUAGCAACCGAUGAAAUAUUUUGUCGGUCGAUCGUAGGGAAACGUUUUCCAUUUUAGAUGAAAAGAAGGAAGUAGUAAUAAAUUGCCUACUAAAUGUUUGCAGGCUCCUCCACUUUCACUACUAGCACGGCAUCACCCUACUUAACCGCUGUAACCCAAACUAGUAGUAGCCAUAUAUGCACGCUGCAAGAAGCUAGGUUAUUGUGAAACAAACCAGAAAUACGAUGGCGACAGCUUUCUUCUUGCUGCCUGCGCUGCUUUUUGCGGCACUGGCGGCCGCCGCGAAAAGCCUCACCUUGGACUUGGAGAGAGGCUGCCAACGGAGCUGUGGCGGCGUCAACGUCCCCUACCCGUUCGGCAUCGGCACAGGCUGCUUUCGCUUGGGCUUCGAGAUCAAAUGCACCGACAACAUGCCUGUUCUAGGGAACACCAGCGACAACAUAGAGGUGCUGAGCCUGUCCUUGGCCCCGCGGCCGGAGGCCAAGGUGAUGCUGCCGGUGGCGUACCAGUGCUACGACUCCACCGAUUACACCAUCAGCACCUACAACGGGUCGGUAGACUUCAACUCGGCCGGUGUCUACCGCAUCUCCAACACCCGGAACGAGCUCUUCGUCCUCGGCUGCAACACCCUCAUCUACACCAGCAGCGGCCCGAAUGGGCGCUACGCCUACACCUACUACGCGGGGUGCGUCGCCUACGCCAAUGACACCCACAGCGCGCAGGACGGAGCCUGCGCCGGAGUCGGCUGCUGCCACGUCGACAUCCCGUCGGGCAUCACGGACAACAGGAUGCGCUUCACCAGCGGUGGCUACUGGUCGCACGCCAACCAGACCUUCUGCCCCUGUGACUACGCUUUCAUCGUGGAGAAAGGCAACUACACGUUCCGGACGGCCAACCUCCGUAUGGAUGGCCGUCGGACCAGCAUGCCGCAGGUGCUGGACUGGGCCAUCCGUGGAAGCAGCAGCGGCAGUUCCCUGUCGUGUGCCGAGGCGGCCACCAUGCCGGAUGAUCACACCUGCGUCAGCAAACACAGCGAGUGCGUCGACUCCACCAAUGGCCCCGGAUAUUUCUGCAACUGCACCCAAGGCUACGAGGGAAACCCGUAUCUUGACAACGGAUGCACGAGUAAGCCUUCUCUUUCUUUCUGCUUGUGACCGUGUGUUUGGAAAGCAAUCGCCUAAUUAUGCUUCUUUUUUUUCGGAUGAAGCUUAAUUAUGCUUUUGUGUAGUAACUGACUGAGAAAUCAAGUACUUGAUGUUUUGGACAUGAUUGUAGUCCAACUUCAAAAACUUUGACUACCAAUAUUUUCUAUUUUCUUGUUAGAUCUGUGAAAAUCGUACUCCCUCCGAUUUCAAAAUAAGUGUUUUGACUUUGGUCCAAAGCUGAACUAAAACCACGACACUUAUUUUGGAUCGGAGGGAGUAGUAGAUUUGGCUCGAUAUAUUUUCACAUUACAACUAUUUGAUGAGCUACUCCCUUCAUUCCACAGUUUGAUGUCCUUACAUCUUUUUUAUUCAUAUUAAGACAAUUUGAUGAGCUACUGCAUAAAAAUUAAUGUGCAACUCUCCAUCAGUACCAUUAACAAUUUGUGAGUCAUAUGACACAACUGUGGCAUCAUUAUGUUCAUAAUUAAAACGACUUUCAAACAUUAUCAUUGUUGUAUCUAAUGCACAAUUAUUAGUCUAAUCGUCUGUAGUUAAAUUAAGCUGAACACUAAAAUUUCAUGCACGUCAUAUGUUGUGGAAUGGUUGAGGACUACGGAUAUAUUGUGUUUGCAUUUAAUGGUCAAAGUUAGAAGGCUGCCAUGCUUUUGAAGACCGGAAAGAAUAACUAGCAUUGCAAAGGGCUCAUAUGAAUUUUUAAGGACAUGCUUGAACCCAGGAGAAUACAUAUACACACGUUCAAAGCAAUAAGAAAUCUUGAGAUAGACGUGUUGCUAUUUAUCUUGCAUAGCUACUACUUCUAUUUCAGUGUGGAGCAUACCUUACAGUUUGUUCACUGAUUAAUGUUGCAGAUAUAAAUGAAUGUGAACGACAAUGGGAAUUCCCUUGCAAUGGUGUAUGCCAUGACACUGAGGGUUCAUAUGAUUGCAAAUGCCAUCCUGGCUAUGAGAGUAGAGGUGAUCCAAAAGAAAUUCCAUGCAAUCCAAAAUUCCCACUUCCAGCAAGAAUUGCUCUAGGUAUGCAUAUUAAUCUUAUAUCGAAAUUAUUUCCUAGCUAUACAUGAUUAAUCCCAUGAUAAUGUUAAAACUAUUUUGGUGUUAAUUACUGCUGAAUUCUUAACUCAUGCAAACUUUGUAUGCACAUAAGUCUAAGUGUUGAUAUUAUCCCCAAACGGUAUAUAUGAAACAAAAGAUCUAUAAAGUAAUUUUACAGCUACUUUGUUGUACGCUGUAUGCACACACAUUAUGAUCUGCAAGGGGUGAUAUAAGAUCAACAGAAAUGUGUGGCUUAACUCUUCUUUUUUUAUUUAGUCAAAAUGGGAGAUCAUAAAAACUUGUUACAAUAACUUUACAUGAUCUACUGCAGGUGUCAGCAUAGGUGUGUUCUUCUUGGUUGUUGUGCUACUCUUGGCAUUCAUAAUGCACCAAAAGAGGAAACUUGCGGUACAUUUUGAAAUGAACGGGGGUAACAUACUUAAAAAGGUCAUAGGCUUGACAAUUUUCACACAGAAGGACCUCAGCAAAAUCACAAAGAAUUAUUCAGAGAUACUGGGUAAUGGAUUCUUUGGUAAAGUUUACAAAGGAACUCUACCUGAUGAAAGUAAAACAGUGGUGGCAGUUAAAUCUUUUAUCAAGGUGGAUGAAGAGAGAAUAGAGGAAUUUACCGAGGAAGUGAUGAUCCAGUUGAAAAUGAACCACCCUAACGUUCUCAAGCUCAUGGGUUGCUGCCUCCAGUUGGAUGUUCCAAUGUUGGUGUACGAGUUUGCUGCCAAUGGGAGCCUCAGAGACAUUGUCCACAUGAACAAAAGGCAAAAACUUUCAGCAGAGUUACGAUUGGACAUUGCAAUUGGGUCUGCCAAAGGAUUGAGUUAUAUGCACUCUCAGGAAAUACGACAUGGUGAUGUGAAACCAGACAACAUACUUCUCAGUGAAAAGUUAAUACCAAAGAUAUCAGAUUUUGGGCUGUCUAAACUGCUUAAACUAAAGGAAAUAAUUGCUAAGAAGGUGGUUGGAUGCGAGGGUUACAUGGAUCCGGUGUUCAGGAACACAGGUGUAUUAACACCAAAGAGUGAUGUCUACAGCUUUGGAGUUGUUCUCCUAGAACUCAUAUCUAGGAAACAAACAGUAUAUGGGCAAAGCGGUAGCCUCAUCAUUGAGUUCCGCCAUAUCUAUCAUACAGAAAAGAGUGGGAGGUCAAUGUUCGAUGACGAGAUUGUAACGGAAGAAGAUAUCUUGAUCCUGGAAGAAAUUGGUAAGCUAGCAAUGAUGUGUCUAAAAGAAAAUCAAGAUGGCCGGCCUGAUAUGACAGAUGUAGCCGAACAACUUGUCAAGCUUAGAGAGAGGAGCAGUUUUAACAUGCUUCCUCCUACCCCCUCUUUUCACAUAAGAGGCAAUAGUAUAUAAUAGAUCUGAGCCAUUGAUCUUAUUAAUUAAUGGUCUGAUUAACUCUUACAUUUUUACCUCUCAUAUAAAAAGAGGAAGCAUGUUAAAAUUUGCCUGGAGAGAAUACUAUAAGAUGUGACAACACUAAGGUGAGGAGAGAGCUACUCAUGUCAUAUUGUCCGUGACACCCAAUGCUUCGAUCUCAGAGAUUUCUAAGCCAAUCCAUUGUCAACCCAAUAUUCCAGGCUGCCGUAUUAAGGUGAACUUAAUUGGAUUGUACCUUGAAUUGAAGCUCUCGGUAUAAAACAGUGUUUGGUUGAUACUCUCUGACUCUGUGUAUAAGUGUCCACUAUACAUGCAGUGUGCCAUCCUCUCUAUGGAUGGAGUAAGUAUAUGUCUGCUGCAAGUACUAUUUUCUUUUGUUGUAUCUCUGAAGCAAGUAUAUGUUGGUGUUUUUGGACUCUUGAUGUGUGCUAAAUAAAAUAUGCCUGCUUGAAGAGGUAAUGCUUGUAUGGCCGAUCAUCAUUAAUUAGCAGAGAUGUACCAGUAGGGAAAAAUUACUAGAGUAACAAAAAAAUCCAUGCGUAAUAAAAUAGGUGUAAUGCAAAUGCAAAAUUUUCAGUGAAACGAAAACUGUCCAUGAACUCGUGGGAGGAAAAAUAAAUAUUAAGAAUGGCGCGGUCAGAGAGGGAGCACACAUACACCCAAUAUUCCUGCAAAAGUAGAGUUAGUAGGAAAUAAUUCUACAACAUGAUGAUCACAGCAGCACAGUUCAUACAUACACAGGUAUCGGUCACUCUGCGCCUAAACGAAUCAGCAGCACAGUUAUCUUCCUCCUACAUAAAUACGUUGUCACAAGAAGCUAGUAUAAUUUUACGAGAAAAAACAGAAGUGUUGGUGAAGUGUAUAACCCUUGUCAGGCCGCGUGGCAUUUAUUUGUAUUCAAACAAGAUACUUCCUCCGUUUCAGUUUAUAAGUCCGGCACGUGUAUCUAGGUCGUCAAUUUGAUCAACUUAAUGAGAGACAUAUAUAUUAUAAAAAAUAUAUCAUUAUAAACUUUAGAUGUUCUAUUUUUUAAUGAUAUAAUUUUUAUAUUAAAUAAUAUAUCUCUCCCUAAUAUAAAAAUGUCCGGCCCAUGCACAGGCGCCUACUUUUAGUUCCGUUUAUUUAUUUAUUUUCAGUUUCGUUUUAUUUUUUUAUUUUAAAAAAAUUAGAACUUCAAAUAAUCUUUACAAUUUUAAUAAACUGAAAAAUAUAAAUCAACAUAUUUAAAAAAUUAAAAUGUUUGUGACUUCAAAAACUGCUCGGAGUUUUGUAAAAAAUACUCGCAUAUACAAUAAAAGCUUCAUGCGUUUCAAAAAAUGUUUGUAAAUUUAAAAUAAAAUCCUCCAACAUCAAAAAUUAUGUUCGUCUUUUCUUGAAUUGGUCGCCAAUUCAAAAGAAAAUAUUUAAACCCGUUUGAAAUAUAAAAAAUAUUCAUGAUUUUUAAUAAAUGUUUGUGAAUUGUAAAAAUUGUUCUCGAUUUUAAAAUUAUUCCCAUAUUUGUAAAAUUGUUCACGAAAGAUCUAAUGUAUGUAUAUAAGUCUUUGUGACAAUAUACCUGUGUGAAUUUUGAAGAAUUAACUGUUGGAUGGAUCGGGUUAUUAUUGUAUGUUUUCUAAAAAAAAUUCUUGAAAUUCAGAAUAAAUUUUUGAGUUACCAAGAUUUUUGACAACCAUGAUAUAUAUUUUUUGAAAAUGUAAAGAUUGCUUCAAUUUUUGAAUAAAUUUAAAAGAAGAAACAUUUUCUUGCAUCUGUGCACAAAAUUUCUAAAUCAAGCGAUGAUAUGUGAACAUAAUAUGGUCACCAUCAUUGAAGAUUGUGUUUUUUUCUUCCAUGGCAACACACGGGCCAUUUUGCUAGUUUUAUAUAAGUCAAAUUGACGACCUAGGUAUACGUGCAUACCUUAUAAAAUAUAAAUUGUGACGGAGGGAGUAAGAUGAUGGUUACAAGAUUCAUCUCCAAGAUAAACCUUAAAACUUGUUAGAAAUUAAUCCAAGGGAUGUGUUCAACCCCGAACAGUCAUGUCUCCUCUCUCUCUAUUGCCAACAGGCACCUGUUCUGGAGGGAUGCCUCCGAACAGACACCUCUUCUUCACACCUCUUCCAGAUGUAUAUAUACUUAAGAAUCAACAGAAACAGGACUGAUUGUUCAUUCACUUUCAUUCAAUCUCGUUUUACUCUAACACGUUAUCAGCACGAGACAUAAAUGAUAUUGAGCAUACCCAGAAUUGAUUCAAAUUGAUAUCUAACUUUCAUUCUGGGUAUCUAACUUUCAUUCAAAUUGGUUGUCCAUUCACUUUCAUUCUGGGUAUCUAAUUAUCAGCACGAGACAUAAAGGAUAUCUAACUUUCAUUCAAAUUGAUUGUCCAUUCACUUUCAUUCUGGGUAUGUACAUAAAGUAUUAUGUAUAAUCAGACAUUGCUUGUGAAAUGAGUUCACGCAGAGGCCCGACAUCAAAUUAUGAUGUAACAUACUCCUGAUAUGAGUGGAAUUAAGUUUCGAUAAUAAAUAUCAUUGGCAGUACAAAUAAUAUUAUCCAUGUAGUUAAUGGAUGCAGUAACUACAUACUCAUAUGAGUUACUCGUUUUGGAAAUUUAUAACGAAGUCCCUGACGGACUUACAAUUCCAAAUCCAAAAUAAAUCGCAACAUAUUUGUGUGAAAUUUCAAAAGUCACUCUAUGGCUCAAAAUAGUCGGAAAUCAUAUGGUACUACCGACUAAAUGACUUUCUUCUUCCGAAAGAUUACUCAAUGAUGAUUGUUUAUGUGUUAACAAAGGAAUACCAAAUUUGAAUUCCUUAUAUCACCUCAGUAUAUAUCGAUGAUUUCAUCAUCAAUGUCUCUACAAGACCUAAACAUACAUAAAAUCUUCUCAAGAUGGAAAUUUUGGUUUCAACCAAAAUUAGCUUAAGUUUACAACUUAAGCAUUCUCUCAAGAAUACAUAUCAGUCUACAUAUAUCCAAACAUAUAUGAGAAGUUCAAUUUGGAUAUAUCAUAUCAACAAAAUACAUGUAUGGUCAUACUACCUUUGAUAAGGUACAAAUCCAUUCAUACCUAGGAGUGAUAAUGAAGUGAUACUAGGACCUGAAGUUCUAUAUCUCACUAAUGCCACAACACUCAUAUACUUGCAAACUACGUCAGGUCUGACACUAUAUUUGCUAUCUUUAUUCGGAGUGCAACCCCAAACAAAAGGUAUAUGGUUGAUAUAAGUACUAUCAUCUUAUAUCUCAAGAUUAUAGUAAAUCUUGAAUAUUUCCAUCAGGAAAUAGAAGAUAUGACCAUGAUAUGAUGUAAUGAUAUUGGCUCUUUAGUUGAGCCCAACGACGCCAUAUCAAUGACUGAAUUUGCUGCAAUAGCCUUCACAUGGAAGUCAUAUAAAUGGAUUUUAAUGGUUAUUUUCAGUUAUCAUUCUAACAUAAUUGCUUUAUCUAAAGGCAUUCCAAAAUAUGCAUAACUUAGUAGAAUGGUUAACCACACUCAAAAUAAUGUGGUUGAGAUUCAUCAGAAUCACAUAACUUGAUUUAUCAAGAUACUUCCAGUUGUGUUACUCAAUACCUAUAGGUUAUAUGAAGAGCAAUAUCAUAAAUCACAUUGCUCGGAAAUUACUUAUCAUCACGGAUUAUAGAGAAGUGAGAAAAUAAUUUGCAAACAAAAUACUGUUAUAAUCCAACAGAUUAUACACAAUCUCAUGUUCACGUCAAUGGAAUUGGUAUGAGACGUCCUUCAUAUUUGCAAAGUUCAGGGGGAGUGAUCUCCCAAAACUAUAAUCUAUUAACAAUCAUCAGAUUGCAUAUAUUGUACUAUUUUUCCCUUGAUGAGUUUUUCCCUAAUGGUUUCUCAGAAAGGUUUUUAACGAGACAAUAUAAACACAAGUGUCUUUAUAUGCCAUAUCAUUUUCUCCUUGUAUUUUUUCCACUGGGUUUUAAAGGAGUUUUCAAUGGCAUGUACGAUUGCACUCUUUUCCCUUAUGAGUUUUCUCUCAAGUUUCUCACGAUGGUUUUUAGUGAGGCAAUAUCUUCUCAAAGAUCAUAUGUCAUACUUUCUAUUUUCCCUACCGGGGUUUUUAAAGGAAGUACUCAAGACAUAUUAAUUGUUCUCUAAACUUAUCAAUGAGUUUUCUCCUUCUUCAAAGGUUUUCUCAUAUGAGUUAUCAAGAGACAAUGAUCAUCAUAUGUUGCAUCAUUUUCUCCUUAUUUUUCCCAUUGGGUUUUAAGGAGUUUUAGCAACAUAUCUACUUUAUUAUCCUCAUAUUUUUUCCACAGGGUUUUUGGGGGAGACUCUCAAGAUUAUCUGAAAGAUUUCUCAAGAUGGAAGAUCUAUAUGCAAGAAGCUUCCAAUGAUGAAACAUUCAAGGAGCGGUGUAGUACAAGGGGGAGUGUUAGAAAUUACUCCAAGGGAUGUGUCCAACCCCGAACAGUCGUGUCUCCUCUCUCUCUAUUGCCAACAUGCACCUGUUCUGGAGGGAUGCCUCCGAACAGACACCUCUUCUUCACACCUCUUUCAGAUGUAUAUAUACUUAAGAAUCAAUAGAAACAGGACUGGUUGUCCAUUCACUUUCAUUCAAUCUCGUUUUACUCUUAACAAAACUAAACCGGACAAAACAUCCGUCGGCUGGUUUGUCUCCCGUCGAUGCCGAUUUUGACCGGGGUGGGGCCUACUUGUCAGGUUGGACUGUUAAAUGCGGCCGUGCAUGUGGCGCGCGUGUGCGAUAGACAUGCGCCGUCGGAUGUCAGUUGGCGGCGGCAUGUCGCUCGCCGACGCCGCCGAGCCCCUCCCCUUCCGCAUCGACGCGUCGCCGCCGCUCUUGAGCAUGCUGUACUUGAGCAGCGGGUCCUCGCCGGCAGCGGCGCGGCCUUCCGACGCGCUGCAGAAUAGGAACAGGUCCUUGAGUCGUGACUUUCAGUUGCGCGGCUGCUCCGCAAGGGAAGGGAGGGGAGGAGCAGAACUCGUCGUCCAUGGGGUCGCCCCUGUACGAGGAUAGAGACCACGUGGCCCUCCUGCUCCAAGAAGACAGGCCCGACGAGGAUGACGCAGGGGCUGGUCGGCCGGACCUGCCCCUCAUCUGGCCCUGAUCGGUCGACACCUCUGCCCGAUCCCCAGCCGCACCGACGCGCACCGCAGACAUCGUCCUCGCUCUUCUCGGCGACCAGGGGGAGACGAAGACGGAGGCGUAGGCGUAGUCCUCGUCGGCAGCCAGGCUGCCGAUCGAGCGCGGGCCGUUGAGCGGGCGGAUCCUUCCGCCCUCGAACAGCUCGUCAGCGGCGGCGAGGAUGGACCUAUGUUACAUGGUACGGGGAUACGGAUACGACGAUACGGGAAAACGACAUUUUCUGAAAACAGACUUACGGGGAUACAGUGAGUAUAUGUAUAAAUGCUUAAAAAGAUCAGCACCAAAAAACUUUUUUGUUAGAGGAUGAAAACAUUGACAUAUAUGAAGUAACUGAUCAGUGAUCUAAUGAAGUUGCUGCCUUUCUAUGUGAGACGAGCUAAGCUGUGAGGUGUUGGUGGCGGUGCCAUAAGGCCGUAAGAGAGUAUGAAAAUGCGCUGAAACUAGUCCUCGCGAUUUGGCAACUAAAGAUAACGACGAGAGGAAGGAUUCUCCAACGAUUAGGUCUAUUAUUAUCCACUAGGACAAUGCCCGUGCGUUGCUACGAUGGCACAUAUAUUCUCCCAACUCCCUAAUCUGUGUGAUGAAUAGGUUUCUGAAUUCAUGAUACCUUGGAAAAUGAAUGCUAGAAAUUUUGAUUCUGUCAUAACCCUUCAACAGUUGUGUACUACUUAGAUUCAGGACACAACCAGUAACUAUCUUUGAGAUGCAUCAUACUUUUAGAAAGUAAUUUGAAACUUCAUAUAAUACAUAUUUUUUGAAACUUUGGAACUUGAUUGCAGGGCAAAGCUUAUAUAGACAUACUUAACCAUCCACAUAACAAGUAGGGGAUGCAUAGAAAAACAAUACAGAAAUCACUUUACAAAUUUGUCUUACAAGCUUAUGUACACAUGAAACUGCAAUGGUUAAGCUUCUGCAAUGAAAACACGUCUUAAAAGACAUUAAUGGACUAAUGACUAUUAUUAAACAUUGAACAUAAAACAUUGAAUGUGUUGGCAUGAAAAUAACUGAAAAUCAUUAUGCCCCCAUAUCGCAGGAUCACAAAAGCGAGGAUCAUACUGCUGUGAUGUCAAUUUCUGAAAUAACACUCAUGAAUUAUGAUGUUUAUUAAUAGAGCUUGUAAAGUAUUACUUCUCAUAAUGAUGGCCAAAAAUAGUUAUGUACCAGUAGGAAGCAACCUUAUAUAUGUCCACACUCGUUAAUAAUCUCAGGCCAUGAUUGCAUCAGGAUUCGACUGUUUUCGAUCUGCUACACGGAUCAAUUUGUUGGAAUAAUAACCAAAAUAUCAAACUACUAGAUGAGAUUAUUUUCAGUCUGUAAGACAGAUCAUUUGUCUCCCAAUAAUCACAAAGCUAUCAAACUACUGGAUGGAAUGAACGACGGAAAAUAUCUAGCAAGAGCUAUUCGAUUGAAACUAUCGGCAUGCAGAAGUACAACUUUCAGGAUUGGUAAUAAAUCAAAUGAUCUAGACGCAUGCCAAGCAAUGUGAAAAUAAAUGUAUUUUGCAUAAACAUUUCCGGGCUACCAGUGCGUCCCGGUAAGGAUUUUUAUCCUAGAUUUUCAUUGAAAUUGAUCAUGCAGUCCCCGGCCAGGGAAAAUGCAGCACUGAUAGUUGUUUUCUAUAUCUACUAUCAUUGAAAAGUUGUUCAGUCUGCAGCUUACCAAGCACAUGAACUGUACAGAAUCGGUGUUGCAUUUUUCAGCCCAAGCGAGCUCCCAUCGUCAUGCUACGGCAUCACGGCCACCUCCUUGUGGUCGUUGGCCGGGUACGACGGCUCCUCCGACGUCUCGGUCUUCGACCGCCGCUCGUCCCCGGCAGCCGCCUCUUCUUGCCGGACGAUGUGGUUCCACCUGUCCUGGAGGAGGUAGACGAGCGCCACGACGGAGAUCUCGGCGGUGAGAAGCGUCGUCCAGAGCCCGACGCUCCUGCCGGUCCUCUCCCGGUACGUGUGCAGGCCGAUGUAGACGUUGGCCACCCCGACCGCGCACACGGCCACCCCCAGCAGCCAGUGAGAAGGAAAUUUUCGGGCCGUGAAAUCGUCAACCUCGGCAGCUACUUUAGUGGCAUGAAGGAGCUCCCAUUCUCAUUCUAUGACCUGCUGAACCUGUGUUUUUUUUUUAUCCGACAGUGUCCAGCAUUAUCCUGCAAUUCCGCUGCUCCCGUCUCGCCCGCUCGCCGAGUCGGCCUCCAUUGUGGCCGCCGCUCCCGCCUCGCCCAACGCCUCUUUGUCGUGCACCUCCACGCCUUGAGCCGGCCUCGCUCCAUCCCAGCUCCACCUCGGCGUCUUACCUCGCCUUGCGCGUGUGUAUGCCUCAAGUAACCUCCAUGCGCUGCCCUGCAACCCCGCCGGGUUAAGCCGCCGCUGGCGCCUCGCCAUCUCUGCCAGCCAUCGCUUCGCUCCACCUCCACUCGCCGCUGAGUCGCCGUCGCUUCAGUCCGCCUCCAUCUCCACUCGCCGCUGAGCCGCCGUCGCUUCGCUCCGCCUCCACAUCCGGCCUCGUGUCGAGCCGAACUACCUCCGCAGCCACGGCCUUGCCGCGCUCGCCUUGAGGGUUGAGACGCCUCACUGUGCUGGGCCGGAGGAAGCCGAUGAGCGGCUGGAGCCAGAAGAGGCCGUAGAGGGCGAGCCCGAUCUAGAUCCGAUCCAGGGCGCGACGGGGCGGAGGUGCUCGGCGAGCAGGCGGCUGCGGCGUUCGGAGGGACUGGCAGGCGAGGCGCGGGCGGGGGCGGGUGCUGGCGCGAGCUGCGGCAGCGCGAGGCGGCGACGCAAGGAGAGGCAGGGAGAGCGGGGAGGCGCAGGAGGCAGGGUGGCGCGGCUGCUCGCAGGGGCGGCGCUCUGGAUCUGGCGGAGCUCCGGAGGAGGCAUGGCUGGGGGCGACGGCUUCGGCAGCUCGCCGGCGUGGAUCAGGGACGGCGACCGGCGGGAGGAACGGGGCGGCGGCGCGGGGAGCAGAUCAGGGGCUGCUCGUGGGUGCGGGAGAUGAAGGCGGCUGGGGGGAUCGCGGGUUUAAUUAUAGAAUAGUACAAGGGCGUUUUCGCAAAAACGCUGCGACGUACGGCAGAAGGCGUCGGUGCUUUAUUAGUAGGGACAGAUAGAGUAGGCCUUCUGAUGGGCUGCAGAUCGAGUGUUAACAGGCCCUUACGUAUCCCUGAUGAUGUAUCCCUACGUGUCCCAGCCGUAUCCGCGCGUAUCCCCGUCUUGGUGCAGUAUCCUGCACCGAUACGCCACUUCUGUGACGUAUCCCUGCAACAUAGGAUGGACGUGGACUCCCUGAGCUACCCGCUGAACCCGAACGCGAAGUCGAACGUGGCGGCGUCGCCCUGCUCUUCGGCGGCGUAGCUGCUCGCCCUGGACGGGCUCGUGGGGGCGUUGGAGAAGAAAUAGCAGUAGCUGGGUAGAGGGCUGCCGCCGCUGCCCAUGGCAGCCACGGUUUUGGGCUGCACGGCUGCACGGAGCGCUUGGAUAAGAUCCAUUUCUGUUCCAGAUCGAAACGGAAAUGACCGCGUUUAACAGUCCAACCUGACAAGUAGGCCCCAUCCCGGUCAAAGCCGUCAUUGACUGUGCCACAUCAGCAUUGACCGGAGAAAAACCAGCCGAGGCGGUGUUUUGUCUGGUUAGGUUUUGUUCGGGGGCUAGAAGGAACCAAAAAAUAGAUCAGGGGGUAAAGUGAACCACGCACUUUGUUCAGGGGAGUAAAAUGGACUUUUUUCAAACAUAUACAUGAUCACACUUUAAACUGAAGAUAACAACAAACAGAUACGGGAGAGAGAUUACAAGAUGUCCAGCCAUCUAGCCAUUAGCAGAGGCUUAAUACAUGAAAGCACAGCACAAAAUAUACUAGAUAAAAGCCGACACUUACAAUACUUCAGAAGCAACAACUGCAGCAGACGGAUAAGCUCUCCUGCAGGACAGCAAGCUUGCACCUGGAAACAGACUUCGAAAUUCAGAUCAAGUCCUCAGAGCUCUUGCCAACUUAAUAAACCAUUUGCCGAUUUGACCCCAUGUCAUGAGAAUGGCAGCUGCAAAUCCAACACCCAAGCCUAGCCCGACGAAGAGAAACAGGAUGACGUCCACAUCAGAUGACUUCUCCACGAGUGCCAUGCUUGGAGGAGUAAAAUAAACGCUGCAGGGUUUGGAGAAUGGCGGUCCACACAACCCCAAAUUCCCUUCGAAUGAAUUACUUUCAAAUGUGAGGAACUGGCGUGACUGCGGUAUCUUCCCCACCAACCGGUUGUCGGACAAGUUCAGAUUGGCCAGAAAGGUGAGAUUUGUGAGUUCCUGUGGAAUCUCCCCAGAAAGUUGGUUGCAAGACAGGUCUAGUGACUCCAUAUUAGUCACCCUACCAAGCUGGGUUGGAAUUUUUCCCGUGAAUCCAUUGUGUGACAUGUUCAGUACACGUAGUGAAACAAGUCGUCCAACUGACUCAGGAAUAUUACCUUCCAAUCUAUUAUUUGAAAGAUCAAUUGUUGUUAAAGUGGUCAGGAUCCUUCCAAAUGUCACGUCAGACCCCUUGUAACUGAUCUCGGUAGAAUCUUGGUAGUAUUCCACCAUACCUUCUAAGUUUGUAGCACGGACAGUAUCUCCAGAACCAUUGAAGUUGGUCAUCAUUGAUUUCAACUGACCAAACCAUUCUGAAUUCAUUUUGCCGGAGAAGUUGUUCAAGGAAAGAUCAAGAAUUUGCAAGCUAGAGAAGUACCCUCCAGAUUGGUGGUUCCAAAUAACAUUAUCUAUGGAACCAUAGAAUUGGUUAGAUCUUAAGAUAAGAACAUAUAGAUUGGAAAGCUCCCCUAGCCAGGAUGGGAAAGUAUCAACUAUUCGAUUGUUUCCAAUGUCAAGAACCUCCAAAUAACUGCAGUUAGCAAGUCCCCUCGGAAGUUGUCCUUCAAUAUUGUUGUCAUGUAAAUCUAUUGUCUGGAAAGCGCAUUUGCUUGUAAUAUUGGAUGACAACGUCCCUUCAAAGUGAUUCUCUCUCAAAUUUAAUACGGCCCCUUCAGCAUUUUCUAUCAAACAGGACGGAAUCGCCCCCCUAAAGUUGUUAUAUGAUAGGUCAAGGACAUUCAACAUGGAAUCGCAAAUUGUUUCUGGUAUAUAUCCAUUUAUACUAUUGUUGGACAUACUGAGAUAGUUGGUGUGACUGAGAUAUAGAGUGAAGUUUGGAAGAACAGAAGAGAAAAAGUUGUGUGAAUAAUCCAAAUAUUCUGAUGAUGAGUUUGGAAUAGGAAGUUUUCCUCGAAGCCUAUUAGAACUAAGAUCAAAUACUUCCAGGUAAUCACUGAAUGGAAGAAUAUAUGAAGUAUGUUGCAUACCGGUGAACAUGUUGUGUGAAAGAUUUAGUUGUAAAAGGCUAUUGCUCCAUCUCUCCCAUAUCAAAUUUGGUAUAUCCCCAGUGAUUUUGUUGCAAGAAAGGUCUAGAUAAACCAUUCUGUCAACAUGUGUCAAAAAACUAGGAAAUUUGGUUAUAUUGCAACAUGCUAGUCCCAAUUCGUCCAGUCCAAACAGAGAGGUAGACAGAGGGUUAUUGCCUUCGUCAAUUGUAACAGACAACUUAUUAUGUGAAAGAUCCAAAGCGGUGAGCUUUCGUAACCUCCCAAAUGAUGAAAGAUCCACUGAAUCUACAAAGUUGUUCAAGUUGAUUUCUAGACCAGACAACUCUGAAAGCUGAAAGAAUGACUUGGGAAAUUGUCCUGCCAAUAAAUUUCUGCUCAAAACCACGAACUGUAAGCAUGAAGAGGGUGCGUCGAACUCUCCUAUAGGACCAGAAAGUUGGUUUUGACCAAGAUUCAAGUAGGAUAAUUUUGGAAGAGCGAAAAGUGGUGCCGGAAUAUGACCUGUAGAAUGAGGGGAGGUUAUUAUUCUCCAUGUGCACUUCGAAUAUGGGGUAUAUAUACACAACCGAGAGCUCAUGAAAACAAUAAUAAAAAAUUGGCAAGCUUCUGUUUAUCAAUGAAAUCUUAUCAUCCAAAUUUAAAAAUUGGUCUGGCCAUCUGCCAUUGUACCACCUUGACACAUUAAAAACAUGUGACGGGCCAUGAGGUAUCCUGUGGUUUCGAGUCAUAAACACAUAAACUAACAAAAAUUGUUCCCCUCACUACCACUAUGACACACUACCCACUACUUCCACCCAGAUAUGCAGAUUUUCCUUAGUCAUUCAUUUUCUUGUGUCUAACCUUAUUCCCUUUCAGUAUGAGGUGGCUUCUUGAGAAUGUCAAAAAUAAUAAAGCGAUAAUUUGAAUUUCAUACUAUAAUCUUACCGCUCAUAUGAUUAUGAAAGAGAUCCAGUUUUGUCAGUCGAGUUAAAUUGAGAAGUGAACCUGGUAUCCUCCCAGAAAUGUUCCCGACUUCAAUAGUUAGCUGUGUCAAUUCCUUGAGUUGCCCAAUUGCAUAAGGUAUUGGCCCAGAAAGCUUACUAAACGAAAUAACCAUGCUUUUCAAAUUAGUGAGGUUCCCAACUGCAGAUGGUAAGGCCCCAGUAAAGUCACAACUGUAGAUUGCCAAUCUUCUUAAGUUUCUGAGAUAGCCAAUUGCAGCUGGAAUUGCUCCGCAAUAAUCACAAUUCACCAUAAACAAGCUUCUUAAAUUUGUGAGGUUGCCUAUUGAGGAUGUAACUGAACCAUGCAAUUUGCAGUCGUGCAUACCAGAUAUUUCCAACUUUUGCAAGUUAAUGAGAUUGCCAAUUUCAGACAGUAUGGGCCUAGGGAGGUUGCAAUCAAACAUCCUCAAGCUUCGCAACGCCUUCAGGUUGCCAAUGGAGGAAGGCGUUGUCCAAGAGAAGUCGCACCUAUAGAUAUCCAAGCUCGCCAAGUUUCUGAGGUCUCCAAUCCAUGAAAAAAUCGGUCCCAAAUCAUUUUGUGAGUCCAUCAAAUUAACUUUCAACUGGCAUAAAGACCCAAGUACACCGAAUGAAGAGAGAAAAUCCAUCGACAGAAAUUUCCCGUCAAUAGUUAACUCCCUCAACAGCUUCAAAUCGCCAGAAGAACUUGGUUUAGCAUAGGAGAAGUUGGUCCCCUCUAGCCUCAGAGUAUGUAGAGAACUUGCAUGGGGAAAGUUUGGCAAAUGCCCCGAGAGAUUCGGGUUUGAGGACAAAUCUAGGACCCUUAAUUUUUUUAGUUGAAAAAAUCUUUGAGGGAACCAACCCUGAAGAUUCAUAUGUGAAAGCUGAAGCUCACUUAGAUUGGGAAAAUCUGCAAAGAACUCUGGAAUCGGACCAACAUCAUUGGAUCCAAGGUUGAUCGCAACAAGAGAUUGGAGGCUUGAGAGAGAAUGAUGGAUAGGGCCAUUCAGCCCGCAUCCGCUCAAGCUAAGAACCUGAAGAUUAGGAACAUAUUUUGCUAGAGCUUUGCCCCAAUCUUCACCGCUGCUAGACAUUAUCUGCAAUUUAUCAAGGUAGAGCUCUCUUAAAUUGUUGAGGUUCCCUACUAGGGUCUCAAAAUUGGGCUCCCAAAGAUGAUUAAAACUGUCAGCUGUAGAGAUAGGAUCAUCGUCACUGAAAACUGUGUGACUUGAAAGAUCCAAGGAGACAAGGUUAACGAGUUUGCUGAUGCCAAUAGGUAUAGGGCCAUCCAAGCCCGAAUUGGAGAGGUUGAGAUGGGUUAGCGAACUAAGCCUCUCAAAUUUCUGAUGCCAAUAGAUGUUGUAACUGUAGUCCCCCAAAGAGUUCAUGCUAAGAUCAAGGCGUUGAAGGGAUCUGAGGCUGAAGAGCGCAGGGUCCAAGCCAUAACUGUUCAAGCCAUGCCCACUGAGGUCGAGUACAGUCACAAGACCAGAAGAAGCAUCACAGCUAAUGCCCUUCCAGAUACAGCAAUUGGUGCCGUUUUCCCAUGACGGAAGGAGAGUGGCGGUGAUUGCUGCAGCAGAAAAGGAUUGCUUCAGUUGGAGAAGGGCUGCAGCCUGGUCUUGAUGGCACCACAGGGUGAGGUUACCAUUACUGUGAGCUCUGGAGGUGGCCAGUAUGGGGAGUUGUACAAGAAAGAGUAGUAGCGCCCAGUGAAUGGAAGCCAUUAGUCUAACACGGUACUGAACCUACAGCAUGAGCUCAGAUGUCCAAAUGGACGUAAGUAUAUGUAGUGGUACUGCAAUAAGACAACAAUCAGUGCAAUGAUCCAAAAUAAUUAGUGCGAUGACAUAUCUUGUUAUGGAUAUUAACUCAAGUUUUUAGCCCGGUCUUCCUAAAGUCGUCCACUUAAUGCAACGGGCCUGGGAAAGCUCCAGUCAAUGCAAGCACGAGUCUUGCUGCGUGCAAGACGGGUUAAACGUAACUGUGACUCUUGUAGAAUUUUCCACUAGACAGGGACCAGAGGUGACCUCAGAGCCAUAUAUUUGACCUUUUCUGGUUUGGAGGAUGGAUCUUGUUUCACUGUCAGAGUUGCACUCUAUUGGGAUUUGAGGGUACCAUCGACCAUGACCAUCUAGUGUUGCAGGUUAAUUGCAGCACCAGCACGCAACUGCGAGUGAAAAUAUCGUUGAUGAAUGAUAACAAUAUUCAGUGAUGAAGAAAGCUCCAGACUUAUAUUUUGGUGUGCCACAGGUCAUAUGGGAAUAGUUACUCUUGAGUCUUCAUACGCUUAUCACUAGCCACACACAAUAUAUGCGCCAUCAGAUGAUUAAUUGUGGAGACUGAUAGUUUGACCGUUUCCAAGUCAAGUAGGCACCAUCAGAUAGUUAAUGGUGGCCAAAUGACCUGCUACCAAGUUUGUUCCAGCUAAUGGUUAUCUUUUAUAACAGCUUCCAUUGUCUUAAAAGAAAAUUAAGUAGGCAACUAUAUACAAGUACCAAGGAGGUGAACUUAACAAAAUCUGAACUUGCAGGUUACAAGCCAUGAAUUGAGCCAGGCUUAGUUCCUCAGUAUAUCUCUAGCUAAGCUAAUUCAUCUUCAACUCGAAGUUGAGUGGACUCUAUAGACUGCAUGUAUUUCUCAGAAAUUUUACAGCAGUAAGAACAGAAAACUCACCAUGGUACCUUAUGACGCUAACCAGCUAUUUCUAGACAUUUCAGAAAGACUUCUCCAAAUCUCGUUGACUCUCCGUCAGAUUUUCUGUUCAGGUACGCAACUGCCUCCCGAGCGCUCUUGGAUUUCUUUGCGCAAAGAUCAUAUGAACUAACAGGAUCAGAGGAUUCUUCUCUUGAGUUGGAGGCUGCAGUGUGUGUGCUAAUAUCUGGCAAAUAAACUGCAGCCUGCACGCCACUAUCAGUACAUUGUUAUUUCCAAGUAUCUUUUGCGGACGAAAGAAAACUUAUAACAAUACAUUUCUAGGGUUACUGAAUUGGGGGGAAACAAGGGCACCAAAACUUGUGAGCUCCAACUAUGUUGAAUAAACAGGCACUGUUAGUACCAGAAAUUCAUGAAUUUAUUCAUAAUAGACACACUAUCUCAUUCCUAUUAGCCGCAGAAAAUAAGCAGAACAAAGCAGUAAAUCUACUGGAAAGCUCCAUCUUCCUGCAGUGGAACGAGGAUACUUGCACAAGUCACAAGAAUGCCAUCAGCGGCUAAAGUGGGGCGAACGGGUCGACGGGAGGAGGCCUUGGAGGAGGGGCGCAGAGGGGGCCGUCACCGCGCCGAAGGUCGCGGACGCCGGACGGAGAAUGACCCGCGGAAGAGCUCGGCGAGGGCUGCGCUGCGUCCAGCAGCCGCUCGCGAAGGAACCGCUCCAUCGCCGGAGAAGAAUGGGUCGCGCUAGAAGCUGCCGUCGCUGGCGUGUCAGCGGGACUGGACGGCGGGGUGGCCGUGGUGCUCCGGUAACCGGUGACGGUGGCGGCCGCCGCGAGCAAAUUGGUUGGGGUUUCCGAACAAGGUUGGACGGUAUGGGCCACAGUGGGCUUGGGCUUGGGCUAGUCCACAUGAAAAAUAAAAGCUAAUGGGCUAAUGGUACACAGUGCCAGUGAGUUUUAAGAAGAAGAAAACUCGGCCACUGCCAAGUCAUUUUAAGGUCAUGUAAACCCCUGUACCCCUUUAGAGCAUCUCCAACAGGCGCGCUUCGCGUCGCGUCUAAAAAACAAGUUUGCCGCACGCUGGUCGCCUGGUUUGGCGCGUCGCGCAGCGCUGGCUCCAGCGGUAGCUUUAAAAUACAGCGCGCGCGCUCCGUUCCAGCAGCGCGCAAAAAUGCAGCUCGACGCGGAAUUUUUUUCACCUUGGGGGCGUUUCGUCGAACACGUGGUGCGCGUCGGCCGCCGGCUCAACGAGUGAGCUCGCCGGCGCUUCGGUAGACUCCGCGCCCGUCCGCCGCCCUGCAACCUUCUUCUUUGCCUUCGAGCUGCCGGAGCCGUCCGUCGCCUUCUUCUUCGCGGAUGUUUUUCCUUUCUUUGGCUCCGACGCAUUGGGGAGUUUUGACGGUGCGACGGCGGCACGGGACAGCGCCGGCGCGACGCCACCCGUCGGCGUGGUCAUCCGCGGCGGCAAGAAGAGGCUGCGCGCGAGGCCGACGGUCAGCGGAGCUCCGGCGGCGGCGCCAGCGCCAACGCCCGCCGCGCUAGGGUUUUCGGCGGCGGCGCCAGCGCCAACGCCCGCCGCGCUAGGGUUUUUGGUGGCUGCACAGCGGGGUCAACGGGGUGCCGGUGUGCGCGUCCAUGGAGGCAGGGGCGCUGGCGCCGGCGCGCGCAGGAGCAAAGGAGGAAGAAAAGGGGCGAGUUCGCUCGCGCGCUCGAGUCUGCCGCGCGCGGAAGUGGACGCCCGAAAUACACAGCGCGGGAUGAGGCUAUGGACAGCGCGUCCAACUCGUUUUAGCGCGCGCGCGGUUUUUGCGCGCCCGCUGAAGCUGUCCGCCGCGUUGCGCGCGUGCUAUAAUUGCCUUUUUUGCGGCGCGGCGCUAGUAUAGCGCGGCUGUUGGAGAUGCUCUUAUACAACUACAAAUUCAAUCAACUUAUUAUGACACUGCCUUAGUCAUUUUAAGGUCAUGUAAACCCCUGUACCCCUUUACAAUGGCUUCUUGAAUCAUUGUCCUAGUAAAGGUCUGUGUGAUUGAUACCUGGUUUGUCGAGGCUCGUGCCAGUUGAUUCCUGCCUUCCUGGGCUGAGUGGGCUGGGGCAUGUGAAAUUUGUGUUUAGAAUUUGUACAUUUCUCUUAUACUGGACAGGUUUACUCAAAAGCGAGGAGCAAAACGUCUUCGGAGCCAAAGUGAGACACUGAUGAGCGAGGCUACCAUUCUUGGUCUCUCAUGGGCGUCACUUCUGUAGCAUCGAGGGCAUCUUGUAUUCCUGGGACUUGCAAGGAUCCUAGUACAAACCACGUACACACCGACAUACGAUAAAACUGAACAAAUAGUAGAACGGUAGCUUUCGCAAAAAAAAAAAAAAGUCAGGAAAUAAAAUUACAAACAAACCGAAGGAACCUCUGAGCUUGGCACCAACGCCCGCACCUGCCUCUGACACCACCACAAUAGCCAUAGAAGAAAAGAAAAAUGACAUGGAUUGAACAUGUAUAAAUGACAUGGUUGUAUUUGUCUUGCAAAACAAUUUUAUUUAAUGCCCUGACCAACGAUGAUUUAGGGGUUAAUCUCAGCAACAAAGAAACACUAGCCGAGCUAACUGAUGGUUCAAAUUUCAAAAGGCACACAAGGUCUGUGCUCUGUCUUCGUCAUAAGUUUCUAUGCUCACAGCAAAAAAAAAAAGGCAAAGCUGAUGAUUUGCCUCCAGAUAGCCUGCAAAUUAUGCAGGACGUUCCUUUCGCGACGUCAACUCCGAGAAAGUACCCGACAAAUCGCUGACGCAUGUUCCUUCAGUUGCCAGACCGCGGGAGUUUGUACAUGAUCCACCAGGCACGGGCUGGCCUUCUCGGAUGCUUGCCCAUUCUGCGCUUUCUCCGAGACAACUCAGCAUGUCAUUCUUCACUGCCCCUCUGUCCAACAGUUCUGGCAUGCCGCCCCUCUUCACAAACAAAUGUUGCUCAAGAUGUGCUCAUCACUUGGUUCUUUGGUCAAACCUAGUAGUUAUCUGUUCGGUCUUCCUCAGAUGUGCUCAUCACUUGGUUCUUUGGUCAAAACCGGUGUUCCAAUGCGGUUCAGCAAUCUCUUCUUUGAGGCUGGAGCUUUUCCCAUCUAGCAACUCUGCUAAGGCUUGUACAGCUGCGGCUUUUUUUUGCUCCUUUUGUAUUUUUUGCUUAUCAGCCCCUGCCUCAGGGCUUUCUUCUCUUCCAUAUAUUGCUAUAAAUAAACAACUUUAAUUAGGUUGAGAAUUGUUCAGGCCAGCCUUUUGCACGACGUAUCUUUAGCGCUGCGUUAAAAUGCAACCGUCAAACUCACAUUAUCGACCACUUUUGACUCUUCAUCGAACAUAUCUUCGGUGACGUUCUCAGUCGUGAGAUCCUGAUUCACCAGUGUGCACCGCACGACGAACUCGUCCUUAUACAUCAUACGAUGCGGUGCCAUCUUCUGUGCUUGAAAUGUUAUGGUGACAUUGAUCUUGGACUGGGGUGGUACAAUUCCUUUGCUCGGCUCUAUGAGGUACUGUACACUUGACGUUUGGACGUAGAAGGCAAUGUAAUCAUCCCUCGGGUUACUUAGUUGAAGUAAGCAUAGUAUCUGCUUGCCUGCCUCGAAAGGGAAAUGCAGCUCCAGCGGAUCUAUGUCAAGCAGCUCCCAAGGGUAAGGGCUUAUCUGCAAGAAAAGAUUGGGGACUCUCAUAAAUACUCGUCUAAGCAAAUAGAACAGACAAGCAAAUGAGCCUAGUAUCUUACCAUGCUAAAUGUAGAUUCAUUAGCAUCAUCGUCGUGCCCACUUGUACAGUCCAAUUCAUCGAGCUGGCGGAUUAUAUCCAAUAUAUAAGGUCGUUCUUUGGGGUCAUGUGACACGCAGCGUGCUGCAAUUUCUAUGCAUCCAGUAACUUGUUGGUAUCCCAAUGGUGGAUACUUGGCUGAUCUAUUCCACCUAUGCCUCCAUCUUCUUAGUACCUAUCAUUUAUAUAAAUGAUUUCUAAUCAUGCUAAAAUAUUCGGCUAAAUAAUAUGCAUACCUUGCGAAAAGCACACAAACUACAAUGGCUCUCAAAUAUCAAAUUUAUACUUCAAACCAAACAAGGACAACAGGACAGUAGCAAACUCAAUGACCCUGUCCUAAAAAAAAUUCCUCAAGGGGCCUAUUUGGUCCACUUGUAACCACAAACUAUAUUUUCAAACUGAAGGACCUACUUAAGAAAAUUGAAGGGGCCAAUUAGUCUUAUUUAAAAUUCAGUAUUUAAAAAUAACUAAAAUCCAGAGUCGGUGGAAACAUGGAAAAUCUGAAAUUCCCAGUUAAAAUUAUUCUUACAUUUUCAAUGUCAGGAUCUUCCUUACGUCCAGUUACAAGAUCUAUAAUUAUAACACCCAGACUAAAUAUGUCUGACUUGAAAGACAACUGGCCGCGGUGCAAGUAUUCCGGAGCACAAUAUCCUCUGCAUGAAAUCGUGCCAGUUGGAUGCAUUAGGGACAAAAACAAGACACUGGGCUCUAAAUAUCUUCCAGAAAUGAUUGGUAUCUACAUGUGUAACUUACAGUGACAUAUGACAUCGUCUAGUAACAGCUUGUGAUAUUCCAUCAAGAUGUUUUGAUAUACCAAAGUCUGUAAUUUUUGGUACCAUGAGAUCAUCCAUCAGUAUAUUGUCAGGUUUAAGAUCCAUGUGAACAAUAUCCUUUUCCUUGUGAAGAUAUUGUAGACCAUCACAAAUUCCCUUUAUAGUUUGAUAACGUAUAUGCCAUUCAAGUCCACUUAAUUCAUCUGCAGGUUGAAAAUAAGUAUUAGGGAAGAUGGAAUCUUUGACCUUUGAUUUAUGCAUGUAAAAAUGGAUAGAUCAGUUCUUUUUGUCCAGUCUGUUUCUUAUCAUUAAUCGACACUUGCAGAAGCAAAAAAGAGGAUGAUCAAAUAAAGAAAAAAAACUGAAUCAUAUGCAACAUUGUUGUACCAGUAAGAUGAUUGCUAAGGCUUCCUUUACUGAUAUACUCAAAACAGAGCAAUCUUUCUCUAAUCUCCGGAUACAAAUACUUCCCACAUUUUCCUGAACCGUCCACUUUAAUGGCAAUAUUCUCUGUAUUAGCACAGUAACCUAGAAACCGUAUUAUAUUUUUGUGCUUGACACUCAUUAGAAAAUUAGUCUCACGAUAAAACAGCUCAUCAUCGAUUGUCUGGCUGUUCAAGAGUUUCUUCACAGCAACAUACCCGUUUUGAAGAACUCCCUGAUUAACUUGUCAUGUUAGCACAACCAUUAGCUCUUAGAUCAAAAUUAGCUCUACUAUGAGAAAAACAAUAUAGAAUGAAGGUUUUUAUAGUUAAAUUUACCUUAUAAACGACUCCAAAUCCACCUUGACCAAUUUUUCGCUCAUCAGCAAAAAUUUUGGUAAUGUCCUGUAACAGUGAUAGUGGUAUACUUAUUGGCUCCGCACUUCCGUCAUGUAUUAUUGGAUCCAGUACAUUAGGUAUCCCACAUUUUAUAUCCGUCCUAAUCAAAACAAGCAUGCGCUUUCUAAAUCAGACCAAUUUGAGUAGUUUGUUUGUAAACUAGAGCAAGUUCCAUUUGAAUCAAAGUAUUUGAACUAGGACAUUUAAGCAGUAAGAUGAAUGUAGAAACUCUAGGGAGUCUAUUAUCAAGAACACAUGGUUCAGCCGAAAAGAAGGUAAACUAUUGUAGGAGUAACAAUUUUGUAGGAAAUACUAUGAUACAAGCCAAAGGCAGAACAAAACUCAACUGCUAGGAAGAGAAGUCUUGUGACUAUAAAUGUUCGUUUAUGAUGGAAAACUGUAUGAGAAGCUCUAAUGGCAUCAAUACAAAAAUAUUUACAGCAGACAUAAAAAGCGGGAAAGAGUCAAGGCUCAGAGAGAAAAGAAGAGGAAAGCCACAUUUUACACGUGGAUCAUAACUGAAACUGCUAACCAAGCAUAAUGUGACUGGAAAUUGACCUGGCAUUAGGGUGCAUUUGCAGAGUUACUAUAAAUCACAUAAUUGCAAUAUAGAACGGAUGUGAGUGCUGGAUACCUGGCUCUGAAAACAUCAUUUGACACUAUACAGUCUGAUGUUGAAGAAUCAUUUGACCCUUCACCCUCAGAUAUCUCUCGAGUCUUCGUAUCAAAAAAAUAGGUCCAACUAGCCUGCAUUAUUUGUUGUGUUCAAUACAUCUUUUGUUAAGAAAGGUUAAAAAAAAAGUGUAUUCCAGUACACCUUAUAGAAUAUAAUGCUUAGAGAUCUUAAAAAAAGCCCAUGGCUCCACCAGCUAAGGGGAAGGUGCCAAGUCGGCAAGAUAAGAAUCCAGAGAUAUGCUUUACACUCUUUAUCUUAGAAAGAUAUGGUUUAGUGUCGACAUUGACAGUUCCUUGAUUUUGUUCCCUUCAGCCUCAAGUCCUUUGGUGUAUAAGCAGGCUAUAUAAUGCCAGGACAUCACCAUGCGUAAACAAGCAGAAAUAACCAAGCACCCUUACUCGCUCCCUCUAAUUUCUCUACAAGGUGUUGCACUUUGGCAGCUACACGACAUGACAAGAUGGGAGAAUAAACCCCUCCCUACUGGCCCCUUCUAUCAACCAUCCCUACAACCUAUAAUCAAAUUCACCAGCCAAAAAUUCCCAAGGUUGUGACUAAUGACAGUAACCCCAUCGAUUAUGUCUUCAAUCGUUCUUGAUCUCAUUCAUGGCAGUGUGACAAUGUUGAAGGUUGAAUUGGUUGUGCCCCACCUUGGGCACCAACCUUUCAGGUGAUGGAAAAGAGAUAGAUUACGGAAAUAUUGAGCAAAGUACCCUUCUAAGCUACGGAGAUCAGUUGUAAUCCUUGCCACUGAGUUUGCAUCAACACUACAAGGCAUGUAGCAUGAAACACCCACACUGCCAUUAUUCUCUUGACAGGAGCAUAAUUAUUUCUGUGAUGGAAAUCAUAAUACCACAUGCUAUAUGAUAAAUAUAGUAAAACACAGUGGAAAAUCAUAAUCAUAAAACCAACAAAUAUUAUAAGCAACUUUUUGGGGCUCCCGAGGACAAUUGUGUGUCUAUGGAUGAGUAGAUGGUUGGAGAUAUUCCUCAGCCCGGGACAGAAGAGAAUGAGACAUUGACCGCACCAUUCACAGAGAAAGAGGUGUUUGAGGCUAUACCACGAAUGAAAAAUAAUAAGGCUCCACGUCCAGAUGGAUUACCGGCUGAGUUCUAUAAAAUAUGUUGGCCCAUUAUUAAAGGUGACUUACUUCCUAUGUUUGAUGAUUUGUUUAAUGGCCACAUGCAGCUUUUUUACCUAAACUUUGGGACAAUUACGUUUUGCCAAAGGAGGGACGGUGCGCAUUGAACAAUUCCGUCCUAUUUGCCUGCUUAAUCUGAGUUUCAAAAUAUUUACGAAGGUAUGGACAAAUAGAUUGACUCAGAUUGCACAUGUGAUGCAGCCUAGUCACAUGGCUUUCGUACCAGGCAGAAACAUACUAGAGGGUGUGGUUAUCCUUAAUGAAACACUUCAUAAAAUUCACUUGAAGAAACUAGAUGGUAUUAUCUUCAAGGUGGAUUUCGAGAAAGCAUAUGAUAAAGUUAAAUGACCGUUCCUUCAACAAGCCUUGCGUAUGAAGGGAUUUGAUGGCUUGUGGAGGAAGCAUGUUCAAUCGUUUGUACCAAAAGGUAGCGUUGGAAUUGAAGUUAAUGAUGAUAUUGGUCAUUAGUUCCAAACGCACAAAGGUCUUCGGCAGGGAGACCCCUUGUCCCCUAUCAUAUUUAAUGUGGUUGCAGACAUGUUGGCAAUUCUCAUAUGAAGGGCUAAAGAGGAAGGCCAGGUAGGAGGACUAGUGGCUUUUUUUGUCUCAACGAGGACAUAUGCGGUAAUGCCCCUCGCGUUGCUCCCGCGGGCGACCGAGAGGGCAACCCUAGCCGCCGGCGCCUUGAUCCCCUGCCUCCCCCUCUCCUCCCUUCGUCGCCGCUGCUGGCGGAGGCGGGGCCUCUUCUCCCCUUUGUGCAGGGACUCGGCACGGGCCGAUGACCUUCGACAGUGUGGCGCAGCGCUGGUUCGGGCGUGGCGGCGCGUGGGCUCGCUCGGCGGCGGCGCUGCGGUACCUUGUCCCAUGCAUGGAGGGCUGGACUUGGGCGGGGCUUCGACCUGUGGGCUGGCGCUCGGCGGUGGCUUGUCCCAGAUCUGGCCGGGUGCGCGCCUGGUGCGGAUCACGUCGGUCGGCAGCCUGAUCUGGAUCCCGUCUGCCGACGGCCUGAUCUGGAUCCAGGCUGCGCGCGGCGAGGGCGGCUACUAGGGUCCGGCUUCGGGAUCUCAGCGUUUGCAGAUGGUCUUCUCGUCGCAGGCGUGCGCCGGUGAUACUCGGGCAGCGGCGGUUCCGGCGGCGGCGCUACCUCGGGCGACGUUGCUCCGGAUGGUGAGGAGGCGGUGGCCCGGCUACUUGGCUGCGGGUUGGCGCGACAGUUGGCGGCGACGCCCUCCCGACCCAGAUCUGGGCCCUUUGGGGCCCCAUCUGGGUCUAGGCGGGCAUAGCUCGGCUCUUCCCGCGAUGACUCCAAUGGCCGAAGGUGUGGCUCGUGCGAUGGGUUGCGAAGGCGGCGAUGCACCCACUGCAGCGCGGCAACGGGAGCUUCACGAGCCAUUAAGACCUCGGUCGGGCUAUCGUGCCUACGGUGCUCCCCUUGCUGCGUCUGGUCGGUGACCGUCAAGAGCCGUGGAGGUUGUCCCCUCGCGUGUGAUUGCUGACUCUGCCGCUCCUGGUUCCUGACUACUUACUCUCAGCCCCGUCGGUCUCGCUUCGAUCUACAUGGUGAGACGGCGGUGGUUUCUCCUAAACCAUGGUGGCGCAUGUUGGUGGGCGGCAAGUUUGGUGGAGCACGACGGAUCGAUCGGGGUGGGGUUGUGUGGCGGACGGGAGAAAUUCUUGUCAAGCGUGGCUGGCACUGACGCGGCGACGCCCGUGGGCGCCGUCGUUCCUUCCUGAAGGGCGUCGGGGAUCCCACUUACUCACGCCCCACUACGUACAAGGGAAACCCUAGGAGCAAUCCGGGCAGCAGCGUCACCAUCGUCGCUUUCCUUCCUGAAGGUGUUGCUUGUUACGCGGUGGUCCAAAGUGUUAGGAGCGCGGUAGAUAUGUUCGGAGGGCGUAGCUGUGCGGGAUCAUCAUCGUUUUCGUCAAUCCGACUUUGAUGUCAUUCUUUUCUUUUAAUUUCUCUUUUAUUUCUUUUGGGCAUACCUGUGUUGUCUGCCCCGGCAGUGGGAUCUUGGUUGUAUCUGAUGGUUGCUAUACAUAUAUAGCGGGGCGAAAGCCUAUUUCGAGAGGUAGGAGGACUAGUUCCACAUCUAAUGGAUGGUGGUGUGUCCAUAUUACAAUACACCGAUGACACUAUUUUGUUUAUGGAACAUGUUUUAGCAAAGGCUAGAAAUAUGAAACUUAUCCUUUGCUUAUUCGAACAGUUGUCGGGUUUGAAAAUUAAUUUUUACAAAAGUGAAUUGUUCUGUUUUGGGAAAGCCAAAGAUGAGCAAGGCGCUUAUAAACAACUGUUCGGUUGUGAAUUGGGAAGACUACCUUUCAGUUACCUAGGCAUAUCUAAUUAACAAACAUAGAGUGGAAGUGUAUUAAGGAUCGGUUUGAAAAAAACUAAGCUGCUGGAGGGUAAACUUUUGUCUUAUGGAGGAAGGCUAAUAUUGAUUAAUUAGGUUCUUACGAGUAUGUCUAUGUUCCUUAUGUCCUUCUUUGAGAUACCGGUAGGGAUACGCAAAAAGGUUGGACUUUUAUCGAUCCCGCUUCUUUUAGCGGAGUGAUGAAGUUAAGAAAAAGUACAGACUCAUUAGAUGGGAUAUUAUUUGUAGGCCCAAGGACCAGGGAGGUCUAGGAAUUGAGAAUUUAGAGGUAAAAAACAGAUGUCUGCUCAAUAAAUGGUUGUUCAGACUAUCUGUGAAGACAGAAGUCAUAUGGGUACACAUUUUACGAAAAGUAUUUACAAUCUAAGACCUUGGCCCAAGUCAGAGUCAGACCCAAUGAUUCUCCCUUUUGAAAAGGUUUGAUGAGAAUGAAAUCAUCUUUUUUUAUAGAACUAAAUUUAUUAUUGAAAAUGGUGAGUCGACGAGAUUCUGGGAGGAUACGUGAUUGGGGAGAUGCCUCUAUACAUCUCUCUAUAAUAUUGUGCAACAUAAGGAGGCGUACUUUGCCAUAAUUCUACAGUCUAAUCCUCUAAAUAUUCAAUUCCGACGAGCGUUGGUGGGUCAUUGCUGGGAAGCUUGGUUACACUUAGUCAGAAGACUCAUCGAUGUAUAGUUACCGAACGAGUCUGAUAGGCUUCAUUAGAAGCUAACCUCAAAUGGCAUCUUCUCAGUGAAAUCGAUGUAUUUAAACCUUAUUGAUACUGGACUAUCCCCAACUCGAUUCAUAUUUGAAAGGUCAAAGUACCCUUACGAAUCAAAGUCUUCAUGUGAUUUGUUCACAAGGAGGUGAUUCUUACUAAGGAUAAUUUGGCAAAGCGUAAUUGGGAGGGAAGUAAACGAUGUAGCUUUUGUGACCAUGAUGAAACUAUCAAACACUUUUUUCUCCAAUAUCUGUUAGCAAAAAAAAUUGUGGCAAACAAUUUGUAUAGCCUUUAAUAUCAUUCCUCCGGAUAGCAUUGACACGUUGUUUGGGAUGUGGCUAAAUGGAGUUGACAUAAUCACUGCGAGCCACGUUCGUAUAGGAGUAUGUGCUUUACUUUGGGUUAUAUGAAACUGUAGGAAUGACAUGGCUUUUAACAGACAAACAUGUAUAAACUUUUUUGUAGCUACUUUACAGGUCAUCAGCGUUGAUCCGUAUAUGGUCGUUACUCACUCCUGUAAAAACCAAGAAACCUUUGGUUACUGGGUCUCCCCGAUGAGAGAUGCUAACUCGGAAUAUCUACAACCGGUUUGGAUGGCGAUCCAAUAAUAGAAUAGAUGGUUAGGCAUCGAGUCCUAUAUUCGCCGGUUGUGGCAUUUGUUUCUUAUGGAUUAAUUUACAGCUCCUUACGAGCUUCUUCGGAACCGCACACUAUUUUAGUGCUUUAUUAAUAAAGGGGUUGCAUGCAUCGUAUUGAUGCAGAGGCUGAAGGUGAUCCUUCUUUUCUAAAAAAACUGCUUAUAUCUAAAGUAUGGUGGCAUUUGCAAUGAGACUUGGGAUAGACGAAAACCUCCGGAUGUUGCACACCAUUAUUUUUAGGAUCAACCAGCUGCAUAUUGUUAGGAGCAGACACUUCUCUGUUCUCCUCAAUUAGGUGGUGCAUUUCCAAAACCUGUGUAACAUACAAAAUUAAAAAUAUGUUAUUUUACAUUGAACAAAUAAAUCAAAGACAGUACCUCCCAUGUUGUAAGAUGUUGAAGAAUCAUUCGAACCUUCAGCAUCAGAUAUCUCGUCUUGAGUGUCCAUAUUAAAAAAACUAGUCCAUAUGUUCUUGCAUUAACUAUUGUGUUCACUACAUCUUUUGUCAUGGAAUGUAAAGAAAAAAUCCAGAACGUCCUAUAGAAUAUAAUGGUACAUAUCUUAAAAAGAAGCCCAUGGCCGAACCAGCUCACGGGGGAGGCACCAGUUUGUCACAAUAAGAAUCUAGAGAUAUGCUUAACUCUAUCUUAGAAAGAUAUGAUUUAAUUUCAAUAUUCAUAGUUCCUUGAUUUUCAAGUUAGUUCCUUUUGUUAGGAAUACGCAACUUGUAUUCUCAUGAGGCCAUAGGUCAAUAUAUAUACAUGUACAGGUGCGGAAAAUAUGCAGAAAACCUUUUAUACAAUGGGAUAAAUACAAAAGGCUAUAUGGCUAUAUAUAUAGUACUCUAACACACCCUCAAACUCAGGAUGGAUAAACAACACUGAGAUAGGAGAUAUAGAAGCCAACUAUAACUCUAGUCUGGGCCUUUGUAAAAAAAAUUCGUCAAUUAUGACUCGGAAGACACAUACUAAAGAGCAAUAACCUGAUCUUGCACACGAGCACCUACAUGAAAGCAUCAACAUCAAUAUGCUUGAUGACCUCAUGCUUCACAGGGUCACGCACAAUACUAAUAUACUAGUAGCACGUGUACUGCCAGACAAUAGAAGAGUAGGUGCACACAAUAGAAGAGUAGGUGCAGCGACAGAAACAUCAAAGUCCUGAAGUAACCAUCGUAACCAAGUCACCUCUGCCGUCACAAGAGCCAUAUACGCAACUCAGCCUCUGCACUCAAAUGGGAAUUGCAGUCGGUUUCUUCAUCUUUCAGGCAAUGAGAGAACCACCAAGAAAAAACACAGUAAGCAGAAAGUGAACAACGACCGAAGGGAUCACUAGCCCAUGUAGCAUCUGAAUAGGCCUGAAACUGUAAUGAACUACAGCGAGGAAAUAACAAAAGGUGAGAGAUCGUGCCAUGAAGAUAUCGGAGAACACGAAGAAGGUGAUUGAAGUGAAUCGAAGUGGGAGCAGAGACGAUCUGACUUAGAACAUGGACUUUAUAAGAGAUAUUCAGACAAGUGACAAGUAGAUAGACAAAACUACCACAAGAUGAUGGUAACGCGUCAGAACAGACAAGGGGUCACCAUCAAUAUCACAGUUGUGAACACUGAGCUCCGUGGGAGUCUCAAUAGUGCCGUCAUUAGUAAGAGCAACACGAGCAAGAAGAUCAUGGAUAUACUUUUCCUCGGAAAUAAAAAAGACAUCAGAGGUAGAAGAGACCUCGAUCCCAAGAAAGUAGCGAAGGGGGCCACGACCAGACAUAAGAAACUGCUCAUUAACACGUGCCUUCAGAAAGGCAAUAUACUAGGGGGGGUCGUCACCAGGGAUGAUCAUGUCAUGAACAUAUAGAAGAAGAGUCCGACCACGAGAUGGAAAGUGGACAAACAACACCGGAUCAUGAGCACUCGCUGAAAAGCCAACGACAGUCACCACAGAGGCAAAACGCUUGAACCAGGCGCGAGGGGCUUGCUUAAGGUCAUAGAGAGAGAGCAAUGAAGAUGGCAGACCAUGAGGUACAUAAUACCCAUGUGAUGGCUGCAUGUAAACCUUCUAAGAGCAUGGUUAAUAGUAUAGCCAACUGCUAGCUAUAAGCCAUCUUAUAGCCCAUCUUAUAGCUAUCUUGUACAAUAGUUAGCUAUAGAAGAGUACACUUUUAUCAUAUAUGGCCCAUCUUUCAUUCUCACAAAGCACCUAGGAGCACGUGCUAGAGCCGGCUCUUCACGAAGAGCCCGCUUCCCUUCUCUCUCCUCUUCUCUCUCAUCCAACUCAGCAAAAAUAUAGUAUUUUAAUUCUUACAGCCUGCUGACUGUACCUUAUUGUACUUGCUCUAAUGCAGCUCAACAUUAAGAAAAGCAUUCUUAACAUCAAACUGAGAUACAAGCCAGUGGCGAACAGAGGCCACAACAAGAAGUGCGAACAGUGGUCAUGGGCCACAGGAGCAAAAGUCUCAUCAUAAUCACGGUCAUGCUCCUACUGAAAGCCAUGAGCCACAAGACGAGCUUUGUAACGUUCAAGAGAAUUAUCGGAGCAAGUCUUAACCUUGUAGACCCACUUAUAAGUGAUUGGACGAAUACCAAGAGGAAGAGAAAUAAGAUCCCAUGUGCCAGUGCGCUCAAGAGUAGCAAGCUCUUUUGCCAUCACAAAGUGCCAUUCGGAAUGAACAAUAGCUUGACAAUAAGAAGUCGGCUCAAGAACAACAACACUAGCGCUUGGAAAACCAAGGUGAUCAACAAGCGGAAGCGAACGAGGACGCAAGCCAUAACUAGGCUAAGACGAGGAAGAUGGCACAUCAAUAGAUGCAUCCACAACACGUGGACAAGUAUAAUACUACGGAAAAGAUGGCUGAAGUAGUUGAAUAUCAGCACCGGGAGAGGAGCAACCGCCAACACCGAGGGAAGUCGCUAGAUGUGUCGAUGUAGCACGAUCAGUAGCGUCCGCAAAGGCGGGUGGAGGAGAUGAGGUUGUAUGCAGGCAAGCACCAAGGGAAGACGUGUGCGCGAGGCGUAGUGGCCAGAGCCAUAUGAACUAGCACUGGGGUGAAAGUCGCGCGAAGAAUCGAUGUGGAACGACAAUCACCAUGUGUGGAGCCCGAGAGGGGAGUCGCAGAAGAGCAGCCACAACGAUAGUCUAUAGAGAACGGUGUAGAAGGACCAUUACCAUCUAUGGAAGUCGCCUCAGAGGGCGGCUGCACAAACGGAUGAACACCAAGCACCGAUAAAAGGCUCAUGCAAGACAACAUGGCAGGGGUUGCCCCUCGCCGCCGUGACUUUGAGGGACUUUGGGAGUUAGAUUGGCUUCGUAUUGUUUCCUUUGCCACAUCGUCGCCAGUCCGUCUAUGUCACACCGGCUACCGACUCUUUCCAACAGUGGCAUCACCGUUUGGGUCAUGUUUGUGGCUCUCAUUUGUCGUCUUUAGUUCGUUGACGCCUUAUGCGGUUUAUCUCAAGAGAUGUCUAUUUAGAGUGUCAGGGUUGCCUCUUGUUAAAAAAAUUCAGUUACCUUAUUAUACUAGUGAGUCAAUAUCUCAACAUCCUUUCGAUUUAAUCAUUCCACUGUAUGGGGUCGACCUCCCUUAGCUUCAAAAGGUGGGGGGCAUCGAUACUAUAUUAUUUUACACAUAAUUUCUCUCUCUACACUUGGCUAUACUUCAUUUCUUCUCAAAGUAAGGUUCUCUCUCUAGAUAAGCAUUUUGCCGCCAUGGUCCGCACUGAUUUUUCUACUCCUAUUCGUGUGUUUCAUGUCAAAUUUGCUGGAGAGUAUACUCCCAACAUGUUACACGGAUUCCUUGCUGAGCGAUGUACUCUUGCUCAGUUCUCAUGUCAUGGUGCUCAUGCUCAGAAUAGUAUGGAGAGCGCAAGCAUCACAUCUUCUUGAGACAACUUAUGAUUGAUGCUUCGCUUCCCCCUCAUAUUUUGCAGUUGUUUCCAACUCCGCCUAUCUCAUGAACCUUCAGCCUUCCUUCGGACUCUUGGGUGACAUUCCUCUCGAGGAUCUUUUUGGUUGUUCACCUAAUUAUUCCACCCUUCACGUGUUUUGUUGUGUUUGCUAUGUUCUCCUUGCCUUCAGCGAACGCACCAAACUAACUGCUCAACCGGUUGAGUGCGUAUAUUUGUUGGGAUCCGGUCCUCGGAUGCAUAUUUCUUGGGAUGUGACUUUUGAUCAUUUGUGUCCCUUUCCAUCUUCCUUGGCCUCUUCAGUGGAGGAUAUCUAUUUCCUCACUUUUCCCGCCAUGCAUGUCACUCUGGUUGAGCCAUUUUCCAUUCAUGCCACUGCUCAUGCUCAUUCAACUACUGCAAAUUUGAUGUUGUCAUCUCCUACGGUUCCCCCUCUCAUGUGUCACAUGAUUGUGCACUUUGUCUCCUGUGGUUUCCCCUCCCCCAUCACCUGAGUCUAUUUCAAUGAUUCCACAUCAUAUUCUCCCCUUCUUUCCUCACCAUUAUACUCGUCGUCCACGUGUUGUGGAUGAGCCUACUAAUGAUCCAUCUACUUCUGAUGCGCUAUCUUCCUCGCCUCAUCCUACUUAUCAUUUUCAUGCUCGCUCUCACCCCGCCAUCGGCCGCUAUGAUUUUUCUGGUGGCUGUUUUCGAGCCAAGCUCUUAUCAUGAUGUUGUUCAUCCGGAAUGGCACCAUGUGACGACAGAGGAUAUUGCCCCUCUUGAGCGUAUCGACACGUGGGAUAUUGUUUCUCUUCCACCCUGUGUUCAUCCCAUCACUUGUAAGUGAGUCUAAAAGGUUAAGACUUACUCUAAUGGUUCUAAUGAGCGCUACAAAGCUUGUCUUGUGGUCCGUGGCUGUCAAAAGAAGCAUGGUCGUGACUAUGAUGAGACUUAUGCUCUUGUGGCCCACAUGACCACCGUUUGCACACCUCUUGUUGUCGCUUUUAGUUGGCACUGGUCUGUCUCUCAGCUUGAUGUCAAUAAUAUCUUUAUUAAUUGUGAGUUAAGUUAAGAGGUAUCUCCUCUGGAGUUAGUGUAUUUCAAAAAUUGCCCCGAUGGGCCUGCAUUAAUCAUUGUGUUCACGGCAUCUUCUAUCAUGAAAGGGUAACAAAAAUCCAAUACUCCCUAUAAAUAUAGUGCUUACAUAUCUUAAAAGAAGCCAUCGCUGAACCAGCCCAGGGAGGAGGGGCCAGUUCGCCAAGAUAAGAAUCCAGAGUUAUCACUCUAUCUUAGAAAGAUAUGAUUUAGUUUCCAUAUUGAUAGUUCCUUGAUUAAGUUGUCUCUCCAUCCAUAUAACCUAUGAUCCAAUUCACCAUUCCAAAGUUUCCAAGGUUGUGACUCGUGACAGUGCCCCCAUCAAUUGUCCCUUCCAUCAUUCUUGGUCUUAUUCAUGGCCGUAUCAUGGUGUUGAAGGUUGAACUGGUUGUACCCUACCUUGGGUACCAACCUUCACGGGAGAGAUCAAAGGACAUAUUGAGCAAACUACCAUUCUAAGCUAAAGAGAAUCAUUGUAAUCCUCCCCACUGAUUAUUUCAGUGACAGCAAUCAUAAUACCAUGUGUUAUAUAAAAGAUAUAGUAAAACAAACUGAGAAAUCAUAAUCAUAAAACCAAUUGUUUGCUUCUAAGCUAAGGUGGUAUUCACAUUGAAACUUGAGAUAGAUGAAAACCUCUGGAUGUUGCAGACCAGUUCUUUCAGGAUCGUGCCGCAGAAUACUGUCAAGAGCAUACCGUUCAUUCUUUUCCUCAAUUUUCAUGCACGUUUCUAAAGUCUGCAACAUACAGAAUUAAAAGCAUGUCAUUCCACCAUGAUCAGAGGAACCAAAUAAUAGUAUCUCCAAAAAAACUGCAAUCCACAAUUGCAUACCGCCUCAUCAAGUUCAGCAUGUACGGACAAAGCGGUGGAUCUCAAGGCGUCAAACAAGACAUGCGCGAUCUGAUACAAUUUAGCGAGCUCUUCACUGAGCAAACUGAACAACAGAGACAUUGUCAUCAAAGAGGAGCAAAACAACCAAGUAGUCAUCGUUCCUACUUGAUUGCCCAUCAAGAUAGUAAAAGGUUGCUAACGUAACACAAGUAGGCUCAAGAAAUGCCUCUGGCAGUCUUACCGGUCAGCUUUGUCAACUGCGUCUACAUUCUGAAACGUCUUGAUGAACUUUUCAUAGUAAUAAAGGUAAAACUGCUCUAUCUCUCGGACGUCACUAUGCUCCCUCCUCCACUUCAAUGUCAACAUGUUCUCCUGAAUCAGGGUGGGGAGUGGGGGACACAGAAUCCCACAAGUUAAUUAAAAGCUUGUAUCACAAUUCACAUCGAGGGAGAGAAAAGAAAAACAGAAUUACCCUCUCUAGAGUUUGCAGAAGCAAGGUCUUGAACUGAUGAACUCCAGCGCCGCUGGAGGUCGGGUCCAGCCGAUGCGCAUACUCGGACACGUACAAGCGACCUGAAUACACCAAAAAUGCAAAAUAAGCUGCGAUUGCUAAAAAUCACUGUGGGAUCGGAAGAUUUCUUUUUUCGUGUGUGUGUGUGUGGNUCUGCUUACAGAGGUAGGCGACGCGGAAGUUGCCGGGCUCGACCUCCUUGGCCACACGCAGGAUGGGCAGGAGGUCGACGAGCGAUGGGGGCACUGCCUGUGCGUUGAAGAUGGAAUCCGCCAUGUUCUCCACCGGCUGCGUCUGGUGCAGCCGCCUCGGCGCCCCCCACCCGUUGACGACCGCACCAGCAACGCCAGCUCAGCUCUCCUUCCGACACCCGGCCACGGAAGCGAUCGAGAAGCGUGGCGCGACUUUGUGUUACGAUCCCCGACCAGCUCUACUCAGAUCAGCAAGGUUUACAGAGUAUCUGGGGAGAUUUGGCGGAGGAAGGAGAAGGGGAUCGAGAUGAAGAAGACAGCAGAGAGGAUACAGUUCAUCUGUUCACGCGCACUGGACACCGCACGUGCUCUCCUCACUAAAUAUCCUUGCUGGUCAAAGCGAAGUAGCUGGGUCGAAUUUAUGAUUGCUUCUUCUUGCACUUGGGUCCUGGAUUGCCUUCUCCCUCUUGCUUGAGUCGCCAGAAACUACUCAAUGGUGUAGACUGCUCCUCGUCCUUCUCGAUGGUGCAGUCCGACGCUAGACUAAACCACACGCUAGACUACGCCUCGUCUUUCUCAAUGGUGUAGUCCGACGACGUAAACGCCUAGAGCCUAUGAGGAUCUUCAUGGUUCCAGGUCGACGCCAUCGGGUUGUCCAUGUGGGCUUCCGCCAAUUCCUUUCGCGCAAGCUUGUUUGCCGGUGCACGGCUCGCUCCGCCCUCCUGUUCGUCCAGAACUGGUUCUCCGUGGCGACAUCGUGCAGGAAGCGCUCACGCCACGCCGUCAUGGCGUUCUCGUCCUCCUCGGCGAUGAAGAGGCGGCGAUCCCGCUUCCGCUGGAUGCGGCGAUCUCGUCGGUGAUUAGACGUGGGAGAAGCGCAAGAUCCUACGCCUGAUGGCGCGUCCACACGUUGGAGAAGUUCAUCUUCGCACGAGGCCACCCAAGGUGCCACACCAUCGUAUCGUACACGCGGGUGGUCUCGUGCGCGGUUUUAAAGGUUUUGAGCCCAAGGCGUGUACCGCCGGAGUGGAUCUCCACAUAAUACACGCCAGAGGUGCGGAGGCGGAUGCCACUGUAACCCGAACUGCUUCAGUGGCGCAGCGGCAUGGCGGGGCGUGGGAAGAGGCGAGAGAGAAGGCGCGACAGAGGCGCGGCGCCGAAAGUGGCAGGUGUGAAGGCGUGGCGGCGGCGGGGCACUGGAAGAAGCGGGAAAGAUGGCGCAGGAGAGAUUUCUGGCGGUUGGCGAGCGCGGAGGCGUGCUGCUUUUAUAGCGUGCGCUGCCCCCCCCCCCCCCCCGCACCGGGAUAAGUUUUUUCACGUGCCCGGGUUUCACGCGUCUGCUGGAGUGCGCUGUGUCGCCUCUUGCACGCCAAAACAACAGUUUUUCCCGCGCGCCACUUUUUUGGCCUUCCUGUUGGAGAUGCUCUAAUGCAUGUUCCUAGAGCAACUGCAACGUGCCAACCCAAACUGUCUGCAUGUGUCUGCUUAGGCUGACACAAACAUGACGUUCACCUCUUAUCACCAAUUUCAGACCCAAAUUUGGGUCGUGUUUGCGUCGGCGCGGACACACAGCAGGCGCGUGUGAUGCCCAUGCUUGCCCUCCUCUGGUCCACCAGUCAGUGGCGCAUUACCCAUUCCCUCUUUCUCCCAUCGACAACCAGCACACCCAUCCGCGCACUACAAGAAAUAUGUCAACUUGUGACCUUCUCAGAGUGACCCUGGAAGAAAUGGUCGUAAAUCUAUGACCAUUUGAGACCAAUUGGUCGUAAUUUGUUCGGCGGGCUCCAAACGCUAAACCAUAACGACCAAGUGGUCACAAAUGUCGUAAUUCGCUUACACGAAAUGGUCAUAAUGCAGACAUCGCUGGUCCGCUGCCUUAUUUCUAGUUGAUCAUGACCAACAUAGAUGGUCAUAACCUUGUAGAUUGUGGUGCAUUUCUAUGACUAGGCGACACUCAGUGUGGGCAUUUGGGUACCUGAACCCGAACCGAACCGAAUUAACCAAAUUGACGGGUAAUUCGGGUAUCGGGUUAGGGUUCGGGUUCCAGUCUGGAAAGCCCGAAACACCCAUACUACCCGAAUAAUUCAUACUAGCCACAUUAUACAAGCUAUUAUUAUACUGACAUGUUACCCAUACGAACUAAAAUACCCAUACUAUAAAAAAUACUCACACUAUAAAAAAUACUCACACUACCCUAAUUAUUUAUAUUAUAAUUUGAUUCGUGCUCCGAAUAUUUUGGGUUUUUUGGGUACCCGAAUUACUUGAAGCAAAAUUUUGGGUAAUCUGUGUUCGGGUAUUUUUUUUUGGCAGAAAAAAUUCCGGUUCCCAUCUUGAAGUACGUGAAUUACCCAUAACCUGAACUACCCGAACCAAAAUAACCAGAAUACCCGAACACCCACGCUAAGGCGCCACCUCAUCAGUUUUGCCCAUGUGUCGUCCAUGUGUCAUUUUUUGCCCUAGGUUGUGAAACAACCUACAUUUCUGUCAUUCUCAAAAUUUCCACAAAAAUUCUCAUAAAUUCUUUGGAUCAUAUAUUCCUCAAAUAUGUCAAAACCCUUCCUUCCCUAGUUCAAAAAAAUCAGCAAUAUUUAUUUUCCUAUUCUGUUCAGAAUAACACUUUGUGAAGGAAGUGCUAUUUAUAUUUUCAUAAUGGCCCUGAAAAUUUUUGGGCAGUCUUUCCUGUCCAAAUCAUUGCCUCAUGAAAAAAUUCAUCUCCAUUUGCCUAGUAAAUCUUUCUCAGCAAAUUUUCAAAUUUUCUGUUCAACUAGAGCCUUUGUGAAGGAAGUACUAGCUAGGAAUAUCCUAAUGAGUUGAAAUUUUACCACAUAUUCUAUAUGCCCAAAUCAUAGAUGUCCACAAAAUUUGAGCCCCAUCUAACAAUACAUGUGAGCUCACGGUCGAAUCUUUGUUUCUGGUAAUAUUUUCAGUUUGUGAAGCAACUACAUUUUAUAUUGCUUUAUAAUUGAUGAAAAAUUACCAGGACAUGACCCUGACCAUAUAAACUAUCUCCACCGAAUUUUAGCUCAUUUAAUUUAGCCAAUUUUCCUCAGUAUUUUUCCCAAUGUUCUGUGAAGUGGAGAGCAUUGUGAAGGCAGUACCAUUUUUAUUUAUUCAAAUAGUAUGAAAUUUUUAUGGUGCCUUCAUAUGCCCAAAUUAUAAUCCUCCUCCAAAUUGCAGCUCAAUCUAGUCAUCUAUGCCAGCACAACUGCAAUUUUUAUUUUUUGUCAAGAUUGGCACAUUGCAAAGCAAGUGCUAUCUAGACCCCUCCUAUUGCCCGCAAUUUUUUUUGUCAAUCUCCGUAUCCAAAUAAUUACCACAUGCGAAUAUUCAUCUCUAUUUUCCUAAAUCUUCCUCAACAAAUUUCCAAAUUUCUACCGAGAGAGAAGCUUUGUGAAGGAAGUACUAGCUAGGAUUAUCCAACUGAUCUAAGAUUUUUCCAAACAUUCCAUAUGCCAAAAUAAUCACUCUCCACAAAAUUUGAGAUCUAUCUAGCAAUCCAUGUGAGCUCAUCAUCCAAUCUUUUAUUCUGGUCAUAUUUUCGGUUUGUGAAGAAAAUAUAUUUUAUAUUGCUUAAUUAUUGCUGACAAUUUAUCACGGCAUGUUCCUACGUGUAUAACUUACCUCCACCAAAUUUGAGCUUAUCAUUUUGCCAAUUCCUCUUAAUAUUUUUUCCAAGUUUCUCUCUAGAGAAGAGCAUUGUGAAGGAAAUGCCACUUUGGCAUGUCCAAAUGGUAUUAAAUUUUUUUAUAGUGCUUUCCUAUGCCCAAAUGACCAUCAUCCACCAAAUUUCAUCUCAAUCCAUUCAUUAAUUUGAGCCCAACUUCAACAUCCAUAUUCCUACCCAAUGUGGUACUUUGCAAAGCAAAUGCUACCUAGGAUCCUCCUUUUGAGUUGAAUUUUUUCCAAGACAGUACUCUUAGUAGAUGAUCUUCCUGAGCCAAAACUUAGGCCCGUUGGCCAUGUGAAUUUCCCCCACCUCUAAUCAAACACUUGACUGCUAAUUCAUGUUUGAGCUUAGUGCAGUCUCCUCAUGAUAUUCUUACUCCUAACACCUGUUCGAAAUAUGCCCUAGAGGCAAUAAUAAAUUAGUUAUUAUUAUAUUUCCUUGUUCAUAAUAAUCCUUUAUUAUCCAUGCUAGAAUUGUAUUGAUUGGAAACUCAAAUACAUGUGUGGAUACAUAGACAACACACUGUCCCUAGUGAGCCUCUAGUUGACUAGUUCGUUGAUCAAAGAUGGUCAAGGUUUCCUGGCCAUAGGCAAGUGUUGUCACUUGAUAACGGGAUCACAUCAUUAGGAGAAUCAUGUGAUGGACAAGACCCAAAUUAUAUACGUAGCAUAUUGAUCGUUUCAUUUUAUUGCUAUUGUUUUCUACGUGUCAUGUAUUUAUUCCUAUGACCAUGAGAUCAUAUAACUCACUGGCACCGGAGGAAUACCUUGUGUGUAUCAAACGUCACAACGUAACUGAGUGACUAUAAAGGUACUCUACAGGUAUCUCCGAAGGUGUUCGUUGAGUUAGUAUGGAUCAAGACUGGGAUUUGUCACUCCGUUUGACGGAGAGGUAUCUCGGGGGCCCACUUGAUAAUACAACAUCACACACAAGCCUUGCAAUCAAUGUGGCUAAGUAUAAGUCAUGAGAUCUUGUAUUAUAGAACGAGUAAAGAGACUUGCCGAUAACGAGAUUGAAAUAGGUAGGCAGAUACGGACGAUCGAAUCUCGGGCAAGUAACAUACCGAAGGACAAAGGGAAUGACAUACGGGAUUAUAUGAAUCCUUGACACUGAGGUUCAACCGAUAAGAUCUUCAGAGAAUAUGUAGGAUCCAAUAUGGGCAUCCAGGUCCCGCUAUUGGAUAUUGAUCGAGGAGUACCUCGGGGCAUGUAUACAUAGUUCUCGAACCCGCAGGGUCUGCACACUUAAGGUUUGAUGAUGUUUUAGUAUAGUCGAGUUAUAUGUGUGGUUACAGAAUGUUGUUCGGUGUCCCGGAUGAGAUCACAGACAUCACAAGGGUUGCCAGAAUGGUCCGGAAACGAAUAUUGAUAUAUAGGAUGGUUUCAUUUGGUUACCGGAAGGUUUUCGGGCAUUACCGGCAUUGUACCUAGGGCUGGGCGUUCGGUUCCCCCGAACCGUUCAGGUCGGUGCUUCGGUCUUUUAGAAAAUUCGGUUGUCAAAAAGUACUGACCGAUCGGUCAAUGGCAAAAGCAGUAACCGAUGAAUAACCGCAUUGAGAUUUCGGUUCGAUCAUCGGUCCUGACCGAACAGCCCGAAUAUUUAAAUACUAAGAGGAAUCGUUGCACACUUACACUGCACACUAAACAACCCUGAAUAUUUAAUGAUGGCAGGAAUCGCUGCACACUUGCAGAGUUGCACUGCACACUGAGCAACCUAAACAUUUAAUAAUUUAAUAGUGGUAGGAAUCGCUGUACACUCAAACAACCCUCAUUAUUUAAUAAGUGCAGUAAUGGCUACACUAUUCUCCAGCUCCUUUUGCCAAAACUAUCCACUUUCCUAUCUAUUCUUAACAAUUAGGAAGAACAAACAAUUGAUAAUAUAUAGCAGCAUGAUGUAGACUUAGUACAUAUACCGAUAUACGAUAUAAGAAUAUUAUCAGCACAAAACAAUAGUUUAGCGUGCACAUGAAUUGGGUCCCAACACUGGAAAUAACUGGUAAAUUUUGACGACAAACACACUUAGUUUUCAAGACUUAAAUUUAAAACAUGGAACAAACACAACAGGCAGCGUACAAUAGCAUUAUUGUUGCAAUCCCCCAAUUUCUAAACUUCAAGUAUUAUUGCUUCUGCUCCAGCAACUAUUAGUAGUUUAUUCAGAACCGCAGCCAACCAAAAAGAACAUCUGGAAUAUGAACAAUAAUUUAGUUGAGUUGUCCACAGAUAGAAACAUAAAUAUAUUAUUAUUUUGAUCUGAAUUGAAGCAGCAAGAUNNNNNNNNNNNNNNNNNNNNNNNNNNNNNNNNNNNNNNNNNNNNNNNNNNNNNNNNNNNNNNNNNNNNNNNNNNNNNNNNNNNNNNNNNNNNNNNNNNNNGUUCUUCUUCUUGUUCUUCUUCUUCUUCUUCCACUUCUUCUUCUAAUUGCUUAGCUUAAUUUAGAUAACUUCUUUCUUAUUGUAUUCUUCUUCUAAAUUCUUUCUCAUUAUGCAGAUUUUGAUAAAGCAGCAUGGCAUAUGGAUGGAUGCUCGAGACUUUGUAAUGCACUUGUGUAGUCCUAGAUGAACUUUGUAAUGCAAUUGUAUUUGUGGAUGCACUUGUGAUGCUUUGUAAUACUUUGUGAUCUUGUUUGCACUUUAGUGACAUAUAUUCGUGCUGUUUGCACUUGUGUUGUGCUGUUUGCACUUUGUGAUGCACUUGUGGUGCUGUUUAGGGGCAGAUUCAAUAUAUAUAUGUUGUUGUUUGUAUCUAUGUUUUGCAAAUGCAGGGAAUUAACAGAAAACAAAUAUAAAAAAAGCAGAGAGGGUCUUUGCCUACAGCUUACUGACGGCAAAGGCUUUGCGUCGGUGGACUGACGGCAAAGAAGACACGUGGCGGCAGCCUGUGUAUUCUGGCAACUCCGGGAAUACCAAAUUUUCGGCUUCGCCGUCAGCUGGGCUCCAGCUGUCGGCAAAGAGGCGGCCAAGAGGACCCAGGGGUUUCGGCUUUGCCGUCAGCUCUACUACGGCUGUGGGCAAAGAGGGGAGGCUUUGCCGUCAGCUUUGCUACGGCUGUGGGCAAAGCCUGCCGUUAACCUUCUAACGGAGCUCGGCCUGCGCCGUUGCCGCCACUGCUCUUUGCCGUCAGCCCGUGCCAGAAAGCUGAUGGCAAAGUCUUUGCCGUCGGUCGAGCUCCGGCUGUCGGCAAAGAAGGUGAUUGCUGAUAAAAUCUUGGCCGGUACCUUUGCCGACAGCACACUGACGACAAAGCCUUUGCCAUCAGUUAAACUGUUCUUUGCCGUCAGCUCUGGCUGUUGGCAAACCAGCAGAUUCCAGUAGUGAUACAUGAGAGAAGAAGAAUGUCGACUGUUGUUGUGGGGGGUCGUUUCUCCUUCUUCUCCUUGUGCUAGAUAUUGGUUAUGCAAUAGGGGAAGUAGGAGUAGCGACCAUCAUCUACGGUUGAAAAAUCAGGUGAGCUAGUGUCCACCAUAUAUGAGAGAAGAAGAAUGUCGUCUCUUAUUGUGCGGGUCGCUUCUACUUCCAAAGAGAUUGUCCAUUUUGUACACGAAGUGCAUCCAGUUUUUAAUGUAACCCUCUCAACUUUCUCGCACAUGCUAUGUGGGUGAAAUGAUGAUAGCAUGCCAACUUUCAACAUUUUCAGAGUUCAUUUGUAGUGCUUUUCAAUUUCAGGGUCAACUAAAAAAAAAGUAAAUGCACGAAGAAUACCAAAUGAAGUCAGAAAUUGUUGAAAUUUUGUGAUGUGCCUUUGAAUGGUGCAUUUUGAACACACACAAAUUAUGGAGUUCAAAUAAGUUCAAAAAAAUGAAAUCCCUUUGUAAGAGAUGAGUUCUCGUUCGAAACCCUGAUACUUCGAGAGAGAUUGUCCGUUUUGUACACGAAGUGCAUCCAGUUUUGUCGUAGCCCUCUCAACUUUUUAACACAUGCUAUGUGGGUGAAAUGAUGAUAGCAUGCCAACUUUCAACAUUUUCAGAGUUCUAUUUGUAGUGCUUUUCAAUUUCAGGGUCAACUAGCUCAAAAAAAAUAAGUAAAUGCACGAAGAAUACCAAAUGAAGUCAGAAAUUGUUGAAAUUUUGUGAUGUGCCUUUGAAUGGUGCAUUUUGAACACACAAAAAGUAUGGAGUUCAAAUAAGUUUAAAAAAAAUGAAAUCCCUUUGUAAGAGAUGAGUUCUCGUUCGAAACCCUGCUACUUUGAGAGAGAUUGUCAGUUUUGUACACGAACUGCAUCCAGUCUUUGUCGUAGCCCUCUCAACUUUUUAACACAUGCUAUGUGGUUGAAAUGAUGAUAGCAUGCCAACUUUCAACAUUUUCAGAGUUCAUUUGUAGUGCUUUUCAAUUUCCGGGUCAACUAGCUCAAAAAAAUAGUUUUUAAUUGAAAAUAACAAAAUAGUUAAUAGUUUGGAUAGUCAAAAUAAUUACUUUUGAAAAUAGAAAAUAGUUUUUCAAUUAUUUAUUCAAUUUCAAACACUUUUCAUUAUCAUAGUUUUGUCAAAUUCUCAAAUAUGCAAAAAGAAUUUUAAUAAACAUAGUUUUUAAUUGAAAAUAACAAAAUAGUUAAUAGCUUGGAUAGUCAAAAUAAUUACUUUUGAAAAUAGAAAAUAGUUUUGAAUUAUUUAUUCAAUUUCAAACACUUUUCAUUAUCAUAGUUUUGUCAAAUUCUCAAAUAUGCAAAAAGAAUUUUAAUAAACAUAGUUUUUAAUUAAAAAUAACAAAAUAGUUAAUAGUUUGGAUAGUCAAAAUAAUUACUUUUGAAAAUAGAAAAUAGUUUUGAAUUAUUUAUUCAAUUCCAAACACUUUUCAUUAUCAUAGUUUUGUCAAAUUCUCAAAUAUGCGAAAAGAAUUUUAAUAAACAUAGUUUUUAAUUGAAAAUAACAAAAUAGUUAAUAGUUUGGAUAGUCAAAAUANNNNNNNNNNNNNNNNNNNNNNNNNNNNNNNNNNNNNNNNNNNNNNNNNNNNNNNNNNNNNNNNNNNNNNNNNNNNNNNNNNNNNNNNNNNNNNNNNNNNCGGGCGAGGGCGACGGCGGGCGGCGAUGAGGGCGAGGGCGACGGCGGGCGGCGUCGACGAGGGCGAGGGCGACGGCGGCGGCAGGCCUUCGGCGCGCGCGGCAGAGAAUCGGAGAAGACGAGAGAGAUGGAGAAGACGGCGGCAGGGGAGGCGACCCGCACUUGUAUUUAUACGCCCCCCCCCUUUUAGUCGCGGUUGGGGASGCGACCCGCGACUAAAGGGUAACCUUUAGUCGCGGUUUGCCAGACCAACCGCGACUAAAGGCCCCCCCCAAAUCUUCUUUUAUUUUCAGAACCUUUUAUCUUUUUCUUUUCAGAAAAAUCAUCAUUGCUUUUAUAGAAACUUCAAACAUUUUAUUUUCUGUUUUCUAAGCAUAUUUUCGUAGGAAAAAUAUGCAUAGAGACAAUACAUUGAAUCUGCCUAAAACGGGACAGAAAAAAGAGAAUCCAUUUAAAGGGAACAUUGGCCACAGCCUCUCUCCCCCCCGGCCGUGAGCGCGCCGCCCCUUUCUUCUCCUAUCCGCCCGCUGAGAGGUCGUUUUUGCGUUCCCCGCGCGCAACGACCUUUAGUCGCGGUUGGUCUGGCCUUUAGUCCCGGUUGCACCAACCAGUCGGGACUAAAGGUUAGAUGACCAGCUCUGGAUUCCUCUUCUUCCCGCCAUUUCUUCCCUGUCUUCCCGCCUCUUUCUUCCCGCCACUUUCUUCCCGCCUCCUGUCUUCCCGCCUCCUGUCUUCCCGCUCCCAUUUUUCCCGCCUCCUGGAUAUCCCCCGCCUGCGCUACCCUCAGUUCGAGCCACGAGCGCCGCCCGACGACAGCGACGACAGCAGCGACGACGACGGCGGCAACUUAGAAGGCGACGACUACCAGUACAACGACGACGGCGGCUAUGAAGACUGCAUUGAGGAAUGCACAUAGCUUCACAAUGGCUAAUCGAACAUUUUCCGGCAGGAGCCCCCUCAAAGCAAUCGGAAGCAAUUGCGUCAUAAUCACGUGGCAGUCGUGAGACUUCAGGUUUUGGAACUUUUUCUCCGCCAUGUUUAUUAUUCCCUUUAUAUUGGACGAGAAUCCAGACGGGACCUUCAUACUGCUCAGGCAUUCAAAAAAGAUGACCUUCUCUUCUUUGGUCAGAGCGUAGCUGGCACGACCUUGAAACCAUUCCGGAUGCCGGUCAUCAGGGUCUUUCAAACGUUGUUGGUCCUGCCGUGCUUCCUUUGUAUCAUUUGUCUUCCCAUACACGCCCAAGAAGCUUAGGAGGUUCACGCAAAUAUUCUUCGUAACGUGCAUCACGUCGAUUGCAGAGCGGACUUCUAGGACUUUCCAAUAUUCUAGCUCCCAGAAUAUAGAUUUCUUCUUCCACAUGGCUGCGUGCCCGUCAGCUCCCUUCGGAACUGAUUGUCCGCCAGGACCCUUUCCAAAGAUGACUUUCAAAUCCUUGACCAUAUCAAAUAACUCAGCACCAGUGCGUUCCGCAGGCUUCGGCCGGUGAUCUGCCUUGCCGUUGUAAUGCUUGCCUUUCUUUCUUACUGGAUGAAUUUUCGAAAGAAAUCGACGAUGCCCAAGGUACACGUUCUUCUUACAAUUUGGCAAAUGUACACUUUCAGUCUCAUGUAAGCAGUGCGUGCAUGCAUUGUAUCCCUUAUUUGACAGUCCCGAAAGGUUACUAAGAGCAGGCCAAUCGUUGAUGGUUACGAAAAGCAACGCUCGUAGGUCAAAUUCCUCUUCUUUGUGCUCAUCCCACACACGGACACCAGGUCUGCCCCACAGCUGUAAAAGUUCAUCAACUAAUGGCCUUAGGUACACAUCGAUGUCGUUGCCGGGUUGCUUCGGACCUUGGAUGAGCACUGGCAUCAUAAUGAACUUCCGCUUCAUGCACAACCAAGGAGGAAGGUUGUAGAUGCAUAGAGUCACGGGCCAGGUGCUAUGGCUGGAGCUCUGCUCGCCAAAAGGAUUCAUGCCAUCUGUACUUAGACCAAAUCUUAUGUUCCUUGCGUCAGCUGCAAAAUCUUUGAACUCUCUGUCGAUCUUUCUCCAUUGCGUUCCAUCUGCGGUGUGUCUCAACUCCCCGUCCGACUUACGGUCCUCUUUGUGCCAUCGCAACAACUUGGCAUGCUCUUUGUUCCUGAACAGACGUUUCAACCGUGGUAUUAUAGGAGCAUACCACAUCACCUUGGCGGGAACCCUCUUCCUGGGUUUCUCGCCCUCAACAUCGUCACCAGGGUCAUCGCCUCUGAUCUUAUAACGCAAUGCAGUGCAUACCGGGCAUUCAUUCAAAUUCUCGUAUUCACUGCGGUAGAGGAUGCAGUCGUUGAUGCAUGCAUGUAUCUUCAGAACCUCUAAACCUAGAGGGCAUACAACCUUCUUUGCUUCGUACGUACUGGCGGGCAACUCGUUAUUCUUUGGAAACAUAUUCUUCAACAUUUUCAGCAAGUUUUCAAAUGCCGAGUCAGCUACACCUGCCUGUGCCUUCCAUUUCAGCAAAUCCAGUGUGCAGCCCAGCUUUUUCAGACCAUCAUCGCAUCCGGGGUACAGCGACUUUCUGUGAUCCUCUAACAUGCGAUCCAAAUUCUCCCUCUCCUUUUCAGUUUCGCAGCGUCUCCGUGCAUCAGCAAUGGUCCGACCAAGAUCAUCAAUGGUCUCAUCACGUGCCUCUUCUUCACCUUCACCUUCCCCUUCACCUUCCCCUUCACCUUCAGCAUCCUCCAUGAAAGUAUCACCGAAAUGAGCAAGAUAACUUUCAUCCAUGAAAUCAUCCCCUUCUUCAUCUUCUUCCAUUAUAACCCCUCUUUCUCCAUGCUUGGUCCAACAAUUAUAGCUUGGCAUGAAACCGUGCCGAAGCAGGUGCAGGUGAACUUCUCUUGAGGAAGAGUAACCCUUCUGAUUCUUACAGUCAACACAUGGACAAAUAACAAAACCCUUCUGCUUGUUCGCAUUAGCCACUACGAGGAAAUCUUUCAAACCCGUAGUGAACUCGCGGGAGAGUCGGUUACCGUACAUCCAUUGCCGAUUCAUCUGCAUUAUUAUCAUAUAAAAUAUAUAAUUAACCAUCAUGCAUUUGUUAAACUAACUAGCUAUAAACAAUAGAAAUUAAACAAUGAACAACACACAUGCAUAUAUAUUUUAUCAAUGACACACAUGCAUGAAAGGUUCAAGUUGCUAACCGCGAUCGAGGAGGAAAAAAUAAAUGAGGAACCUCAAGUGUGGCUCCAACACUUCAUAUCAUGUUUGUUUCACGCUCUUGGGGCAUUUCAUCAAACACCUUGUGUGCAUAAGAGGAACCAAAAGCAAACCUACACCCCCUUGUGAAGCUUGUGAAGAGAAGUGGCACCAAAUGGCUAAGUGAGUGUGCUGAACUGGUAUCUAUAGGGGAGGAGAUUUAGUCGCGGUUGGCAUGGCAAACCGCGACUAAAGGCCUUUGGGCACCUUUAGUCGCGGUUGGCAUGGCAAACCGCGACUAAAGCCCCUCACGUGCACCAGCUGGCCACCGAGCGCCCUGGCCCAGGCCUUUGGUCGCGGUUCGUCUGCCGAACCGCGACUAAAGAAAUCAUUAGUCGCGGUUCCUACAGUGUCGCGACUUAUGGGGCUGGACGGAAGCCUCUUUUUCUACCAGUCAUAUGAAUUUGUAGCUAGUUAGUUUGACUGUACAUAAAUUCCUCCAUAGAAAAUCACGGAAUUAUGCAUGGUUGUUACAAAUGGAUAACAUCCAGGAUUGAUAUAUGUCUAUUUCUCCAAUUAGUUGAUGAAGUAGUGAAGUUAUUGUCUCCGAAUAAUAACACCAAUAAUUAGAUUGGCAACAUUUUUAUCAUACAUAUAUACAUGUACAUGUAUAAGUCCUGAAUAAAAAUAAGAUACUCAAGAUAUACCUGUCUAUGUGGAAAGAGGUGUUUUAGCUCCCACACAUGCACCAGGCAUGAAAAGUGGAAUGAUGAAAUAUGAAAAGAUUCAAACAUGUUAUUAAAAUAGUUUGACGUAUACAUGUUCAAAGCUUUAACAUGUAUAUAAAUCUUCAAUCAAAAGAAGACAUUUUUGUGUACUCAAUAAAAAUAUAUUCGUGUAGACAUGUAUAACUCGGACUGCCCUGUUGGGCAAGACUAUACAUGCAGGGCCGCAUGAGUGUCACAUGUGAAUUCUCAUUUAGUGGUGGUAUGUUGCCGUAUUGGUUUUGAUACCCAUAAGUAUAUUUAUGAACAUGAUAAGUUAGAUUAGUUGCAUAUUGAUCAGUCAUCGAUUGAAGUUGAUUAAUAAAAAAGAAAUUUACCCGAUUGGUAGUUAGAUAUAUUUUAUGUGAAUUCUAGUUUUUUGAUAUAUCUUAUGUGAAUUCUAGUUUUUCAGACAAUGGACAAUUAAGGAUCUUAAAUAUAUGCAAUAGUUGUAUGACUCAGACAAUAGGAAAAACUGAUGAUCGGAAGAGAAAUAUUUUAUGAUGAAAAAAAUUAACAGAGACUACUCAUUUUUUCACCUUUUUAUAUGUCGGCCUUUUCUACACUAAAGUGGAGUCGAUUUUUGGAUUUCUAGUUCAAUUUUUCGUGAAUAAUCUGAAAAAUAUUUGGUCAAAAGUUAUGUAUGUACAUAUAUAAGAUCGAUGACAUACAUACAUAUGUAUAUGAGGUUGAUUUAAUGCAUCAUUCAUAUUAGACAAAUGGUUUACCUUUUUCCAUUUAAUUAGGUUGGCAAGAUUAAUAGAUAUUUUUUGAGUGGAAUAUUCAUCUCUGACAUACAUGACCAAAAUAAAUAAAAAAUAUAAACCACAUAUUUAUUCAUGUUUAUAUAUGACAUCUCACCUUAUGUACCUGUGUAUCUGUGUAUCGUUAGCUUGGCCCUUGCAACCAAUCAUAUAAUUAUAUGAAAGACGCUCUACAAAAUUAUAUGAUUGCACUAUCAUCAUAUCCAUGCAUCAUGCCAAAUGGAGCAAAUUAGGGAGAUUUUUUUUGAAUAAUCAGACAAAGAUCCAAGCCUUCCUGCAUGUACAUAUAAAAAAACUGCAUGAAGUACGUACCUGACCUGGAGACAGGUGACGUACGUGGCCGGGCAUUGAUGGGAAACUCAUCUGGCCAAUACGCCCUGUGUUGUGCAGCCGCAGGAAACAAUCGAUCUGCUUGUUGCAUGCCCGUACCUGAUUGUAUUUUUUUUUUUGACGGAAUAGAAGCGACGGCUUUAGCUAGCUAUCCGGUGUAAAGAUCAAGAAUCCAUCAUCAUGUUACCUCGUAUACCUAUACUUCUUAGGAGAAUCAAUCUACGUGUACAUGCAUGUGACACACCUGCAGCAAGCAGAUCAAAUACAGAUCGAGCAAAUUCCAUCGUACAUCUCGCAUUCUCGUCAUAAAUGCUUGAUGUGCUUAGGUUGCAUGGCUCGGCAGCUGAUAGGGUGGAUGGCUGCAGAGUCGAUUUCAUCGCCGCCAUGUGAUCGAUUAGAGGUGUCUCUUCGUUUUUAGAGAGACACACGUGAGACAGAGAAAGACCUAAGAGGGAGAGAGAUACAGAAAUUUUAAGGCUAUUAUUAUAUGGGCCUCUCUAUCGACUUUAGAGAUGGGCUUUUAUCAAUUCUUUCUAAGCCAAAUUAGACUUUUUAUCUAGAUUAAAUCUACACCGUAAUAAUUCGGUCUUACCACAGAUGUACGGUUCGUAAUUUCUAAUUAAUAUGAUAAUUUCUUGGGAGUGCCUAAUUAGUAGAAGUAUAGAUUAAACAUGACUAGUGUUUUUGAUGUAAUUAGCAAUAUGUGAACUAGUAUUAUAGUGAGCAGCUUACAAUAACAGAUUGCAAUCUGCCUACACGUACAUUGUUCUCCUUAGUCUAAGAACCUACAACAGGUUCCAGCUAUCACUUGUAGGAAAAGAGCCAUUAGUCCCGGUUUCAAAGGACCUUCAGUGCCGGUUCGUUAACCGGGACAAAACAAUUGGGAUUAAUGCAAAAAAAAAUUAGUCCCGGUUCGUCCAAAGGAGCUCCACAUGGCCGCUGGGGGCGUCCAGACAGGAGGAACUUUAGUCUCGGUGGGUAAUACCGAUCGGGACCAAAAGGCGGCCACACCUCAACAACUGUCAGGCUCCGGGGGUUUUCAUAUUGUGUUUCCCCCUUUUAUUUCUGUGUUUACCAUUUUAUUUUAUGCUUUUCAUUCAACUCGGCUCUAGCUACUAGAUAUAGCAAUGAAAUAACCAUUAUACAGCAGGGUCAUGAUCAAUAUAUAAAAAGAACCAUCAAUAUCACUUGAAAGUUGUUCAACCUAAGAAACAAAUAACAUCAAUGUAUCACAUUCAUCUUAACGUACUAAUUAAUUAACUAACAGUUCUGGAGCUGAUAGUUCUAAACAUGGUCAACAACAAUCAUCAUCUGAUAGCCCUUGCAGUUGCUCUUCCUUAUAGUGAUUACCACAAGGGUGUCCACCUUUAGUUCUCUCUUUUCCUUGAUGAACUCCUGCCAGCCGGCCUUGUGGAAUGAUAUGCGCAUGUUGUCGUAUGUCUUGUAUUGGACGUUCGUGACAGGUCCUCUUGGUCCAUGGAUUACUCCAACAAUGCCGACAGCGGGGAUGUCCACUCCGGAAAACAUCUUUAAAGGUAACUUCUGAAGACCCCAUGAGAAAAUAGAGAGCACGGAAUGUUAGGCAUCUCACUAUACUUGGUUAUUAUGACCAAAAAGAGAUGGAAGAAUAUAAAAAAUAUCACCAUAACAUUUUCCACCAUGUUUGUUUUUGUUAGAGGUGCACAAAGGGCUUCCUCAAGAAUGCUGAAGAGGAUGGUAACAUUUCUUUCACACUAGCUUUAUCAUCCCGAGUAAGCUUCUUCAUCUUUUGAGAAAAAAUUGCAGAAAUGAUAGGACCGUCAUCUUCAUCUUCGUUGUCCUCCUCUUCAUCUUGGUUGUCCUCAUUUUCAUCUUGGAUGUCCUCAUCUUCAUCUUGGUUGUCAAUGUCAUCUUGGUCAUCAUCAUCGUCAUCGCUUUGGACAUAUAAUGGCCUUAACCUAUUCAACUCUCCUAUUAAGGAAAAAGCUACGAGUUCUCCUCCUCUAAAAGUGUUCACUGCAAUGUACUGCUCCCAUCCAUCACCAUAUAUGAUGGUUUUAUUCUUUUCUUUGUGCAGAUCCAAUUCGAAUUCGCCCUCCUCGUCAUCCACAAUGUACAACACGUUACCAUAUGAAUUGUUGAAGUCCUUCCUUAUGUUGCAUGGAACACACUAUGAAGAAGUUAAUAAUCAACAAUAAAGUCAGUAAAAUAGUUAAACGAAUGACCAGAAUUCAAUACAAAUUCAAGUUAAAGACCGUUAUCACUGAUUUUUGAAAUCCCUUUCUCCAAAAUGCCCCAAACUGCACUACAGUUUCAAAACUGUUCAUACAUGAAUUUAUGCAGACCUUGCAGAUCUUACGCCUCGUGGUCCCUAAUAAUAAGCCCAGGCAGUUGUCAAACAUAAGAAAAUGCAAUUAACACUUUUUUAUAUUUCAUUUCCAAUUGAAAAUGCAAUUUUGGCAGGCAUUAAAGAAUAACAUGGAGAGGCGGCGGCAGAGGACGAGAGGCGCUUACAGUGGGUAAAUUGUGUUCUGAUGAGGAUAUUUUAUAAUCUUCUCUUAACAAUAACACCAAAGUAUGGAAGAGAGUGUAUCAAAAAAACAAAAGUAGACAAAAAACUGAUCAAAUUGGACUCAGAAUUGUAGAAUACCAGCAUGCGUGCACGGUGACCAAUCGGUCCCGAAAAAUGGUACGAUUUAACAAGUUUUUAUCACCACACAAACAUAAACACAAACACAAACAUCCCGAUCUACAAUACAAAACUUGGAUUACUACAAAAUUGCAGAUUUAACAGCAUGGGACACGGAGCACACCAAUUAGUCCCCGCAAUAUUUGUUCGUGUCCACUAGUAGAAAACGGGCCUUUGGCCUGGACCAUUUAGUCUCGGAAUGCCUCUGGGCCGGGACUAAAGGCCCGGCCACGUCGCCCCAAUUCUCAAUGCCUCCCUCGAGGCUUUAGUCCCGGGCCGUAAGGAGCCUUUAGUCCCGGUUCGUGUCCCAAACCGGGACUAAAGGGCUACGCGGCGGGCGGUGGUGGUGGCAACCGUUCGUAUCCCCCUUUAGUCCCGGUUGGUGGCUCAACCCGGGACUAAAGGACUAACACGUGGCAUGCCGUGGUUGUGGCGGCGGUUGGUAUACCUCUUUAGUCCCGGUUGGUGGCUCAACCCGGGACUAAAGGACUAACACGUGGCCUGUCGUAGUGGGGCGACCGUUGGCAUACCUCUUUAGUCCCGGUUGGUGGUUGAACCCGGGACUAAAAGCCUAACACGUGGCCUGUCGUAGUGGUGGCAACCGUUUGAUAUACCUCUUUAGUCCCGGUUGGUGGCUCAACCCGGGAUUAAUGGCCCAGACGGUUUGCAUCCCGCGUCGUUUCGGGCGAUGAAAAGCACGAACCGAAGGGGCGCCAUUUCUCUGUUCUUCUUCUCUCUCGCGUCGCCCUCUCUCUUCUUCUUCUCUCUCGCGUCGCCCUCUCUCUUCUUCUCCUCUCUUCUUCCCAUCUCUUCUUCCACCAUGCCAACUAUCUUUCGUGAGGUGGCCGCGCAUGGCGCGACGAAGCUCCUUGUCAUGUACACGAACCUGAGCAUGGAGGUGCCGUUUUUCCUUCAACAGUUGAAGGAACGAUGGUUUAACCACGCAUCGGAUCAUGAGAAGUUCCUCGGGCUUGAUCUGGAGUACACGGCCGAUCAACGUGGUGUCGCCGUCAUCCAAAUAUGCUUCGCAAUCCAUGUCUUGAUCUUCCAAUGGGCGAAGUAAGUUUUGAGGCUUUCUUUGAUCCAAGAUAAUCCCUCCCCUAGGGUCACUACUCCCACGUUCACAUGGAUUUUGUGUAUUUGUGUAUCUGAUUAAGUAGCGUAGUAGAUUUUGUGUAUUUAUACAUUUGAUUUAGUAGUGUAGUAUGUGUGGAAUACAUUUGAUUUAGUAGUGUAGUACAUUUGAUUUAGUAGUAUAGUACAUUUGAUUUUGUGUAUUUGUACAUUUGAUUUAGUAGUGUAGUACAUUUGAUUUAGUAGUGUAGUAUGCGUGGAGUACAUUUGAUUUAUUUGUGUUCAUUUAUAAUUCACAUUGGAUCGAAUUUUGUCAAUCCGAUAAGACUUAGUUUGUAGUUUGGAUUUACUAGUUAACAAGCUUUCUUUUGUUUGCAUAUUAUGCGUAAUGUCCAUAAUCUAUCAUAGUGAAUUCCACGUAUAAGUUUAUUUGUUUCUAUCAUAGUUGGUUCCCUUCAAAUAGUUGUAGUGAAACAUGUUUCCUUAUUGCAGCAGUAGGUUCAUAAUCUAUCUCUAGGUUCCAUUGCAUAUGUGCUAUAUGAAUCCUAAAGAUAAGUUUCUCUUUAGUUGUAGUGAAACAUGUUUCCUUAUUGCAGCAGUAUGUAACAUUUGAUCCAUUUUAAUUUUUUCUGUUGCAGGAGUGACAAGCAUUGUCCAGGACUCAUGGAGUUCCUUCGCAGCGGCAUCACUUUUGCUUCCGUUGACAUAAGGAACGACAGGCUGAAGAUGAGGCACAGCUUCGAUAUUGAGAUACCAGCUCGUUGCCUCGUUGAUAUCCAAACGAUAUUCAAGCUUCAACAUGACAGGACUUCGAUGGCUCGUAUGGCAGUUGUCUUGAUCGACGAUUCAUAUGCUGAUAUGAAGACCAGUUUCCCAAGGUCUCAGCACAGACUUUGGGAGAAGGGCCCACUUGAUGAUAUCAACAUUGAGUAUGCAACAAAAGAUGCAUAUGUUUCAUACGAGUUGUACCGCAGGAUUCGACUCGUCCACUAUGGCCAGCGUCACCUAUAUCCCCUCGAGGAAGGUGGACAUUCUGAUUCAGAUGAUUCAGACGAGUAGUGUUCUUAACGUCGAACACUUGUAUAUAUAUCUAUUGUAGCUAUUAUUAUGUACUGUUUGGACUAGUAUCAUGUACUUCUUGGACCAAUUUAUAUAUGUCUAGUUUCUGUUUGUGCCAUUAUAGUUUCCAAAUUUGAAUGGUUUAGCCCUUUCUAACUUCAUUUGCUACUUUUGAAUGGUUUAGCCCUUUCUAACUUCAUGGUAUCAUGCAUUUCGACCACAUAUAUAUACAAAAAGUCUUCAGUUCAAAUAAGUUCAAAAAAUGAAAUCCCUUUUGUAACAGAUCUGUUUUUGAUUAAAACAAUCACUUCUCCUUCUUCUCCUUGUGCUAGAUAUUGGUUAUGCACUAGGGGAAGUAGGAGUAGCGAUCGUCAUCGACGGUUGAAAAAUCAGGUGAGCUAGUGUCCACCAUAUAUGAGAGAAGAAGAAAUCCCUUUGUGAUGUGCCUUUGAAUGGUGCAUUUUGAACACACAAAAAGUAUGGAGUUCAAAUAAGUUUAAAAAAAAUGAAAUCCCUUGUAAGAGAUGAGUUCUCGUUCGAAAGCCUGCUACUUCGAGAGAGAUUGUCAGUUUUGUACACGAACUGCAUCCAGUCUUUGUCGUAGCCCUCUCAACUUUUUAACACAUGCUAUGUGGGUGAAAUGAUGAUAGCAUGCCAACUUUCAACAUUUUCAGAGUUCAUUUGUAGUGCUUUUCAAUUUCAGGGUCAACUAGCUCAAAAAAAAUAAGUAAAUGCACGAAAUAUAACAAAUGAAGUCAGAAAUUGUUGAAAUUUUGUGACGUGCCUUUGAAUGGUGCAUUUUGAACACACAAAAAGUAUGGAGUUCAAAUAAGUUUUAAAAAAUGAAAUCCCUUUGUAAGAGAUGAGUUCUCGUUCGAAACUCUCCUACUUCGAGAGAGAUUGUCCGUUUUGUACACGAACUGCAUCCAGUUUUUGUCGUAGCCCUCUCAACUUUUUAACACAUGCUAUGUGGGUGAAAUGAUGAUAGCAUGCCAACUUUCAACAUUUUCAGAGUUCAUUUGUAGUGCUUUUCAAUUUUAGGGUCAACUAGCUACAAAAAAGAAAGUAAAUGCACGAAAUAUAACAAAUUAAGUCAGAAAUUGUUGAAAUUUUGUGAUGUGCCUUUGAAUGGUGCAUUUUAAACACACAAAAAUUAUGGAGUUCAAAUAAGUUUUAAAAAAAUGAAAUCCCUUGUAAGAGAUGAGUUCUCGUUCGAAAGCCUGCUACUUCGAGAGAGAUUGUCAGUUUUGUACACGAACUGCAUCCAGUCUUUAUCGUAGCCCUCUCAACUUUUUAACACAUGCUAUGUGGGUGAAAUGAUGAUAGCAUGCCAACUUUCAACAUUUUCAGAGUUCAUUUGUAGUGCUUUUCAAUUUCAGGGUCAACUAGCUCAAAAAAAAUAAGUAAAUGCACGAACUAUAACAAAUUAAGUCAGAAAUUGUUGAAAUUUUGUGAUGUGCCUUUGAAUGGUGCAUUUUGAACACACAAAAAGUAUGGAGUUCAAAUAAGUUUAAAAAAAAUGAAAUCCCUUUGUAAGAGAUGAGUUCUCGUUCGAAACCCUGCUACUUUGAGAGAGAUUGUCAGUUUUGUACACGAACUGCAUCCAGUCUUUGUCGUAGCCCUNACUUUUAACACAUGCUAUGUGGUUGAAAUGAUGAUAGCAUGCCAACUUUCAACNAUUAUUUAUUCAAUUUUCAAACACUUUUUCAUUAUCAUAGUUUUUGUCAAAUUCUCAAAUAUGCAAAAGAUUUAUAACAUAGUUUUUAAUUGAAAAUACAAAAUGUUAAUAGACUUGGAUAGUCAAAAUAUUACUUUUGAAAAAUGAAAAUAGUUUUGAACUUUAUUUAUUCAAUUUUCAAACACUUUUCAUUAGUCAUAGUUUUUGCAAAUUCUCAAAUAUGCAAAAAGAUUUAAUAACAUUAGUUUUUAUAAAAUAACAAAAUAGUUAAUAGUUUGGAUAGUCAAAAUAAUUACUUUUGAAAAUAGAAAAUAGUUUUGAAUUAUUUAUUCAAUUCCAAACACUUUUCAUUAUCAUAGUUUUGUCAAAUUCUCAAAUAUGCGAAAAGAAUUUUAAUAAACAUAGUUUUUAAUUGAAAAUAACAAAAUAGUUAAUAGUUUGGAUAGUCAAAAUAAUUACUUUUGAAAAUAGAAAAUAGUUUUGAAUUAUUUAUUCAAUUUCAAACACUUUUCAUUAUCAUAGUUUUGUCAAAUUCUCAAAUAUGCAAAAAGAAUUUUAAUAAACAUAGUUUUUAAUUGAAAAUAACAAAAUAGUUAAUAGUUUGGAUAGUCAAAAUAAUUACUUUUGAAAAUAGAAAAUAGUUUUGAAUUAUUUAUUCAAUUUCAAACACUCUUCAUUAUCAUAGUUUUGUCAAAUUCUCAAAUAUGCAAAAAGAAUUUUAAUAAACAUAGUUUUUAAUUGAAAAUAACAAAAUAGUUAAUUUUGAAAAUAGAAAAAAAUUGAAACUAUAUGAGAAUUUUAUAGAGAAAAUUAAACCUAAAUUCAAAGUGACCUCACUUUGAAUUGAGGUUUACUUUUCUCCAUAAUUUCAAAUAUAGUUUUAAUUUUUAAAUUUACAAUCAGUUUAGGCCUGUAAGCCUGCUUUAGAGAGGAGCUCGAUGGAGAUGCUGCGACGGGGCUUAUAAACAAGUGUUAGUCCCCCUCGCUGGGCGAGGUGGGACUAAACUUAUCGUGCAGCCGAGGACGGGCUUUAGUCUCGGGUGGAGCCACGACCCGGGACUAAAGCCCCUCGCCUGCCGCCUGCCGAGCACGGGCCUUUAGUCCCGGGUCCUGGCUCCACCCGGGACUAAAGGGUGUCUUUAGUCCCGGCUCGAGCCCCGACCCGGGACUAAAGGCCCCUGCUUCCCGCCUUUUGGUCUGCCGAAAAAGGGCCUUUAGUCCCGGGUCGUGGCUCCACCCGGGACUAAAGGGUGUCUUUAGUCCCGGUUCGAGCCCCGAACCGGGACUAAAGAUCCACCUAUAUAAGCGGGAGUUAGAAAAUUCCCAACCCAAAUCGCAUUUCGUUCUCUCCUUCUUCCUCGUUCUCCUGCCCGGCGCGACACACCGACGAACUCGACGACGCCGUCAGGCUGCCCGCCGUCCUUCUCGCCGCCGCCUGCCGUCCUCCUCGCCGUCGCCGUCGACCUCCUCGCCGCCGCCGUCCUCCUCGCCGUCGCCGUCGUCCUCCUCGCCGCCGCCGUCCUCCUCGCCGCCUGCCGUCCUCCUCGCCGUCGUCGACUUCUCCGGCCGGUAAGCCCCCCUCCCCCUCCUCCCCAACACUCCGGCCAGUAGAAGAAAAGAAGAAAAAGGAGAAGAAAAUAAGAAAAAGGAGAAGGAAAGAAGAAAAAGGGAAGAAAAGAAGAAAAAGGAGAAGAAAAGAAGAAAAAGGAGAAGAAAAGAAGAAAAAGGGAAGAAAGGAAGAAAAAGGAGAAGAAAAGAAGAAAAAGGAGAAGAAAAGAAAAAAAAGGAGAAGAAAAGAAGAAAAGGAGAAGAAAAGAAGAAAAAGGAGAAGAAAGGAAGAAAAAGGAGAAGAAAGGAAGAAAAAGUAGAAGAAAGGAAGAAAAAGUAGAAGAAAGGAAGAAAAAGGAGAAGAAAAGAAGAAAAAGGAGAAGAAAAGAAGAAAAAGGGAAGAAAGGAAGAAAAAGGAGAAGAAAGGAAGAAAAAGUAGAAGAAAGGAAGAAAAAGGAGAAGAAAAGAAGAAAAAGGAGAAGAAAAGAAGAAAAAGGAGAAGAAAAGAAGAAAAAGGGAAGAAAAGAAGAAAAAGAAAAAGAUCUUUUUUUGUCAUUUAAUUCCUAUUGUUAUUAGGUUUGUGCUAGAUUAUUAGGGUUAGUAAUAUUUAGAAUUAGGUUAGGGUUACAAGAAGAAGAAAGAUGAACAAAAAUAAGAAAAUAAGAUUAGGAAAAAGGAAAAUAAUAAGAGGAGGAGAAGAAAAGAAGAAAAAGGAGAAUAAGAAGAGGAAAAAUAGAAGAAGAGGAGAAGUAGAAGAAGAGAAGUUGAAGAAGAAGCGGAGAAGAAAAUAAGAAAGAAGAAGAAGAAGAAGAAGAAGAAGAAGAAGAAGAAGACAUUCUACGUAUAUAGAUGCUUAAUUAGUGUUUCUUAGAUUAUUUCUUAAUUUUUCUAUUGUAUAUGCUUAAGUGUNNNNNNNNNNNNNNNNNNNNNNNNNNNNNNNNNNNNNNNNNNNNNNNNNNNNNNNNNNNNNNNNNNNNNNNNNNNNNNNNNNNNNNNNNNNNNNNNNNNNCCUCCUCUUCUAAUUUUUUCUCUUCUUCUACUUCUCCUCUUCUUCUAUUUUUCCUCUUCUUCUCCUCUCCUCCUCUUCUUAUUCUCCCUUUUCUUCUUUUCUUCUCCUCCUCUUCUUAUUUUCCUUUUUCCUAAUUUUAAAUAUUACUAACCUUAAUAAUCUAGCACAAAACUAAUAACAAUAGGAAUUAAAUGACAAAAAAAAUAUUUUUCUUCUUUUCUUCCCUUUUUCUUCCUUUCUUCUCCUUUUUCUUAUUUUCUUCUCCUUUUUCUUAUUUUCUUCUCCUUUUUCUUCUUUUCUUCUACUGGCCGGAGUGUUGGGGAGGAGGGGGCGGGGGGACCGGCCGGAGGUGUCGACGGCGCGCGGCGAGGAGGACGGCGGCGGCGAGGAGGACGACGGUGACGGCGAGGAGGACGGCAGGCAGCGGCGAGCAGGACGGCGGGCAGCCUGACGUCGUCGUCGAGUUCAUCGUUGUGCCGCGCCGGGCAGGAGAACGAGAGGAAGAAGAAGAGAAACGAACGAUUUGGGUUGGAAUUUUUCGAAGUCCCGCUUAUAUAGGUGGAUCUUUAGUCCCAGUACGUGGCUCGAACCGGGACUAAGGACCCCCUUUAGUCCCGGGUGGAGCCACGACCCGGGACUAAAGGCCUCUUUUCGGGCAGACCAGAAGGCGGGAAGCAGGGGCCUUUAGUCCCGGGUGGAGCCACGCACCGGGACUAAAGCCCCUCCUCGGCAGGCGGCAGGCGAGGGGCUUUAGUCCCGGGGCGUGGCUCCACCCGGGACUAAAGCCCCUCCUCGGCUGCACGAUAAGUUUAGUCCCACCUCGCCCAGCGAGGGGGACUAACACUUGUUUAUAAGCCCCGUCGCACCUUCUCCAUCGAGCUCCUCUCUAAAGCAGGCUUACUGGCCUAAACUCACUGAAAAUUGAAACUAUAGUCGAAAUUAUGGAGAAAAUUCAACCUGAAUUCAAAGUGAGUUCACUUUGAAUUAAGGUUGAAUUUUCUCUAUAAAUUCUCAUAUAGUUUCAAUUUUUUUCUAUUUUCAAAAUUAAUAAUUUUGACUAUCCAAACUAUUAUCUAUUUUGUUAUUUUCAAUUAAAAACUAUGUUUAUUAAAAAAAAUUGCAUAUUUGAGAAUUUGACAAAACUAUGAUAAUGAAAAGUGUUUGAAAUUGAAUAAAUAAUUCAAAACUAUUUUCUAUUUUCAAAAGUAAUUAUUUUGACUAUCCAAACUAUUAACUAUUUUGUUAUUUUCAAUUAAAAACUAUGUUUAUUAAAAUUCUUUUUGCAUAUUUGAGAAUUUGACAAAACUAUGAUAAUGAAAAGUGUUUGAAAUUGAAUAAAUAAUGCAAAACUAUUUUCUAUUUUCAAAAGUAAUUAUUUUGACUAUCCAAACUAUUAACUAUUUUGCUAUUUUCAAUUAAAAACUAUGUUUAUUAAAAUUCUGUUUGCAUAUUUGAGAAUUUGACAAAACUAUGAUAAUGAAAAGUGUUUGAAAUUGAAUAAAUAAUGCAAAACUAUUUUCAAUUUUCAAAAGUAAUAAUUUUGACUAUCCAAACUAUUAACUUAUUUUUUUUGAGCUAGUUGACCCUGAAAUUGAAAAGCACUACAAAUGAACUCUGAAAAUGUUGAAAGUUGGCAUACUAUCAUCAUUUCACCCACAUAGCAUGUGUUAAAAAGUUGAGAGGGCUACGAUAAAAACUGGAUGCACUUCGUGUACAAAACGGACAAUCUCUCUCGAAGUAUGAGCGUUUCGAAAGAGAACUCAUCUCUUACAAAGGGAUUUCAUUUUUUUGAACUUAUUUGAACUCCAUACUUUUUGUGUGUUCAAAAUGCACCAUUCAAAGGCACAUCACAAAAUUUCAACAAUUUCUGACUUCAUUUGGUAUUCUUCGUGCAUUUACUUUUUUUUGAGCUAGUUGAGCCUAAAAUUGAAAAGCACUACAAAUGAACUCUGAAAAUGUUGAAAGUUGGCAUGCUAUCAUCAUUUCAUCCACAUAGCAUGUGUUAAAAAGUUGAGAGGGCUACGACAAAAUCUGGAUGCACUUCGUGUACAAAACGGACAAUCUCUCUCGAAGUAUCAGCGUUUCGAACGAGAACUCAUCUCUUACAAAGGGAUUUUAUUUUUUUGAACUUAUUUGAACUCCAUACUUUUUGUGUGUUCAAAAUGCACCAUUCAAAGGCACAUCACAAAAUUUCAACAAUUUCURACUUCAUUUGGUAUUCUUCGUGCAUUUACUUUUUUUUUGAGCUAGUUGACCCUGAAAUUGAAAAGCACUACAAAUGAACUCUGAAAAUGUUAGAAAGUUGGCAUGCUAUCAUCAUUUCACUCACAUAGCAUGUAGUUAAAAAGUUGAGAGGGCUACGACAAAAACUGGAUGCACUUCGUGUACAAAACGGACAAUCUCUCUCGAAGUAUCAGCGUUUCGAACGAGAACUCAUCUCUUACAAAGGGAUUUCAUUUUUUUGAACUUAUUUGAACUCCAUAGUUUUUGUGUGUUCAAAAUGCACCAUUCAAAGGCACAUCACAAAAUUUCAACAAUUUCUGACUUCAUUUGGUAUUCUUCGUGCAUUUACUUUUUUUUUGUAGCUAGUUGACCCUGAAAUUGAAAAGCACUACAAAUAAACUACUGAAAAUAGUUGAAAGUUGGCAUGCUAUCAUCAUUUCACCCACAUAGCAUGUGUUAAAAAGUUGAGAGGGCUACGACAAAACUGGAUGCACUUCGUGUACAAAACGGACAAUCUCUCUCGAAGUAUCAGGGUUUCGAACGAGAACUCAUCUCUUACAAAGGGAUUUCAUUUUUUUGAACUUAUUUGAACUCCAUACUUUUUGUGUGUUCAAAAUGCACCAUUCAAAGGCACAUCACAAAAUUUCAACAAUUUCUGACUUCAUUUGGUAUUCUUCGUGCAUUUACUUUUUUUUUUGUAGCUAGUUGACCCUGAAAUUGAAAAGCACUACAAAUGAACUCUGAAAAUGUUGAAAGUUGGCAUGCUACUNNNNNNNNNNNNNNNNNNNNNNNNNNNNNNNNNNNNNNNNNNNNNNNNNNNNNNNNNNNNNNNNNNNNNNNNNNNNNNNNNNNNNNNNNNNNNNNNNNNNUGGGUGACAUUCCUCUCGAGGAUCUUUUUGGUUGUUCACCUAAUUAUUCCACCCUUCACGUGUUUUGUUGUGUUUGCUAUGUUCUCCUUGCCUUCAGCGAACGCACCAAACUAACUGCUCAACCGGUUGAGUGCGUAUAUUUGUUGGGAUCCGGUCCUCGGAUGCAUAUUUCUUGGGAUGUGACUUUUGAUCAUUUGUGUCCCUUUCCAUCUUCCUUGGCCUCUUCAGUGGAGGAUAUCUAUUUCACUUUUCCCGCCAUGCAUGUCACUCUGGUUGAGCCAUUUUCCAUUCAUGCCACUGCUCAUGCUCAUUCAACUACUGCAAAUUUGAUGUUGUCAUCUCCUACGGUUCCCCCUCUCCAUGUGUCACAUGAUUGUGCACUUUGUCUCCUGUGGUUUCCCCUCCCCCAUCCACCUGAGUCUAUUUCAAUGAUUCCACAUCAUAUUCUCCCCUUCUUUCCUCACCAUUAUACUCGUCGUCCACGUGUUGUGGAUGAGCCUACUAAUGAUCCAUCUACUUCUGAUGCGCUAUCUUCCUCGCCUCAUCCUACUUAUCAUUUUCAUGCUCGCUCUCACCCCGCCAUCGGCCGCUAUGAUUUUUCUGGUGGCUGUUUUCGAGCCAAGCUCUUAUCAUGAUGUUGUUCAUCCGGAAUUGGCACCAUGUGACGACAGAGGAUAUUGCCCCUCUUGAGCGUAUCGACACGUGGGAUAUUGUUUCUCUUCCACCCUGUGUUCAUCCCAUCACUUGUAAGUGAGUCUAAAAGGUUAAGACUUACUCUAAUGGUUCUAAUGAGCGCUACAAAGCUUGUCUUGUGGUCCGUGGCUGUCAAAAGAAGCAUGGUCGUGACUAUGAUGAGACUUAUGCUCUUGUGGCCCACAUGACCACCGUUUGCACACCUCUUGUUGUCGCUUUUAGUUGGCACUGGUCUGUCUCUCAGCUUGAUGUCAAUAUCUUUAUUAAUUGUGAGUUAAGUUAAGAGGUAUCUCCUCUGGAGUUAGUGUAUUUCAAAAAUUGCCCCGAUGGGCCUGCAUUAAUCAUUGUGUUCACGGCAUCUUCUAUCAUGAAAGGGUACAAAAAUCCAAUACUCCCUAUAAAUAUAGUGCUUACAUAUCUUAAAAGAAGCCAUCGCUGAACCAGCCCAGGGAGGAGGGGUCCAGUUCGCCAAGAUAAGAAUCCAGAGUUAUCACUCUAUCUUAGAAAGAUAUGAUUUAGUUUCCAUAUUGAUAGUUCCUUGAUUAAGUUGUCUCUCCAUCCAUAUAACCUAUGAUCCAAUUCACCAUUCCAAAGUUUCCAAGGUUGUGACUCGUGACAGUGCCCCCAUCAAUUGUCCCUUCCAUCAUUCUUGGUCUUAUUCAUGGCCGUAUCAUGGUGUUGAAGGUUGAACUGGUUGUACCCUACCUUGGGUACCAACCCCUUCACGGGAGAGAUCAAAGGACAUAUUGAGCAAACUACCAUUCUAAGCUAAAGAGAAUCAUUGUAAUCCUCCCCACUGAUUAUUUCAGUGACAGCAAUCAUAAUACCAUGUGUUAUAUAAAAGAUAUAGUAAAACAAACUGAGAAAUCAUAAUCAUAAAACCAAUUGUUUGCUUCUAAGCUAAGGUGGUAUUCACAUUGAAACUUGAGAUAGAUGAAAACCUCUGGAUGUUGCAGACCAGUUCUUUCAGGAUCGUGCCGCAGAAUACUGUCAAGAGCAUACCGUUCAUUCUUUUCCUCAAUUUUCAUGCACGUUUCUAAAGUCUGCAACAUACAGAAUUAAAAGCAUGUCAUUCCACCAUGAUCAGAGGAACCAAAUAAUAGUAUACUCAAAAAAACUGCAAUCCACAAUUGCAUACCGNNNNNNNNNNNNNNNNNNNNNNNNNNNNNNNNNNNNNNNNNNNNNNNNNNNNNNNNNNNNNNNNNNNNNNNNNNNNNNNNNNNNNNNNNNNNNNNNNNNNUGCUCGCCAAAAGGAUUCAUGCCAUCUGUACUUAGACCAAAUCUUAUGUUCCUUGCGUCAGCUGCAAAAUCUUUGAACUCUCUGUCGAUCUUUCUCCAUUGCGUUCCAUCUGCGGUGUGUCUCAACUCCCCGUCCGACUUACGGUCCUCUUUGUGCCAUCGCAACAACUUGGCAUGCUCUUUGUUCCUGAACAGACGUUUCAACCGUGGUAUUAUAGGAGCAUACCACAUCACCUUGGCGGGAACCCUCUUCCUGGGUUUCUCGCCCUCAACAUCGUCACCAGGGUCAUCGCCUCUGAUCUUAUAACGCAAUGCAGUGCAUACCGGGCAUUCAUUCAAAUUCUCGUAUUCACUGCGGUAGAGGAUGCAGUCGUUGAUGCAUGCAUGUAUCUUCAGAACCUCUAAACCUAGAGGGCAUACAACCUUCUUUGCUUCGUACGUACUGGCGGGCAACUCGUUAUUCUUUGGAAACAUAUUCUUCAACAUUUUCAGCAAGUUUUCAAAUGCCGAGUCAGCUACACCUGCCUGUGCCUUCCAUUUCAGCAAAUCCAGUGUGCAGCCCAGCUUUUUCAGACCAUCAUCGCAUCCGGGGUACAGCGACUUUCUGUGAUCCUCUAACAUGCGAUCCAAAUUCUCCCUCUCCUUUUCAGUUUCGCAGCGUCUCCGUGCAUCAGCAAUGGUCCGACCAGAUCAUCAAUGGUCUCAUCACGUGCCUCUUCUUCACCUUCACCUUCCCCUUCACCUUCCCCUUCACCUUCAGCAUCCUCCAUGAAAGUAUCACCGAAAUGAGCAAGAUAACUUUCAUCCAUGAAAUCAUCCCCUUCUUCAUCUUCUUCCAUUAUAACCCCUCUUUCUCCAUGCUUGGUCCAACAAUUAUAGCUUGGCAUGAAACCGUGCCGAAGCAGGUGCAGGUGAACUUCUCUUGAGGAAGAGUAACCCUUCUGAUUCUUACAGUCAACACAUGGACAAAUAACAAAACCCUUCUGCUUGUUCGCAUUAGCCACUACGAGGAAAUCUUUCAAACCCCCCGUAGUGAACUCGCGGGAGAGUCGGUUACCGUACAUCCAUUGCCGAUUCAUCUGCAUUAUUAUCAUAUAAAAUAUAUAAUUAACCAUCAUGCAUUUGUUAAACUAACUAGCUAUAAACAAUAGAAAUUAAACAAUGAACAACACACAUGCAUAUAUAUUUUAUCAAUGACACACAUGCAUGAAAGGUUCAAGUUGCUAACCGCGAUCGAGGAGGAAAAAAUAAAUGAGGAACCUCAAGUGUGGCUCCAACACUUCAUAUCAUGUUUGUUUCACGCUCUUGGGGCAUUUCAUCAAACACCUUGUGUGCAUAAGAGGAACCAAAAGCAAACCUACACCCCCUUGUGAAGCUUGUGAAGAGAAGUGGCACCAAAUGGCUAAGUGAGUGUGCUGAACUGGUAUCUAUAGGGGAGGAGAUUUAGUCGCGGUUGGCAUGGCAAACCGCGACUAAAGGCCUUUGGGCACCUUUAGUCGCGGUUGGCAUGGCAAACCGCGACUAAASSCCCUCACGUGCACCAGCUGGCCACCGAGCGCCUGGCCCAGGCCUUUGGUCGCGGUUCGUCUGCCGAACCGCGACUAAAGAAUCAUUAGUCGCGGUUCCUACAGUGUCGCGACUUAUGGGGCUGGACGGAAGCCUCUUUUUCACCAGUCAUAUGAAUUUGUAGCUAGUUAGUUUGACUGNNNNNNNNNNNNNNNNNNNNNNNNNNNNNNNNNNNNNNNNNNNNNNNNNNNNNNNNNNNNNNNNNNNNNNNNNNNNNNNNNNNNNNNNNNNNNNNNNNNNUAGUUUGGAAGGACACCACAGCUAAACGCAAGCUUUGAUCAUAGAACAUGUUCUAAACUUUCUGACCGGUCAUAAUUGCUCCUUAUAAGGAAGAUUCUAUAUCCUCACGUUUACUUGCUAUAUGCACUCACAGGAAAUAACAAUUAACUUAAUCCCAAGGUCCUAUAUUUUGUACCAUUAUUAACUUCUACGGGGCUAGAUAUUAAGAUGUACCAACUACAGUACUACAAUAUUUGUUUUUGUUACCAUCAACAUGAUGAAGUUGAGCCUUUUGUCGACUAUAUACCAUAUAUUUAGAUAUGUUAUAGUUUUUAACAUAUAUACUUGCCGUGAUCAAGUCAUAAAGAAGCCUCAACAAUUAUGAUCAACAUGAAAAUACUAAUCGAUCAUGUCUCGUUCGUUCGUAAUAAUUGAUGCCAAUACGUUGGUGUAUGUAUGUAUGUUUCCACAGAUAACUGCAAUUUUAAACUGUAUGGAAUGUUAUUUUAUAUUUCAGUAUUAUUUCUACUUACAAACAUGUACACCAGGUGUUAAAAACUAUAGUUUCCUGAAAAUAUGCAAGCUUUUGGAAUAUUUGUUGAUAAGUAUAUAUAUAGUAGAUAUAUGACCCAAACAAUGKUGUUAUAAUAAACAUUGUAUUUGCAAUAAUGUCUAUAUGCUCACUGUAACAUUGUGGGUAUCGCAUCCUGUUUUUAUGUGUUAAAGUUUUUUCUAAGUAAAACAUAUUGUAUCUCGGCUUCUUGCACUUGAAACCUCACGUGCAUCAUCCAUGUAGCGCACAAGACAUGCAACUGCGUAUCCAGGAGACGUCGUUGCCGCCGUGGCUACCCGGAGCUGCCCAUGGAUCAGAAGGAUCGAUGACGUUAUUCAAGGGAGAAGUGUUUGACUACUGCGAGUUGUAGUUCUCCGGAGGUUAGCACGAGACAGUACUACUUUAUUUGUACUCCCUUCAUUCUUAAAUAUAAGUUUUUUUAGAAGUUUUUAUUAGGAGACUACAUACGAAUGUAUAUAGACAUACUUUAGAAUGUAGAUUCAUUCAUUUUGCUUCAUAUGUAUUUUUCUAGUGGAAGCUUUAAAAAGAUUUAUAUUUCAAAAUGGAGGGAGUAUCUAUUAAUUUCAAGAAACUUAGAUCAUCCUACUUGCUGUAAUAGGAUAGAUGCUUAGGCAUCUAGGCCUGUUUUGCUGGUUGUGGCAAUUUUUUGCUUUACUUUUACUUCUUUACUGCUAUGUCGGGGACUAUGUUAAACCGAGAUCCGUUUGUUUAUUUUAAUAAAGAAGACGUAUGCAUCGUGUUGAUGCAGAGGCCAGAGGUAACCCUCCUUUUCUAAAAAAAAAUCCUACUUGCUCUCAUUGGCACUCCUGACAAAUAAAAUAAAACGGGAACCCAAACAAUCAUCAGUAUACGUGCAUGCACACGUCCGGACAACUAAAAUAAAARUUAAGUUUAAAAAAUGUAUUAUUCAUCUACAAACAAAUAAAAACUUACGUAAAGAAACUAUUAAGUAAACUAGUAGUCGUCAACCCAUCGCGCCCGCACGGGGCUAGGUGAUUUUCUAACUACAAAGUAUAAAAAAUGUUUACGAACUAUUUUUAACGUGUCAUUUGUAUAGGAGUUACAACUAUAUGAGUACUUACAGUUUGAAAAAUUCAAAANNNNNNNNNNNNNNNNNNNNNNNNNNNNNNNNNNNNNNNNNNNNNNNNNNNNNNNNNNNNNNNNNNNNNNNNNNNNNNNNNNNNNNNNNNNNNNNNNNNNGCUUUCUUAUGCCUACCGCUUCUUUUUGGGUUUUUACCGGUUACGAUGAUAUCACAUUAGUAAUUACCUUCGUUCGUCACGACGUUUCUUUGGGUAUGUGUUGCUCAUGUUGUGAGAUGUUGAAUUCUUACUGCAGGUCUGCUGUCAGUGGAAAUUGUUACUCCUCCUCUCGCACGCAAGGAGGUGCUCGAGAUGGCUGAUGGAGCUGCUCAAGCUCGCUGCGGCGGGCACCCCUCCUCUCGCACGCAAGGAAGUGCUUCAGUUCGCUGACGCAUGCAGCAUCUCCGAGAUCGAUCUCAACAAGGUGGUGCCGGAGUUUUCCGAUGUGUAACGGCCCUUUGCGCCAUCGCCGGCGGCGAAGCCCUCCUCCUUGCACUUCCGCCUUCGGCUGCUGCUGUGUUUGCUUUGGUUUUUUUGCCUCAUUUCGCCAGGUCCUACCGGCUAGUUCCUUCGCUUGUUCUAUUCUACUCCCUCCGUGCCUAAAUAUAAGACACUAUAUCUUCCUUAACAAUAAAGCGCGCAGCGCUUUUGUCGCCCGUCGUCGGUCAUUUUGUAGAAAAGCCCUUGCAGUUUCAGUUAAUUAACCCGCAGUCCAACUUGAAGUCAGAACGAACCGUUUUCUGUCCUUUUGCAGAAAAUUCCUCACAGUUUUAGAUAAUCAACCCGCGGUCCAUCUUUUAGUCCGCGCCGAACCGUUUUUUUUUGCACUUUACAGAAAACUCCUUGAUGUUUCAGGUAAUCAACCCGCCGUCCCUAUUUAAGUCAGCCGAAAUGUUUUUUGUUUUAAUAAAAAAACCCUGACUUUUCAGUUAAUCAAUCCAUAUUUUAUCUAAAACAAAUUAUCCAUAUCUUUUAAACCGUAACUCCGAUUUUAACAUGUUAUAUAUGAAAUUUGAUUGAAAAAAUGUGUAGAAUCUAAAUAGGAUGUUAUUUUUAGUUGUUGAAUACUUCUUAAAUAUUAUUUUUGAUGCAAAGUUAAUUUGUAAUGCACUGUCUUUUUUUUCUCUCUUUCCGACGACCAUACGAAUUGCAAUAAAUAUCCAUUAAAUUAAAACCAAAUUGAGAGAAAAGAAAACACCGUUAACCACACAUGCACAUCUUUGGAAAAUCUCGUGGGGAGAAACAACAUAUUUCUCAUCUUAUUCCGAGUGAUUGUACAUUCAAACGCGUUUUCGUUGUGUGAGCACUGAGGCCAUCGUCGACAACACAAAUGUGCUAAUAUAUUACGUUCAAAACGUGUGUUAUUUUCUCUUCCGUUACAACGCACGGACUUUUUUGCUAGUACUACAUAAGGAUGUAUGUAGUCAUAUUUUAGAGUGUAGGUUUACUUAUUUUAUUCCAUAUGUAGUCUAUAGUCAAAUCUUUAAAAGGUCUUAUAUUUUGGAACAGAGGGAAUAUGUAUUUUAAAUCCCUGAGGCAUAGUUCCUCUAGCACUGUUCCUAUGGUUGCUGUCACUGUAGCCUCCCAUCCCCUAUCGCNNNNNNNNNNNNNNNNNNNNNNNNNNNNNNNNNNNNNNNNNNNNNNNNNNNNNNNNNNNNNNNNNNNNNNNNNNNNNNNNNNNNNNNNNNNNNNNNNNNNGGCCUGCACAAAUUCGUCGAUAAGUCUUUUCUGAAUUAGUUCUGUUUCCGCAUAAUCUAGCAAGCAUGCAUGUUGCCACUGUUUUACCUUAAUUAUUUGUAUGGAGAAGGUAAUAUUGAGAAAAAGUAUUGAACCUGCAUUUGUAUGGUUUUCAUUUGACGAAAUGAUAUAAAAUAGUACAUACUGCAAGUCGGGUAGUCUCUGAUUUGCAUCAAGCCCUAGGCGGUAAUAUCAGGUACUCCUGGGCAGACUAUUUGGAAUAAUAUUUGACAUGUCGACUAAUCAUAAAUAUAUAUUUAGUCGGGCAGACUAAUCACAAGAUACUCCUAGAGCCUGAUUUGGAAUAAUAUUUAGUCGAGCAGACUAAUCACAAGUACAAAUAACAAAUACAAAAAAUGCGACUCCAAUUCAGUAUAAUGUUGUUGUUUUUGUUUUUCUUUCUUUCGCAGUCAAGUUAUUUUAGUUUUAUAUCACAUAAUAAGAGAGAGAACAGAUAGUAGUUCCAAAAUGAUGAUAGACUUUCUCCUCCUACCUGAUUCACGACCUUAAUAGACAAUUAGAGCCAGAUACUUCUUCAGUAACAACUGUCACUUUUUUUUACGGUUGUUACGGCGGGCUUACGCCGGCCUGAACCAUUUCAUUAAUUAAAUCAGUACAAUUACAAGGAAAGGGGGGUUGGAGGUAGGGAGAGGGUACAAAGUAUUUAGGUUACAAUCUCUCCGAAAGGUGAAACAACAUGGUGCACCAAUCCUGAAGCAGGAGCAUGGGCUGCUCCUUUGAGCAUCUAUUAGACCAGAGCAUUGAUAUCAUCUGUCGCAGAGCGGGCAAUGAGGUGGAUAGGUUGCAGUUUCCCCUGAAUACCUUUGCAUUUCUUCUUUUUCAUAUAUUCCAUAAGACAUCAAUGAUUAUUGUGGAGUGAGUCUUGCUAGCAUGGUGAGGCCCCCAAAGCUGUCUAAAGUCCGUUGGUGAAGAGGCACACAGUGCUGAGAGCUCUUGCCACAGAGGUCUAAGAUGGCUGCAAAGAAGGAAAAGGUGUUCCUCUGAUUCCGAAGCUGAACAGAACGGGCAGGUGCAAGAGUCCAUUAACCCCCGCGUUGAAGCAUCUUUCGUUGGUGAAGAGUCGAUUUUUGCAUGAAAGCCAAAGGAAAUUCUGCAUUUAUGGGUGCAUAGUUCUUCCAGAUGACCGACGCAAAAGGAUCGACGGGUGUGUUGGCCCAAACAGCCUUAUAUGCGGAGUUGCAAGUUAGAGGCUUGUCGUCGAUAUGUCCCAUUCGUUUGUCCUGAACCUGCACAUUCAAGGAGACAGAUGCCAGUAAGGUACACAGAUUAUCCAGUUCAAUGUCUGCAGCAUUAGAUAGUCUCGGAGCCAAAUCAAGCUGCAAUUGAGGAUUAAGAACGCGUGCAACGAAGGCCGAAGGUUGAAGAGAGUGGGAAAAAUGUCGGGGUAAANNNNNNNNNNNNNNNNNNNNNNNNNNNNNNNNNNNNNNNNNNNNNNNNNNNNNNNNNNNNNNNNNNNNNNNNNNNNNNNNNNNNNNNNNNNNNNNNNNNNACAGGGUCACGCACAAUACUAAUAUACAGUAGCACUGACUGCCAGACAAUAGAAGAGAGGUGCACACAAUAGAAGAGAGUAGCAGCGACAGAAACAUCAAAGUCCUGAAGUAACCAUCGUAACCAAGUCACCUCUGCCGUCACAAGAGCCAUAUACGCAACUCAGCCUCUGCACUCAAAUGGGAAUUGCAGUCGGUUUCUUCAUCUUUCAGGCAAUGAGAGAACCACCAAGAAAAAACACAGUAAGCAGAAAGUGAACAACGACCGAAGGGAUCACUAGCCCAUGUAGCAUCUGAAUAGGCCUGAAACUGUAAUGAACUACAGCGAGGAAAUAACAAAAGGUGAGAGAUCGUGCCAUGAAGAUAUCGGAGAACACGAAGAAGGUGAUUGAAGUGAAUCGAAGUGGGAGCAGAGACGAUCUGACUUAGAACAUGGACUUUAUAAGAGAUAUUCAGACAAGUGACAAGUAGAUAGACAAAACUACCACAAGAUGAUGGUAACGCGUCAGAACAGACAAGGGGUCACCAUCAAUAUCACAGUUGUGAACACUGAGCUCCGUGGGAGUCUCAAUAGUGCCGUCAUUAGUAAGAGCAACACGAGCAAGAAGAUCAUGGAUAUACUUUUCCUCGGAAAUAAAAAAGACAUCAGAGGUAGAAGAGACCUCGAUCCCAAGAAAGUAGCGAAGGGGGCCACGACCAGACAUAAGAAACUGCUCAUUAACACGUGCCUUCAGAAAGGCAAUAUACUAGGGGUCGUCACCAGGGAUGAUCAUGUCAUGAACAUAUAGAAGAAGAGUCCGACCACGAGAUGGAAAGUGGACAAACAACACCGGAUCAUGAGCACUCGCUGAAAAGCCAACGACAGUCACCACAGAGGCAAAACGCUUGAACCAGGCGCGAGGGGCUUGCUUAAGGUCAUAGAGAGAGAGCAAUGAAGAUGGCAGACCAUGAGGUACAUAAUACCCAUGUGAUGGCUGCAUGUAAACCUUCUAAGAGCAUGGUUAAUAGUAUAGCCAACUGCUAGCUAUAAGCCAUCUUAUAGCCCAUCUUAUAGCUAUCUUGUACAAUAGUUAGCUAUAGAAGAGUACACUUUUAUCAUAUAUGGCCCAUCUUUCAUUCUCACAAAGCACCUAGGAGCACGUGCUAGAGCCGGCUCUUCACGAAGAGCCCGCUUCCCUUCUCUCUCCUCUUCUCUCUCAUCCAACUCAGCAAAAAUAUAGUAUUUUAAUUCUUACAGCCUGCUGACUGUACCUUAUUGUACUUGCUCUAAUGCAGCUCAACAUUAAGAAAAGCAUUCUUAACAUCAAACUGAGAUACAAGCCAGUGGCGAACAGAGGCCACAACAAGAAGUGCGAACAGUGGUCAUGGGCCACAGGAGCAAAAGUCUCAUCAUAANNNNNNNNNNNNNNNNNNNNNNNNNNNNNNNNNNNNNNNNNNNNNNNNNNNNNNNNNNNNNNNNNNNNNNNNNNNNNNNNNNNNNNNNNNNNNNNNNNNNAAACAACCACCCAUCAAAUGGAGGGAGAACUUAAGGCUAGUCAAAAGUUGACGAUGACACAAACCAAACACGCUCAUAGUUCUAGCGGCCAGCCCUCUGUGGACUGUGUGGUACGCUUAGAGGCACCGCUGCAUGGGUCUUCAUUGUUUGCCCCUCUUGGUCUUGGCCUUGGCCUCUGUCUCACUGGCUUGUGUACUGCGUUGCGCAUCCUUCGCUACCAUCGUAUACUGCCGUUGCCACCGGCCGGGCGAGUCGGCGGUCCCUCUGGGUCUGGGGUUGCACGGACAAAGUCUUCCGCUUCAGGCGCAUGGUCUGUGAGUUGAUUCACCACCAUCAGGUCGCCAUCUUGGCUGAUUCUGCGGUCGCAUCUCGGCUGUCCCAUCAGGUUCAGAUUCUUCGUUCCUUUUUAAAUGCCAUACCGUUCAACCUGUGCCUCGAUCGUCCUAGCUUUUUAAUUGCGACGUCUCAAAUGGAUAGGCGGCCGGAAUGUUUCAAUCUUUGGUUGUGCACACCUGCUUGAGUUGGCAGCCGAAUUCAAGAAAACAUAUAAAAUUCACUAGUGCGAUGUUAUCUGAUUGUGCCCACUAGCUACCCGAAUGAAGAAAAUUCAUCACAUCAAUUGUGCAGAAGCUAAUCCACUCAACACAGGAAUUGCGACUUCUUGGCCAUUUCUUCCUGUUUUGGUAUACGUGGUGCUCUACAUAAAUCAGGGCAGCCCUCCUCCCUUUCCGGUCAAGAAGAAAAGAAACAAGCGUAAUUCUCUGCUUAGAGUUUCGACUCCAGCAGAGUGCAGACCAAUGGCUUCAACAUGGCCAAAACUGCUGUUCUUCCAUUGCUCCUCGCACUCGCCACCAUUUCCAUUGCCCGCGCUGAAGGUGGCCUCAACCUCCGAUGCCAUCCAGGCCAAGAUGCAACACUCCUCGANNNNNNNNNNNNNNNNNNNNNNNNNNNNNNNNNNNNNNNNNNNNNNNNNNNNNNNNNNNNNNNNNNNNNNNNNNNNNNNNNNNNNNNNNNNNNNNNNNNNUGGACUGAACUCCAGGCACUGUAUUUAGCCUGGGCCAGCCGACCUCGUUCGGACGCCUAGGCAUGCGGCUACACGCUAAAUACCAUCCUGAAUGGGAAGUUAGACUAAAAAAAUWAGCUUCACAUUUUCUAUGAUGGCACAUUGGUCCUUUACUUGGCCAGGGACCAAACCAAAUAGUACUUCAUUGCCGCACUAGCCUGGUCAGGCAAAAAAAAUUCAAAUCUAACGUCCACAUCAUUCAUAUACGCAAAAAAAAAAAAAAAAACGUUAAACACAUCAGGCAGCAUAAAACUUUCAGGCACGAGGGUCAGGUCACGAAACAAACUCACCCUAUAUCUCAAAGAUAUCAAUUACAUUCAGCCUCUGCACCAACAAGAUAUCCAAAGACAUUUGGGAUGCACACACCAAAAAACAAAAUAAACAAGAGAGAAAAAAACAAAGACCCCGUCGCGGUGUACAACACCUUGCAACAGAAGCACUCUAACCACCACCGAAUACAACACCAGUCCUACAACCUAGGCUCUCCAAAAGCAAUGCCUCUAAGAAGGGAACAAUGCAUAAGCGUUGUUGUCGCCGAUCGAAGAUCUUGGGUUUUCACCCCGAAGAAAGACUGAGUUUCCAAAACAAUGCCUUCAACAAGGUCAUUGCCGAUAUAACCAAUGAAGGCCAGACCAUGGGUUUUCACCCUGGAAAUCAAGGCUCGGUACUUGACGAGCACCACCAAAGAUGCAGUCCACCUGUGUUGCCACCCUCGCUUGCCCAGGCUGCUGCUGCGAGUCACCGCGCNNNNNNNNNNNNNNNNNNNNNNNNNNNNNNNNNNNNNNNNNNNNNNNNNNNNNNNNNNNNNNNNNNNNNNNNNNNNNNNNNNNNNNNNNNNNNNNNNNNNUUUGCUAUAGGCUGCUGUAGAUUGAUGGUGCGUGCUUGCUUGCUGUCGAGCUGUGCUGUUGCCGAAUCUUGCUGCUGCCUGCCGCUGCCGAAUUAGCUGCUAGCUAGUUGGUUGUAUUAUGUGCCUUGCUGAAUGUUGCUAGGCCGCCGUCAACUAGUUGCUGUUGUUUGCCUGCUGCCUUCCUUGCUGCUGCCAGCUUGCCUGCUACCGUUGUGUGCCGAUGCUAGUAGUUGCCUGAUGUGUUGUGGUUGCCUGCCGUAGCUUGCCGUCAGUUGUUGGUUGGUUGCUUGUCGUGUCGUUUGCUGGUGCUGCCGCUUGCCGUCGCCGCGUGCACCAUUCCUGCCUCUCGUGUGUCGACGACGAGCUCGUCGAGUACCACGUCGCCCUCGACGACCCCCGGAAACGAGUUCGACUUCCUCGACGUCCUCGACGACCCCGACCAUCUUCGAAAUCCGAGUUCGACUACCGACGCCGAAGACCGGGAACCACGACGCCGAGCGAACGACUACCGUCGACGAGACCGUGUACCACUACUUCAACUACCGGCGCGUGAACAACUACUUCCACGACGACCACGACGUCCGCUUCGACCGAACCCCUCCGAUUCGCUCGUGUCGAAGGUAUACCGAUGGGACAUGUCGCGUACCGUGUGCUAGUGUUGUAUGGAUGUGUGUGUUGUACAAGUCGAAUGCAUGUAUGCACCGUAUUUAUGCACCGUUUGUUUGCACCGUUUAAUUGCCGUGCACGUCGUCUUCCUUUUCGUCGAGCCCUCGACACAUGGGAACCCGAGAUACGGGAUCACCCCACCUUUAUUUACCGUUCCCGCACGCGUUCGUAUACGUUGGCACCGGUUUCUCCUCGAGUUAUUGGGAACCGGGACGUUGCCGUGUCAUCGUUUCCGAUUUGCCGCCAUGGUUCCCUCUCACUCGCCAUGACAACACCAUGCUUGUUUCCCUCCUAGUCGUGAUGUGUUGAUCUCUCAUGCAUGAAGCAUCCAUGGCAUAUUUAUUCUGUGUUGCUUGUUCUUGUGCCGUAGCUCCGUUCAAAGUCCGACGUGAUGUCGACUAGGUUGUCAUGUAGGUUCAUCGCUCACCCCUUGCCAUGUUAACAACAUUUAAUAUUGCCGUGACAAUUAACGGGAGUUUAUUAAAUAUUUAAAUGUGGAGUUUCGUCGAUAUGCAACCCGUUGCAUAUCGAGCUUCAUUUAAUGUGUAGUGUAGGUGUGAGGUGUUUUGCCGUGCCAUCCCGUGCAUCGAUGACCUGUUCAUGCAUCAUAUUAGGGUUGCAUCCUGUCUUGCUUUAUGGUGGUGAAUACUUGUGUUGAUGUUUGUUUCCGGUUUCCUCCGUCUCGAUAGAGUUCCGCAAGCGUGUCGGAAUGUGAGGACCGUUCGACUACGUCGGUUCGCUGACUUCUCCGAGUUGUCCUUCUUCCAAGCGGGAUCUCAGGCAAGAUGAUCAUUUUCCCAGAUACCAUUACUAUCAUUGCCAUGCUAGUUUUAUCGCUUCUAUCGUUUAUGUCUUGAUGCCUACCACAUGUUAAAUGUCAUCCUCUCAACAAUGCCAUGAUUACCGUCAACCUGUUCGACCUAGCAAACCACUGAUUGGCUAUGUUACCGCUUGCUUAACCUUGUGUUAGCGUUGCUAGGGGGGGGGGGGGCAUGUGAAAACAUGGGUUCCUUGUUAUAUCAUCCUAUUAAAUGCUAUUUAAUUUAAUACACCUAUAUACUUGGUAAAAGGUGGAAGGCUCGGCCUUUCUAGCCUGGUGUUUUGUUCCACCUUUGCCCCUGUUAGUUACCGGCUACCGGUGUUAUGUUCCAUAAUUGAGCGCUCCUAACACGAUCGGGGUUGUUAUGGGGACCCCCUUGAUAAUUCGUUUUAGAUUAAAGCUGGUCUGGCAAGGCCCAACUUUGGUACUACAUUUGCCUAAUCACUAAUGAACUGCAUAGGGAGUAAUUAACCCGAGGAUAAUUUAAUCAACCCCCGGGCCAGUGCUCCUCAUGAGUGUUGGUCCAAAUUGGCAGACUACGGGGCCACCGCGGGGCAACCCGAGGUUUGGCAUCUCCUAGUGUGACCCAUCCGUCGUGUCCUGAGAACGAGGUACGCGACUCCUAUCGGGAUCGUCGACACGUCGGGCGGCCUUGCUGGAUUAGUUUUACCUUUGACGAGAUAUCUUGUGCAUCGGGAUUCCGGUGAUGCUUUGGGUAAUCUCAGAGUUGAGGUUUUCCACUAGGGAAUCCGACGAGAUCGCGAGCUUCGUGAUUGAGGAUUUCCAUGCGGCUUGUGGUAAUUUGUGAUGGACUAGUUGGAGCACCCCUGCAGGGUUAAAUCUUUCGGAAAGCCGUGCCCGCGGUUAUGUGGCAACGUGGAAACUUUGUUUAACACUGGUUCUAGAUAACUUGAAGUUAACUUAAUUAAAACUUGCCAACUGCAUGCGUAACCGUGACUGUCUCUUUCGUGAGUUCCUUCUCCGAUCGAGGACACGGUGGGGUUAUGUCUGACGUAGGUAGGUGUUCAGGAUCUUUCAUUUGAUCAUCAGUAGUUCACGUCCGUUAUGCGUAGAUCUUCCCCCUCUUAUUUCUUGUACUCGUAAGUUUAGCCACCAAAUAAAUGCUUAGCCGCUGCUGCAACCUCUCCACUUAACCACACCUCACCCAUUAAGCUUUGCUAGUCUUGAUACCUUUGGAAAUGAGAUUGCUGAGUCCCCUGUGGCUCACAGAUUACUACAACUCCAGUUGCAGGUUCAGGUAAAUGUUACUUGAUGCGAGCGCGUUGAAUGUUCAUUUGGAGUUGCUUCUUCUUCUUCAUCGAUCUAGGAUGGGUUCCAGGCCGGCAGCCUGGGAUAGCAAGGAUGGACGUCGUUCUUCUUUUGUCGUUUGUUUUCGUCCGUAGUCGGACCCUGCUCUUACUCUUGAUGGUUAUGUAAUGUACUGAUGUGACUCUGAUGUAGCUUGUGGCGAGUGUAAGCCAACUCUUUAUAUAUCUCUUCUUUUCAGUACAUGUACUUGUAACGAUAUCCAUUCUUGCGACACGACGAGAUGCGCUUCUAUCCCUGACGAGGCCCUCGUGCCAAAUUGAGGAUAGGGUCGCAUCUUGGGCGUGACAGUAUGACAACCGGCAGGAGCCAUAGGAGUUGUCUUAAUUUAUUGUAUGAGAUGCAACGCCAUGUGCUUACUACUUUUACUUCAUUGCUAACGGUUAGCUAUAGUAGUAGUGAUAGUAGUAGUUGGCGUGACGACUUCACGGAGACACGACGAUGGAGAUCAUGAUGAUGGAGAUCAUGGUGUCACGCCGGUGACGAUGAUGAUCAUGCGAUGCCUGAAGAUGGAGAUCGAAAGAGCAAAGAUGAUAAUGGCCAUAUCAUGUCACUAUAUGAUUGCAUUGUGAUGUUUAUCAUGUUUUACAUCUUAUUGCUUAGAACGACGGUAGCAUAAUAAGAUGAUCCCUCUUAAAAUUUCGAGAACGUAUUCCCCUAAGUGUGCACCGUUGCGAAGGUUCGUUGUCUCGAAGCACCACGUGAUGAUCGGGUGUGAUAGAUUCUAACGUUUGCAUACAACGGGUGUAAGCCUGAUUUACACACGCGAAACACCUAGGUUGACUCGACGAGCUUAGCAUGUACAGACUGUUGGGGAACGUCGCAUGGGAAACAAAAAUUUUCCUACGCGCACGAAGACCUAUCAUGGUGAUGUCCAUCUACGAGAGGGGAUGAGUGAUCUACGUACCCUUGUAGAUCGUACAGCAGAAGCGUUAGUGAACGCGGUUGAUGUAGUGGAACGUCCUCACGUCCCUCGAUCCGCCCCGCGAACAAUCCCGCGAUCAGUCCCACGAUCUAGUACCGAACGGACGGCACCUCCGCGUUCAGCACACGUACAGCUCGACGAUGAUCUCGGCCUUCUUGAUCCAGCAAGAGAGACGGAGAGGUAGAAGAGUUCUCCGGCAGCGUGACGGCGCUCCGGAGGUUGGUGAUGACCUUGUAUCAGCAGGGCUCCGCCCGAGCUCCGCAGAAACGCGAUCUAGAGGAAAAACCGUGGAGGUAUGUGGUCGGGCUGCCGUGGAAAAGUCGUCUCAAAUCAGCCCUAAAACCUCAGUAUAUAUAGGUGGGAGGGAGGGGACCUUGCCUUGGGGCUCAAGGAGCCCCAAGAGGGUCGGCCGAGUCCAAGGGGGGAGGACUCCCCCCCAAACCGAGUUGGACUUGGUUUGGUGGGAGGGAGUCCCCCUUCCUUCCCACCUCCUCCUUUUUUUGGGGGGUUUUCUCUUCUUGGCGCAUAGAGCCCUUUUGGGCUGUCCCACCAGCCCACUAAGGGCUGGUGUGCCACCCUCAAGGCCUAUGGGCUUCCCCGGGGUGGGUUGCCCCCACGGUGAACUCCCGGAACCCAUUCGUCAUUCCCGGUACAUUCCCGGUAACUCCGAAAACCUUCCGGUAAUCAAAUGAGGUCGUCCUAUAUAUCAAUCUUCGUUUCCGGACCAUUCCGGAAACCCUCGUGACAUCCGUGAUCUCAUCCGGGACUCCGAACAACAUUCGGUAACCAACCAUAUAACUCAAAUACGCAUAAAACAACGUCGAACCUUAAGUGUGCAGACCCUGCGGGUUCGAGAACUAUGUAGACAUGACCCGAGAGACUCCUCGGUCAAUAUCCAAUAGCGGGACCUGGAUGCCCAUAUUGGAUCCUACAUAUUCUACGAAGAUCUUAUCGUUUGAACCUCAGUGCCAAGGAUUCAUAUAAUCCCGUAUGUCAUUCCCCUUGUCCUUCGGUAUGUUACUUACCCGAGAUUCGAUCGUCAGUAUCCGUAUACCUAUUUCAAUCUCGUUUACCGGCAAGUCUCUUUACUCGUUCCGUAAUACAAGAUCCCGCAACUUACACUAAGUUACAUUGCUUGCAAGGCUUGUGUGUGAUGUUGUAUUACCGAGUGGGCCCCGAGAUACCUCUCCGUUCACACGGAGUGACAAAUCCCAGUCUUGAUCCAUACUAACUCAACUAACACCUUCGGAGAUACCUGUAGANNNNNNNNNNNNNNNNNNNNNNNNNNNNNNNNNNNNNNNNNNNNNNNNNNNNNNNNNNNNNNNNNNNNNNNNNNNNNNNNNNNNNNNNNNNNNNNNNNNNGUUGAUGGAGUCGUACUCACAACGAUUCCGAUCUAGUGCCGAACUACGGUACCUCCGCGUUCAACACACGUGCGGCCCGGUGACGUCUCCCGCACCUUGAUCCAGCAAGGAGGAGGGAGAGGNNNNNNNNNNCCUAUGGAGAGACCAGCAACGAGAGAGGGGUAAGAGAAUCUUCAUACCUUUGAAGAUCGCUGAGCGGAAGCGUUGCUAGAACGCGGUUGAUGGAGUUGUACUCGCAGCGAUUCCGAUCUAGUGCCGAGCUACGGCACCUCCGCGUUGAACACACGUGCAGCCCGGUGACGUCUCCCGCACCUUGAUCCAGCAAGGNNNNNNNNNNCGGAGUUGUACUCACAACGAUUCCGAUCUAGUGCCGAACUACGGCACCUCCGCGUUCAACACACGUGCAGCCCGGUGACGUCUCCCGCACCUUGAUCCAGCAAGGAGGAGGGAGAGGUUGGGGAAGAACUCCAGCAGCACGACGGCGUGGUGUCGAUGGAGAGAUGAGGUCUCCCGGCAGGGCUUCGCCAAGCACCGGCAGAGAGGAGGAGGAANNNNNNNNNNNNNNNNNNNNNNNAACGACGUGGUGUCGAUGGAGAGACAAGGUCUCCCGGCAGGGCUUCGCCAAGCACCGGCAGAGAGGAGGAGGAAGAGAGGCAGGGCUGCGCCGAGAGAGAGAGAAAAUUGUGUCCCUCAAUGGCCAAAACUGCCCGAUAUAUAUAGGGGGAGGGGAGAGGGGGUGCCACCCCUAGGGUNNNNNNNNNNNNNNNNNNNNNNNNNNNNNNNNNNNNNNNNNNNNNNNNNNNNNNNNNNNNNNNNNNNNNNNNNNNNNNNNNNNNNNNNNNNNNNNNNNNNGGAACCACGCGGAACCGAGCAGGUGCGGCUCCCUCUCCCUCUCUGGCGUCGCCCUCUCCCUUUCCAUCUCGAGCGCCACCUCUCCGGCGCCUCCCUCUCCCUCUCCAGCGCCGCCCUCUCCCUCUCCCUCUCCGGCGCCGCCCUCUCCCUCUCCCNNNNNNNNNNAACUAAAGUCUACAUCUGGUCCCUCAAUUUUUGUUUGGGCGACAUUUAGGGUGUGUUUGGUUACUGUCAUCAAGUAGAAUGUAACGGGUCCAUUCCGUUUUCGAGGGUCGUUCUCGUGUUUAGUUGGGUACAGGAAUCGGAACCAACUGAUUCUUCGGAACACAUAUUCCCCCAAGAUCCCGAAUGCGCUGGUACCUCCAAAUCGAGGAACCACGCGGAACCGAGCAGGUGCGGCUCCCUCUCCCUCUCUGGCGNNNNNNNNNNAGGUGCGCGGCGGCCCGAGCAGGUGCGGCGACGGCCCGAGCAGGUGCGCCGCCCUCUCCCUUUCCAUCUCCGGCGCCACCUCUCCGGCGCCGCCCUCUCCCUCUCCCUCUCCGGCGCCGCCCUCUCCCGCCCCCUCUCCGGCACCGCCCUCUCCCUCUCUCUCUCCGGCGCCGCCCUCUCCCUCUCCCUUUGCGGCGGCUCGAGGAGCNNNNNNNNNNNNNNNNNNNNNNNNNNNNNNNNNNNNNNNNNNNNNNNNNNNACGCCGCCCUCUCCCUCUCCCUCUGCGGAGGCUCGAGAGCAGGUGCGGCGGCGGCUCGAGGAGCAGGUGCGGCGACGGCGACGGACAGAGCAGGUGUGGUGGCGGCGACGGACCGAGCAGGUGCGGCGGCGGUGGCAGGCCCGUUCCAUCUAUUGUUUCAACCAAACAUAGAAACACAACCUGAUGGAAUGGAAUGUCAUGGAAUCAUUCCAUUACGUUCCACCUCGUUCUUNNNNNNNNNNUAACCAAACAUAGGAACGCAACCUGGUGGAAUGGAAUGUCAUGGAAUCAUUCCAUUACGUUCCACCUCGUUCUUCAACCAAACACACCCUUAGUCCCUCAUGUUUCAAAACCGGAUGACUUUCGUCUGAAAAACGGAUUAGAUGGGAAAACCGGCCAGAUGGCACAAGUUUUCUCCCUGAGCUCCAGAUCCACCUGUCGAGCACCUUGCAUGCAUCGAGUGGCCGUCGCCCGAGCAAAGACUCUUAACCUUUGCCGCGUGCCUCACCACACGACCAUGUUCUACUUCCCCAUGAACCCGUGGUGAGCCCGCCUUUUCACCUUCUUCCACCGUGAUCGGUUUCAUGAGCUACUUCGCCACCGACAACCUCCUCUACUCCUCCCACACCUAGCCCUGCUACGCAAGUCAUGACACAACACUCCACUCCUCCCACUCCCUGAUGUCUUCUGGGCAUAAGAGAAGUCUUUCGAGAAUUCCAUGUACUUCUGUCAUGCAACCAUUCAUAAUUGUAGUUGAUUUCUACACUCACAUGCAACAUGGGUUUUCAAUUAUGUAGGCUAGAAUGGUAGAAAAAAUGCUACAUGCGCACCACUGAAUUAAGGUAAUAAUUCGCAAGACCGAAAGGACAAUAUGAUCAAAGGUAUGGGAAAAGCUGCUGGUUAUGUACUCCAACUAGCUUGGAAGCCUGCUUUAAUACUAUUUGGGUACAUAAUCUCACAUUUGAAGCAACACUUAUAGUUCCACAUCAUAUAAUGUUUAUGGUGAAUACUAGUACAAUGAGAUGGAUUAAUAACGUGACACGAGGAAAACCACUAUCUAGGAAUUGUGGCAGAUAUGGUUAUAUCAUUAAUACUGCAUGACUCAGGAGCAUUGGCCGUCUCUUCAUUCCCCACCCUUACAUUGAUAUAUGCUGGCUGCUUGGGCUUAGCCAAGAUCAUAGUAUCACUUCUUAGCAUUGAAACAAUAUGUCCCAUGGUUGGCCGAUGGGAUGCAUUCUCUUGUACACAUACAAUGCUAUAUUAAUGCAUCUCAUUAACUUUGACAAGUUACUAUCGGGAACCAUUGAUGCAUCAAGGAGAUUGAUCCACUUUCCGUCUUCCCACAAUUGCCAUGCCUGUUUGCAAUACCAUUGCAUAAAUUAGGUUUUAUAGCAAAUGAAGGGAAAAAAUGCAAGCUUAAGUUUGUGUGUAUAAGCUCACAUAUCCAAGCAGAUUGAUGAAGCCUCCACAUUGUUGUUUACCAGAAUUCCGUUUUCCGCUAAGGAUCUCAAAAAUGACAANNNNNNNNNNNNNNNNNNNNNNNNNNNNNNNNNNNNNNNNNNNNNNNNNNNNNNNNNNNNNNNNNNNNNNNNNNNNNNNNNNNNNNNNNNNNNNNNNNNNAUGGGCAAGAUGACUAAGACUCCGUUCUCCGGAACUAUGGAGCGUGCAAGUGACUUGUUGGAAAUCAUACAUACCGAUGUGUGUGGUCCGAUGAGCGUAGAGGCGCGCGACGGAUAUCGUUAUUUUCUCACCUUCACUGACGAUUUGAGUAGAUAUGGUUAUGUCUACUUGAUGAAGCACAAGUCUGAAACAUUUGAAAAGUUCAAGCAAUUUUAGAGUGAAGUGGAAAAUCAUCGUAACAAGAAGAUCAAGUUCCUACGGUCUGAACGUGGGGGUGAAUAUCUGAGUUUCGAGUUUGGUGCUCACUUAAGACAAUGUGAAAUUGUUUCACAGUUAACACCGCCUGGAACACCGCAGUGUAAUGGUGUGUCCGAACGUCGUAAUCGUACUUUAUUAGAGAUGGUGCGAUCUAUGAUGUCUCUUACUGAUUUGCUGUUAUCAUUUUGGGGUUAUGCAUUAGAAACAGCUGCAUUCACUUUAAAUAGGGCACCAUCAAAAUCCGUUGAGACGACACCUUACGAACUGUGGUAUGGCAAAAGGCCAAAGUUGUCGUUUCUUAAAGUUUGGGGAUGUGAUGCUUAUGUCAAAAAGCUUCAGCCUGAAAAGCUGGAACCCAAAGUGGAAAAGUGCGUCUUCAUAGGUUACCCAAAGGAGACAGUUGGGUACACCUUCUAUCUCAAAUCCGAGGGCAAAGUGUUUGUUGCUAAAAACGGAGCUUUUCUCGAGAAGGAGUUUCUCUCGAGAGAAUUGAGUGGGAGGAAGAUAGAACUUGACGAGGUUGUCGAACCUCUCAUCCCCCUAGAUGGUGGCGCAGGGCAAGGGGAAACCUCUGUCGUUGCAACGCCGGUUGAGGAGGAAGUUAAUGAUGAUGAUCAUGAAACUCCGGUUCAAAUUUCUGUCGAACCACGCAGGUCGACGAGACCACGUGCUGCUCCAGAGUGGUACGGUAAUCCCGUCUUAUCGAUCAUGUUGUUGGACAACAAUGAACCUGCAAAUUAUGAAGAAGCAAUGGUGGGCCCAGAUUCCAACAAAUGGCUAGAAGCCAUGAAGUCCGAGAUAGGAUCCAUGUAUGAGAACAAAGUGUGGACUUUGGAGGUACUACCUGAGGGCCGCAAGGCUAUUCAGAACAAAUGGAUUUUUAAGAGGAAGACGGACGCUGACGGCAAUGUGACCGUUUAUAAAGCUCGACUUGUGGCAAAGGGUUUUUCACAAGUUCAAGGAGUUGACUAUGAUGAGACUUUCUCACCCGUAGCGAUGCUUAAGUCCGUCAGAAUCAUGUUAGCAAUAGCUGCAUUUUUUAAUUAUGAAAUCUGGCAGAUGGAUGUCAAAACGGCGUUCAUUAACGGUUUCCUUAAGGAAGAAUUGUAUAUGAUGCAACCCGAAGGUUUUGUCGAUCCUAAGAAUGCUAACAAGGUGUGCAAGCUCCAACGAUCCAUUUAUGGACUGGUGCAAGCAUCUCGGAGUUGGAACAAACGCUUUGAUGAGGUGAUCAAAGCAUUUGGGUUUAUACAAGUGGUUGGAGAAUCUUGUAUUUACAAGAAAGUGAGUGGGAGCUCUGUGGCGUUUCUAAUAUUAUAGGUGGAUGACAUAUUGCUGAUUGGAAACAACGUGGAGUUUCUAGAGAGCAUAAAGGAUUACUUGAAUAAAAGUUUCUCUAUGAAGGACCUAGGAGAAGCUGCUUACAUUCUAGGUAUUAAGAUCUAUAGGGAUAGAUCAAAACGCCUGAUAGGACUUUCACAAAGCACAUACCUUGAUAAAGUUUUGAAGAGGUUCAAAAUGGAACAGUCCAAGAAAGGGUUCUUGCCAGUUUUACAAGGUACGAGAUUGAGUAAGACUCAGUACCCAGCAACUGAUGAAGAUAGAGAGCAUAUGCGCUCUGUCCCCUAUGCUUCAGCCAUAGGUUCUAUCAUGUAUGCAAUGCUGUGCACUAGACUGGAUGUUAGCCUGGCCAUAAGCAUGGCAGGUAGGUUCCAGAGUAAUCCAGGAGUGGAUCACUGGACAGCGGUCAAGAAUAUCCUGAAGUACCUGAAAAGGACUAAGGAGAUGUUUCUCGUGUAUGGAGGUGACGAAGAGCUCGCCGUAAAAGGUUAUGUCGAUGCAAGCUUUGACACAGAUCCGGACGACUCUAAGUCGCAAACCGGAUACGUAUUUAUUCUUAAUGGGGGUGCAGUAAGCUGGUGCAGUUCCAAGCAAAGCGUCGUAGCAGAUUCUACAUGUUUAGCGGAGUACAUGGCUGCCUCGGAGGCGGCUAAGGAGGGUGUCUGGAUGAAGCAGUUCAUGACGGAUCUUGGAGUGGUGCCAAGCGCACUGAAUCCAAUAACCUUGUUCUGUGACAACACUGGUGCCAUUGCCUUAGCAAAGGAACCACGGUUUCACAAGAAGACCAGACACAUCAAACGACGCUUCAACCUCAUCCGCGACUACGUCGAGGGAGAGGACGUGAAUAUAUGCAAAGUGCACACGGAUCUGAAUGUAGCGGACCCGCUGACUAAACCUCUUCCACGGCCAAAGCAUGAUCAACACCAGAACUGUAUGGGUGUUAGAUUUAUUACAAUGUAAUUCACAUGGUGAUGUGAGGGCUAGAUUAUUGACUCUAGUGCAAGUGGGAGACUGUUGAAAUUAUGCCCUAGAGGCAAUAAGAAAUAUAGUUAUUAUUAUAAUUCCUGUAUCAAGAUAAUCGUUUAUUAUCCAUGCUAUANNNNNNNNNNNNNUUCACAAGAAGACCAGACACAUCAAACGACGCUUCAACCUCAUCCGCGACUACGUCGAGGGAGAGGACGUAAGUAUAUGCAAAGUGCACACGGAUCUGAAUGUAGCAGACCCGCUGACUAAACCUCUUCCACGGCCAAAGCAUGAUCAACACCAGAACUGUAUGGGUGUUAGAUUUAUUACAAUGUAAUUCGCAGGAUGAUGUGAGGGCUAGAUUAUUGACUCUAGUGCAAGUGGGAGACUGUUGGAAUUAUGCCCUAGAGGCAAUAAUAAAUAUAGUUAUGAUUAUAAUUCCUGUAUCAAGAUAAUCGUUUAUUAUUCAUGCUAUAAUUGUAUNNNNNNNNNNNNNNNNNNNNNNNNNNNNNNNNNNNNNNNNNNNNNNNNNNNNNNNNNNNNNNNNNNNNNNNNNNNNNNNNNNNNNNNNNNNNNNNNNNNNGAGGGGAGAGGGGGUGCCACCCCUAGGGUUCCCACCCUAGGGGGUGCGGCAGCCCCCCCAGAUGGGAGGUGCGGCGGCCAGAGGGGGAGGAGGGGGGUGGCGCACCAACUGGUGGGCCUUAGGCCCACCUGGCUUAGGGUUUGCCCCCCCCUUUCUCUCCCCUGCGCAUUGGGCUGAGUGGGGAGGCGCACCAGCCCACCUAGGGGCUGGUUCCCACCCCACUUGGCCCACCUUACCUCCCGGGGUCGUUGCCCCCCUUCGGUGGUCCCGGUGGUCCCGGUACUUUACCGGUGACGCCCGAAACACUUCUGGUGUCCGAAACCAUCCGUCCUAUAUAUCAAUCUUUACCUCCGGACCAUUCCGGAGCUCCUCGUGACGUCCGGGAUCUCAUCCGGGACUCCGAACAACUUUUGGUAACCUCGUAUAAUAAUUCCCUAUAAGCCUAGCGUCAUCGAACCUUAAGUGUGUAGACCCUACGGGUUCAGGAGGCAGGCAGACAUGANNNNNNNNNNNNNNNNNNNNNNNNNNNNNNNNNNNNNNNNNNNNNNNNNNNNNNNNNNNNNNNNNNNNNNNNNNNNNNNNNNNNNNNNNNNNNNNNNNNNAGGAGCUGGCGGACGGCGGCAGCGACGAUGCCAGCGUUGCCGGGGAUGAUGGCCGUGUUGAAAUACUGGAAGAAGGUUCCGUUACCGGUGGUGCCGGACGCCGGGCUGAGGAAGCCGCGGUCGCCGG